This 97293-nucleotide long non-coding RNA is filed under the name Daucus carota (carrot). RNAcentral's name for it is "long non-coding RNA (DCAR_LNC006588)". The record is from RNAcentral. Lineage: Eukaryota; Viridiplantae; Streptophyta; Magnoliopsida; Apiales; Apiaceae.
AAGUUCAAGAAGAAGUAAGAAGAGUAAUCGGAAAGAAAGGGAAGAUAGACGAAGAUGACCUUCAGAAUCUCCCUUACUUGAGAGCCGUUGUGAAGGAAACAAUGCGCUUAUACCCUCCCGGUCCACUUCUACUUCCCCGAGAAACGAUGGGAAGCUCUGUCAUUGGCGAAGAUAAAGAUCAUAUGUACAAGAUCAAGCCCAAAACCCUGGUGUUUGUAAGCAUGUGGGCAAUUGGAAGAGACCCGGAGGAUUGGAAAGAGCCCUUAGAGUUUAUACCCGAAAGGUUCUUGGAAAGGCCGGACAUCGAUUACAAGGGACAGCAUUUCGAGUACAUUCCAUUCGGUGCUGGGAGAAGACAAUGCCCUGGACUCAACCUGGGAGCCAUGAAUGUGGAGCUUGCACUUGCUAACGUUCUUUACACCUUCGACUGGGAGCUGCCUGAUGGCUUGAGAAGCCAAGACGUCGACGAGGAGACUGUGAAUGGCUUAACUUUGCAGAGGAAAAAUGUUCUCUACAUUCGACCUAAAAUAUAUGUCUGUCCAUGAUUCAUCUCGUAUCAAGAUUUCAUGUACCAACUUAAUUUAUAAAAUAAUAGUUUUAAGAUGAUCCUGCAGCUUUUCUGUGUAAUAAGUGGAACUUAAUCAUCUAUAACAGAGCUUCCCACUUGGAUGCUAAAUUAGGAAGUUCAAGCUAUAUAUUGUUUCCCAGAAGUUGAUGUCAAUGAAUACGAUGCAUAGGAUCGGACUCUUGGUCAGUUCCGGUAUUAAAAUACUAAUGUUUUCCCCAAAUAUAGGCAAUCAAAAGUUAGUUGACUUCAUGGGUAUUUUCUAAAUUGCUUCUUUAUAUAUUUAUUAAAUAAUAUUAAAGAGUAAAGAUAGAAGAUAAUUGACAUAAAAAAUAAGAAGUAUCAAGAUAGUGAGAUAGUGAUAGUGAAAGAUGAUGUAAACAGCAUGUUCAAGAAGUUUCAAGAUAACAAGAGAGUGAAGGAUGAUGUAAAGAGCAUCUUCAGUGUCAUGCACGGUUAAAAAAAUCUGAAAAACCCGUAUUCGUAUCCGAGAUAAAAUGAAUAUUAUUUAUAUCCGAAAUAAGCGGAUAUUAUCCGCAUCCGAAUACGACAAAUCCGGAUAUAAGAUAUAACAUAUUUAUAUUUGAUAAAAUCCGAAUCCGAAAUUAAAUAUAUAUGAUAUUUAAAUAUUAUAUAUAUAUAUAUUUAUGUAUAUACUAUCAUUCUAUAACUUUAUAGUAUUUCUAUUAUAGUGUGUAUAUUUAUAUAUGCAUUUACAUCAUAAAAAAAUAUAUUUAUAUAAAUUUUAUAUAAUUGUGAAAUAUUAUAGACAUAUAUCAUAAUAUCAUUUGAAUUUUUAUUAUUUCAAAUAUAACAAAUUAUAAUUGAAUAAUAUAUAAAAAUUAAUUUUUGGAUAAAUAUAAAUUGUCUUUAAUGACUUUAAUUCUUAACUGAAUUUUUUAAAAUGAAUUUUUCAUUUUCACAAUUUUUUUGAAUUUUAAUAAAAAAUAAAAUCUUAUAAAAAUCAAAUUCGGAUUCGGAUAUUAUCCGUAUCCGGAUAGCAUUCAUCGGAUACGGAUUCAGAUAUUAUCCCUUCAAACAAUUUCGAAAACGGAUAAAGGCAGAUUCAUAUCCGAAUUAUCCUUUUGACACCCCUAUCCAAUGGGAUGCACUAUAAUGGUCAGUUAGAUUGGAUUUAUAAGACAUUAUCUAAAAUUUGUUAAACCCAUAACACAUUUUGUUUGAUAUUGGCUAUAUAUAUUUUUAAAAUAAUAUGUUAUUAUUAUUUCAGAUUUUUAUAAAUAAAAUGUAUUGUAUUAAUAUGAUAAUCGGAUGACUUAUCAUUUGCCACAUAUCUGUAGUUGUUCGACAAAUAUAUUGGUUCGACAAAUAUAACCAUUCACAAGAGUUUGAUUAUAAUUAUAGAUAAGGGGAGAGUAUGGUUCAAGUGUGAGUUAUUUACUUUCUCUUUUUAUUUUAAUAUGCCAAGUGAAUUUUUAGUUAAGAGUUUACUUUAAAAAAGAUUUUUUUUUCUUCUCAAAUUUCAAGAUCUCUCAUCUAAAAAAUAUAAAAAAUUAGAUAAUGGGUGCGAAUGAGUUUUUGAAAUAAAUUUUCUAAAUUUUGAUAAGAUAUAAUAGCACGAGUCACAACCCACUUGGAGAUGUUCUUGCCUUUCUCAAACUCAUAUGUCCCAGAUUGAGAAGGGUCUCCGGAACGCCUAAGCUCAGUAUACAGUGCAAGAGAUGUAAGGUUUAUGUUAAUGGGACAUGAUGAUUUUCAAUUCUGACGAGUGAUGUAAAAGUCUAUGUUGUCCAGAUACAUGAAUCCACGACUGCAUAUUUCAGUUGAUAUUUUUUGGGGGGCAACAACUUGAGUUUCAUGCCUAAAUCGCUUAAAACAGGCAACUCGGGACCUUGCAAAAAAAUUAUGAAAGAAUACAAAACAAAUCAAAAACGCCAAAAUCGACCCACACUGAUCUGCUCAACAAUACUUAACUGACUUGGACCUACACAGAAAACAACAUUCAUGUUUUUGUUUUCUUUUAUCCGAGGAAUCAAAAUUUGGGAACUUUCAUGAUAAAUAUGAUUAUCUCCAAAAUAUUUCUAUAAUAUAAUAUUAUUAUUCAUUUUUUUAAUAAUUAUUUUUACUAGGUGGCGAUGCAUAAGUGACUUAUUGUUGAACAAUAUGUGCAAAAAACAAAUAUAUGUGUGUUUGUGUGUGCGAAACCGAACAAGAACGAAGGAGACAGAUUAAACACAAGGAUAUGAAGAAAAUCCGAGUCCAGUGCGAAACUGUCUCCUUAAAGCGUAUUCGCCUCCUCACCGUAUGUGUGGAACGAAAACUUCUCCGGAUAAAAUGGAUUACGAUGUCGUUAACAAGAACGGCACCUUCGGCGAGCUUGAAUCGACUAUCACCAGAGAGAGGUAAGAUUGUGGUAUUGAGAGAGAGGGAGAGGAAGAUGUGUUUGAUGAUUCAAAACCCUCCAACCUAUAGGGGUAUUUAUAGGUGCAGAGAGACUUGUGCACUACUCUUUUCCAUAAUUAAUUAAUUAUGGAAUCGGUGUGAAACUUGCAAGCCACACUAUUCCAUAAAUAAUAUGAAACAGAAUCAGAUAAAUAUUUGCAAGCUAUUAUAUCUCAUAUAUAAUCUGAAACAGAAUCAGAUUAAAUAUAUCGAGAUAUACACCAUAUCAAUUAAUUUGAAACAAAAUCAAAUUAAUUUAUGCCAUAAUAUUUGAGCCAAAUUUUACUGGAAAAAAUAAUUUCCAUUAUCAAGAAGAUAUCAUCAUAUCUCACACAUAAUGCUCAAAAUAUUAUUUACCAAUAUGGGGCUUAUACCCAUAUUUUCCAACAAUCCCCCACAUGGGUGAGAUUGGUGAUCUUAGUAGUAGCACACACCAGACAAACAGACACAAAGUUUGGCUUGGUGAUAAUUUUCUUCGAUCAGAUAUAGCAUAUGACAGGUAGAGAAUGCUCCUUGAACCUUCGCAUGAGUAAGUAUACCGACUUUACUGGUAGACAGUAGACGUGCUUGUCCUUGAACUAUUCGACCGUUUGUGUAAACGAUGAUAUACUUAUCACUAUAUCCUUUCUGACUCGUUCAGCUCUCAUGAGUAUGUCCAUUUUGGCCAUGGAACAUCGUCCUGGUUCUGCAGGAAUUCUCCUUUGAAGCGGCCCCACUUCUCUCCCACACAGGUGAUCUUUAUCUUAUAGAGUAACCCGCGUUUACUCAACUGAAUUCCAUGCGUGUACAACUCCAUGUAUUCACUAAAGAUCAUUAAAAACUCAAGGCAUAACCUCGUACCUUACGGGUCUCACUGUUUCUUCAUCAUGGGAAUAGGCCUGGGGUUACCCCUACAGUGAUUUGGUCAUCAUGAUUUAGUUGUCCCAUUGAACCAAGUUCUUGGGAUCUCCAGUCAGCAAUGGUUAGGUGUCCACCAUGAUCCCGUUAAGCGAUAGGCUUAAGACCCAUUCCUCUCGAUGAUUUCUUAACCACUUCUCUCGAUAACCCUUUGGUUAGCGGAUCUGUAAUAUUAUCCUUUGAUGGUAUAUAGUCAAUAGUGAUAAUCCCGGUUGAGAUUAAUUGUCUAAUGGAACUAUGUCGUCGUAUAUGAAGGGACUUCCCAUUAUACAUUGUGCUCUGCCAAUAGCGGAUUGACUAUCACAGUGUAUCCCUAUUGCAGUCACAGGCCUCGGCCAUCUUUAAAUAUCCUCCAGAAAUUGGCGUAGAUAUUUAGUCUCUUCGGCGCAUUUAUCUAGAGCCACGAACUCAGCUUCCAUUAUGGAAUGAGUUAUUACCGUUUGUUUGGAGGAUUUCCAUGAUAUUGCUGCUCCAGCUAGUGUAAACACGUAGCCACUCAUAGACUUUAGAGCCUUCUUACUAGAUAUCCAGUUCGCGUCAGUAUAUCCUUCUAAUACUGCUGGGUAUCUGCCAUAGUGCAGUCCAUAGUCUCGAGUUCCCCUUAGGUACCUUAGUACCCUUAUGAUCGCUUUCUAGUGAUCAGCUCUUGGAUUACUCGUAAACCUACUCAACUUGCUAAUUGAGUAUGCAAUGUCUGGUCUUGUACAACUCAUUAGGUACAUCAGACUUCCGAUUAUCCUAGAGUAUUCCAACUGGGAGACCCUCCACACCUUUAUUUUUGGAUAGAUGUAAAGUCAUAUCCACAGGUGUUCUAGCUUUCUCAGUAUCAUCCUUAAGAAACCUCUCAAGGAUCUUGUCAACGUAAUGAGGUUGACUCAGUGCGAGACCCUCUGAUGUUCUAGAAAUUUGAAUUCCUAGAACUACAUUUGCUAGUCCCAUGUAUUUCAUGUCAAAUCUUGAUUUUAACAUGUCUUUUGUAGAUUUGAUUACUUUAUCAUUGCUUCCGGCAAUAAGUAGAUCAUCUACAUAUAAUGUCAUCAUGACAUAACCGCUCUCGUUAUCCUUGUAAUAAGCACAACUAUCUCAUUCAUUGAUUUUGAAGCCAUUGGCCAGCACGACCUCAUAAAAUUUUUCAUGCCAUUUCAUAGGCGCUUGCUUCAAACCAUAUAAUGAUUUAACUAAUUUACAGACUUUCCUUUCUUGUCCAAGGACAAUAAACCCUUCAGGUUGUUCCAUAUAGACUUCCUCAUCUACAUCCCCAUUUAGGAAAGCUGUUUUCACAUCCAUUUGAUGUACUGCUAAAUUUGAAACAUCAUCCUUAUAGACGUUAUUCUCGUCACUGGAGAAUAUGUGUCAAAGUAAUCAAGGUCUUUGUGUUGCUUGUAUCCUUUGAUUACAAUUCUGGCCUUAUACUUAUCGAUAGUGCCGUCUAUUUUCAACUUCUUCUUGAAAACCCACUUGCUACCUAGUGCUUUACAACUAGUUGGCAAGUCCACCAAUUUCCAAGUAUGAUUCUAUAGGAUAGAAUCAACUUCAUUUUUUAAGGCCUCUUUCCACAUAGGUCCAUCGGGUGAGGUAACCGCUUCCUUAUAGGUUUUCGGAUCUCCUUCCUCGAGCAAAUAGGUCAUGAAGUCAGACCCAAAGGAUUUCUCCGUUCGUUGUCUUUUGCUCCUCCUCACAACCCCCACAUUUUCAUCUUCACUUUCAUCAUUCUCAUUUUCAUCAUCUAUAGAUUCAUGAGUUCCUUUGGAUGUCGUGGGGUGCUCAUUUCUUGGAUUACAAGGAAACGUAGUCUCAAAGAAUGAGGCAUUCCUUGAUUCCAUAAUCGUAUUCUUUUGAAUCUCUGGAAUCUUAGAAUCAUAAACAAGAAACUGAUAUGUUGUACUAUAUAUGUGGAGGAUAUCCGAUGAAGAUACAAUCCACGGUUUUUGGACCAAUCUUCACCUUCUUAGGUGUAGGGAUCAGUACCUUUGCAAUGCACCCCCACACUUUCAAGUGUUUGUAACUCGAUUUCUUUUUCUCCCACAUUUCAUAAGGACUCACAUCCUUAUUCUUGCGCAUCGUAAUAUUUAAAAUAUUAUUCGCGCUUAAGAUGGCUUCCCCCCACAUCAAUUGCGGAAGUCCAGAGCUUAGCAACAUCGCAUUCAUCAUCUCAUUGAGAGUGCGAUUCUUCCUCUCAUCCACUCCAUUUGACUGAGGGGAGUAUGGUGCAGUGACCUCAUGGAUUAUACCAUGUUGUGAACAGAAUUCUCCAAAAGGUUCAACAUAUUCACCUCCACGAUCGCUACGUAUCGUUUUGAUUGUCUCAGUUUGUUGUCUCUCAACUUCUUCCUUAUAGAUUUUAAAUUUAUCCAUAGCUUCAUCUUUGCUUUUAUGCAAAUAUACAUAGCAGUAUUUUGUACAAUCAUCUAUGAAUGUAAUAAAAUACUUGUUUCCUCCUCUUGUUGGAGCGAAUUUUAAAUCAUAUAUCGCUAUGUAUUAGGUCCAGCACUUUGGUGUUUCUUUCCACACGUUUAAAAGAUAAUCUCAUUAAUUUUGCCUCAACACAAGUUUCACACUUAUGUUUUGAAUCGAUAGUCAGUUUUGGUAUGUAUUCUUUUGCACUUAAUCUUCAUAAAGUGUCAUAAUUUACAUGUCCUAAUCUAGCAUGCCAUAGAUUAGGAGACUCAAGCAAGUAAGCAGAAGAAUUCUUCAUUACAUUAUCGUCUUUAACAGGCAUCACAUUGAGCAUAAAAAGCCCAUCGGUUACAUAGCCCUUGCCAACAAACAUACCACUCUUAGACAAAAUUACCGUAUCAGACUCUAUUACAAUACGAAAGCCAUGCUUAUUCAACAAAGGAACCGGACACAAGGUUCUUGCGAAUAUCAGGCACAUAGAGUACUAUCUUGGUGUCAUGCAAUGUUACUCAUAUGCAAGACUUGUGUCUUGCCGUAUUUUGGGAGAUUAUAAAUAUAUUGGUUUGUCCCUAGACAAUGUUGUUUCUAAGUGCUGGACAAGCUUUAAUGGUUUCUUCAGUUUCUAAAAGAUAUUGUACUGUUUCCUAAAAAAACUGUAACAGAUUGUAAGUUACGUGAGUUUUAGAAUGCAUUUAUGUUUUUAAAAAAAGAAAUAAAUGAAAACAAAUAUCUACAACUAACAUGAGCCUUUGGAUGUUUAAAGAUUGGAUGGCUGUGAUUAAGUCUCUCCAUCCUCCACAAAAUACAGUCUCCAUAGAACUUUUCUCUAUAUUAUAUAUAUAUAUAUAUAUAUAUAUAUAUAUGCCAACAUUCCAGGGACUUAUAUAUGGAGUUACAUAGUACACGAUUGUAAAUCAUCAAGUUUAUCAUAAAUUCUAUUAUAGAAUUACAUAUAAAAAUAGAAUUUAAAAUUUAAAAUUUAAAGAAAAACGUUUAUUUUCGUAAUUGAUUCCGCGGCAGAAUAAUUCUGGAUGAUCAUUAUUCUAUUAUAGAAUCAUGUUGAUAUAUUGCAUAACUUUAACUAAUAUUUCUAAUAAUUCUGGAUGAUCAUUAUUCUAUUAUGAUGAUCAUCUUAAUUCUGGAUUGCUAAAAGUAGAUAUAAUUCAUAUUCGCAUAAAAAUGAACGAAUUCGAAUCUAACUUAAUAGUUUAAACGAGUAUCAAGAUUGAUCUUACAACACUAAUAUUUGAUAAAACAUAUGUGGAGUAGUUCUAUAUUUAAGUAUAUCCUAAAAUUAAAUAAAAUAAAAUAAAAAUAAUUUAAGGGUGUGCAUCUCAUUCACUUAAAAGAGCUCUAAGGUAGGAUCCAAUGUCAACUACCGUAAGAGACAACUCUAAUUUACAUAUCGAUUAAUUUAAAUGUUUAGAAGAAAAUACACAUCGCGAUAUUGUGACAAUUAUUUUUUUAAAAAUUUCUCUAUUACGAGCUCAUGAUAUUUUAACAAAGAAUUUUUUUCAACAUACUAUCAUAUCACAUACUUGCUUAUACAGUAUAUUAUUUCUCAUAUGCAAUUUCUAACAAAUAGACCGUGGAUUCAGAAAAACAUUAUCAACAAUAUUACCACAAUCUAGAUAAAGGUCACUCAGAAAAUUUUUAUAUCAUGAAUGCAAGGAACAUGCCCAAAAACUGGGGGUUAACACAAAAAUUGUCAAACUGGACCUUCAUUCGAGAUUUUACCAAUAAAUCCGAAUCCGAUCCAGAUCACAACUUCUUAUGCACUCGCUAAUCCGAAUUCGAUCCAUUUUUUUUUAUUAAAAAACUAUAUUUAGAAUGAAUAAGAUUAAUAAAGACAAAUAGUGAAACAUAUAUAUCAUAUUAUGUUAAAUAAAAUUAAUUUUUUAAGUAAGCACAUAUUAAACCGAAACGCUUACAUCUUUUAAAGAAAAAAUCACUGGUUUUUCAAGAAGUACCGUGUCAUAUUAAUUAUUUUAUUAUAAAAGAUGAUUUAUAAUGAGAUUACAAUAUUUUGGAGGAUAUGUAAUAAAGUAAGUGAAAGAAUAUUCUUAUUUAGAUUAUUUUUGAUUUUAAACUUAUGAAUUCAAAAUUCGAUGUGUUAUUAACAAUUAUUAAAAAAAAUUACAGAUAUGAGAACAGUGACAAAGACAUCAAAUUUGGUGUCAAAAAAUAUAUCUAAAUAAUAUAAUAUUGAUAAAACAUGGUUUUAAAAUAUCAUAACUUAUGAAGACAUGUGAAGAUAAUAGCAAAAUGCGUUGCGAGACUUAGUAUAAAGAAUUGAAUUGUAAUUUUAUCUGGUUAAAAUAAAAUUAAAAAAGGAGGAAUAAGUUACUUAUAUUAGAGUCAAAAAAUUUUAAUUCUUAGUGUACCAAUAAUCAAUCCAUAAUUUACAAAAUUAAAUAUAAUGAGAAACUGCAAUUAAAUUGAUUAACGACUUACAAAUUAAACUAAAAAAAUAUUAACUAAUUUGGAACCGAAUAAUCUGAAGUGAUCUGGUUAAAAAAAUAUGCGUUUGGUCGGAACUAGGACCAGAAUUAUUAUUUAGAAUCCAGAAUAUGGAAUUUUUGGUUUGAUAUUUAACAACUGAACAUGAUAUGCUGCUUUGCUCACCCCUGAUAAAUACGAGUAUCAAAAAAUUUAAAAAUCUGACUUCACACAAAGCUAAAAAAAUGACUCACAACUAAUGGGGCUCAAUAUUUCAUGUCUUUAUGAACUUCUGGAGGCAUAACUCAUAUCUACUCUCUUUCUUUUAUUUGAAAGACCAGAAAAUUAUUUGUUUGAGAUGUGGUUUAUAACAAUUACAUGAAAAUUUAUUAAAAGUCUCCUCAUGAAGCUCAGAAAACUAAUGAUAAAAAAUUAAAAUUGUAUAACGAGUCGAUAUUAUAUGGAUUCUUAGGCUAAGUAAAACAAUAUAUCCGUGAAUUACAUGGAUGCAUGAUUAAUAGCUGUCAGUAUGGAUGUUUUGCAGGAUAUAAUAGUUGCUGGAACUGGGACAACGGCAACUGUGCUCACAUGGGCGAUGACAGCAUUAAUGCGCAACCCGGGAGUGAUGAAGAAAGUUCAAGAAGAAAUAAGAAGAGUAAUGGGAAAGAAAGGGAAGAUAGACGAAGAUGACAUUCAGAAUCUCCCUUACUUGAGAGCCGUUGUGAAGGAGACGAUGCGCUUAUACCCUCCUGGUCCACUUCUACUUCCCCGAGAAACGAUGGGAAGCUCUGUCAUCGGCGAAGAUGAAGCUCAUAUGUACAAGAUCAAGCCCAAAACCCUGGUGUUUGUAAGCAUGUGGGCAAUUGGAAGAGACCCGGAGGAUUGGAAAGAGCCCUUCGAGUUUAAACCCGAAAGGUUCUUGGAAAGGCUUGACAUCGAUUACAAAGGACAGCAUUUCGAGUACGUUCCAUUCGGUGCUGGGAGAAGACAAUGCCCUGGACUCAACCUGGGAGCGAGGAAUGUGGAGCUUGCACUUGCUAAUGUUCUUUACGCAUUCGACUGGGAGCUGCCUGAUGGGAUGACAAUCCUAGACGUCGACGAGGAGACUGUGAAUGGCUUAACUUUGCAGAGGAAAAAUGUUCUCUACAUUCGACCUAAAAUAUACGUCUGUCCAUGAUUCAUCUCGUAUCAAGAUUUCAUGUGCCAACUUAAUUUAUGAAAUAAUAGCUGUAAGAUGAUCCUGCAGCUUUUCUGUGUAAUAAGUGGAACUUAAUUAUCAAUAACAGAGCUUCCCCACUUGGAUGCUGAAUUAGGAAGUUCAAGCUAUUGUUUCUUGGCUAAUGUCAAUGAAUACAAUGCAUUAUUUAUAUCCAUUUCCCAAAAGGAAAUAUUAUAUCGAGAACCCAAAAGGAAAUAUUAUAUCGAGAACAAAUUUUCAUAUCCAGAGCUGAAAAAGUAUGAAAAGACGAAAUUAUUCCUUACAUUUUUUUUUUCUUUUUGUUGUAAUUGUGUAUGCACGAGGUCAGUUUUGUCUUUUCAUAUUUGUUUGCUCUCGAUAUAAAAACUUUGCUCUCGGUAUAGUAUUUCCCUUCCCGAAAUUAGUUAUUUUAUCAUUUUAUUCUCCUUGUUUAUCCAAUUCAAAUUUAAUACAAGUUUCAAUGUUACUACCUGUUAGGGUUAUACUAAAAUAUUCGUUUGAAGUAUAUAACAAUUAUUUGAGAAUCUUGAAUGCAUGUUUUCACAUUGUCUGUAUAUUAUAUAUUGUAGACAAUCUAGUAUCAAAUGGGAUAGCAGAAGAUUAGAUUGUCAGACUCCUUAUAUAAUAUAAUAAAGGUUCACAGUCGAGGUGGUGUUAGACAAACCACUGGAACGGCUGAAGUAUUAUUUGGAAAUAGUUUAUCUUGACUAUUGAAUAAUACUUAUAUACUUUGUGUAUAUUGAACGGGAUCAAAAUAGUAGAAUAAUUGUUUCUUUAAUUCUGACAAUAAAGAACUAAGAUUCUAUGAUGUUAUUAAUGCUUAAGUUCUUAAUCCGGAUAUAGUGAUUGACACUUGUAUUUAAUGCACAUGCCUUGACUCAUAAAUUAAGUAAUUUAUUUUAAAUUACGAAUUUAUGUAUUGGGCAAUGACAUUAUAUACAGAGUGGGAUAUUGACUAUAGAAGGAAACCGUGUCCGAAAAAUAUAUUCGGGUGAUGAUGUCCUCUUGAAAGCUCAUAAAGAUAAUUAUGCUUUAGUCCUGCAGGCAGAUUUGUUCUUGCAUAAUUAUAAGGUUGAGUGGAUGAUCAAGGAUAAAAGAUAUUGAUUAAAUUAAUUGUCAGAAAUUAAUUUAAUUAAUGGACAUGCGAUAUCUUAAACAUGGGGAAUUUAUAAGCAAUUAAUAUGGGAGCCGAAUUAAAUAAUUAAUUUACGGAAUUAGGAAAGGUAGUGCAAAUAUUAGUUCUUUAGUGGAUAGAAUUAAUAUUUAAUGACAUUGGGCCUGGCCCGGAAUGUCAUUGGAAGGCCUGACCUAAUGAUCCAUGAUCCCUGCUGUAGCCUAUAUAUAUUCUCGUUCUCCUAAAGCUGAAAGACACACCAAAACGAAUUAAUCCUAGAGUCAGAGAGAGGCAGACGUUUUUCUCAAGGAGACAGCUAGGGUUUUGGGUUUUCGGAGCUUUAAGGAGAGGCACACCUUGGGAGAUCGAAGGCCACACUUCGUCCAAGGAGAAUCAAGGAAUACAGUAGAAGACGUGGAUUUGAAUCGCUUGCGCCGUAGCGAUUAAGGUUAAUAUUCUGUUCGAACUUUUAAUUAGUAUCAUAAAACGCAGGACCAAGGUCCGAUUGUUCCUACAAUGGCAUCAGAGCCAGGUUGCGGUUCUGCGAUUUAUGAUAUGUAGUCCAUGUCAUGAUUAUAUAUGCAUGUAUAUAGUGAUUCUGUGAUGCAGGUCGUUGUCCACUAUUAUGGCCGUGUUUUAAUUAUUCUGUUAUGUUUGGAUUCCACGUGGUUUAUCGUGGCUGUUGUAAAUCACGAGGGUUGAUCGUGAUAGUUUAAUCUUGUAAUUCAAUUUGUAAUUGUUUUAGAUUAUGAUCUGAUGUAAUAGAAUAGGCUGGUUCGUCUGUACAAUUUGUAUGUAAUUGUUUGAUCAACGGGGCUGCAAGAAACAGAGAUCUUCCGCUGCUGCGAUCUGUUGCCGCUGCUAUUUAGGGUAACUUUUGCAUACGAUGUCCGAUUUGGGCGCAUAAUACCUUUUCGGGGACGGCAGAACUAGACGGACAGGCUCCAAAUUGACGUAGUCCAUUUGGUGCAGUUUUUCAGGGCGUUCUGAGGCUGUUUAGGCCUCCAAACGGGCUCUCGAAGAUUUUCGGAAUUUUUCGAAGGAUGAUUUCGAAGCUGUUUUUCCGGGGCCAUAAUAGUGGAUGUGUUUCAUUAUGUUUUACAUAAUUUCUGCCUUUUCUUGAUUAUUGCUACUAUGUGUUUCUUGUCUGUGUUGUUAUGCCAUGUGAUACUAACCCUUCGCAUGCUAGAAUGACAUGGACAUAGGGAUGUUUUUAAUUAAUGCUUUAAUCAUGCUAGUAUGCUGCCAUGUUAUGUGUUCUUUAUGUGUUCUUUAUGUUGCUAUAACCAUGAUAGUAUGCAUGUGGACUUCGAAGAAAUAACAUAGGGCGAUGCAUCUAGAUUAAAAUCCUCAAAGUAAAUUCUAAGUGGGAGAGGGAGUUAAUAUGGUAUUAAAUCCCAUGGUCUCCAUCAUUGUUUGUAUGUAAUUUAACAUAAAGGCGAAUAUAAAUUAUGUAUACGUCACCCAUCGUGGCAUGUAAUUUAUGGUGUCUAGAAUGUUAUAGAUAUUACUGGAACAAACUUCUUAAAUUAAUACGAAUAGAUACGAAUUUUCUUUAUCUCUGAUUUGGGGCGAUUUCUAAGGCUUAUGGGUAUUAAGUGAGACCGAUGUGACUCCUCCACUGCCUAGAAGUCAAACCAGACACGAAUAUUGAAUUGAAGUAUUCUAUUCGAGAAAUAUUGGAAGGUAUACAUGCCGCCCAUCGUGGCGUACCAAGUUCCAUAGGUUUCGGGUAAUUUAAGAUUUGAUGAUGGUAUACACUUAGCUAUGAAAAAUAAUAUAGACCACCCCAACGUGGCUUAUUGUUUAGUAAUAGGACCGAAGUAACGUUUAAACAAAUUUAGGUGGUAUACAUGUCACCCAUCGUGACGUACCAGAAACUUAUGGUGUUUAAACGUUAGUGCAUUUAAUUUUAAUAAUUGUUAGAGGAACCAAUAGGACUUAAUUUUUUAUGCACCCUUCUUUAUGUGUAAUGUGAUUUUUUCAUGCAUGAUUCUCAGGAUAUAAUGGGGUUUAAUCCACUGUUCACCAUACUUAAGGAUAACAAACUUACCGGACCUAACUAUAUUGAAUGGAAACGUAAUUUGGACAUUGUGUUGACUGCUGAGGAGUACAAGUUUUGCACUUAUGAACCCAAGCCUGAGCAGCCCGCUGCUGAUGCUCCUGAUGAGGAGAAAGAGUAUUAUAAGCGGUGGACAAAGGCUGAUGAGAUGUCGCGAUGUUACAUUCUGGCAGCAAUGUCGGGUGUUUUGCAGCAUCAGCAUCAGGCUAUGGCCACUGCUUCGGAUAUGCUCUUUAAUCUCAAGGAACUUUUUGGAGAUCAGAAUAGGGCUGCUAGGCAAGUAGCCAUGAAGGCUUUAAUGAACACUCAGAUGGCUGAAGGUACACCUGUAAGGGAUCAUGUUCUCAAGAUGAUGUCACAUCUGAAUGAGAUAGAGAUCCUUGGUGCAGAGCUUGACGGGGAAACCCAGAUUGACAUUAUCCUUAUGAGCUUGCCCAAGAGUUUUGAGCAGUUCCGCUUGAAUUACAACAUGAACAAGAGGCAGUAUAGUCUUGCGGAACUGCUGACAGAACUUCAGGCAGCUGAAGGAUUAUUUCGCCAGAGUGUUCAAGUGAAUGUGGCUGAGAAAGGUUCUUCCUCUAAGCCGAAAGGCAAUAAGAAGAAGAAAAAGGCUCAGACACAGAAAGCUGUGAAGGCAGUGGGAGUUCAAGGUGGUGUGAAAAAGCCUAAGGGGAAGUGCUACCGGUGCAAGCAGUCGGGUCACUGGAAAAAGGAUUGUCCUCUUCCUAAGAAGACAAACGAUACUGGUAUGUCUCUUUCUCUAGUUACAGAAACAUUUGUAGCGGCUAUAUCUACGAGCACUUGGUGUGUAGAUACUGGAGCCACUGAUCAUGUUUGUAACUCUAUGCAGGGGUUCCAGCAAUCCAGAAUGCUUAGAGAUGGUGAGAUCUACGUGUUCAUGGGAGAUGCUACGAAAGUAGCAGUAGUUGCAGUAGGAGUUAUUCAUUUAUCUUUUGGUUCUGAUAGGAUUUUGGUUUUGAACAAUUGUCUUUAUGUACCUUCUUUUAGAAGGAAUUUGAUUUCGGUUUCUAAACUUGCUAUGGAUGGUUAUAAUGUUUGUUUGGAUCGUAAUGUUUCUAUUAUGAUGAAUAAACGGAUUAUAUGUUCUGGUACAUUGCAAGACAAUUUGUAUAUAAUUAAUCCUAGUCAACCCGCACUGCAACUACAACAUAGGGUAUUGAACAACACAUCUUCUACCUCUAAUAAAAGAAAGGAACCUUCUAGUUUGAACCAAACAUAUCUUUGGCACUUGAGAUUAGGUCAUAUUAACUUGAGGAGGAUUCAAAGACUGGUAGUAGACGGGCCUUUAGGCUCAUUGGCAGUGGAGCCAUUUCCAGUUUGUGAAUCCUGCUUGGAAGGUAAAAUGACCAAUAGGCCUUUUAAGGCAAAGGGGAAUAGAGCCAAAGAAGUGUUAGGAUUGGUUCACUCUGAUUUAUGUGGACCUAUGAAUAUCCAAGCAAGAGGUGGUUAUGAGUAUUUCGUCACUUUUAUUGACGAUUAUUCUAGAUAUGGAUACGUUUAUUUGUUGCGCCGUAAGUCUGAGUGCUUUGAGAAAUUCAAAGAGUACAAAGCUAAAACGGAGAAGCGACAUAAUAAAAGUAUCAAGUCACUACGAUAUGAUCGUGGUGGCGAAUACUUGCUUGGGGAAUUCAGGGAAUAUUUAUCCGAGAAUGGGAUAGAAUCCCAGUUGACUGCACCAGGCACACCCCAGCAGAACGGUGUAGCAGAGAGAAGGAACCGGACUCUUUUAGAGAGUGUUAGAUCGAUGAUGAGUUAUUCGGAUUUACCCAAGUCCUUUUGGGGACAUGCCUUAGAGACAGCAGCUUAUCUUCUGAACUUAGUACCUUCUAAGUCGGUUCCUAAAACCCCUUUAGAAUUGUGGACCGGGGACAAACCGAGUCUGAGACACAUUCGGAUAUGGGGUUGUCCAGCACAUGUGCUGAACAAGAACGCGACUAAGCUAGAAUCUCGUACAGAAGUAAAGCUGUUUGUAGGCUACCCCAUGGGAACAAAAGGUUAUUUAUUUUAUAGUCCUAAGAACAAUGUUAAGAUGUUGUCUUCAAUAAGGUCAUGGUUGUUCAAACAAUUUGAAAUGAAGGACUUAGGUGAAGCAGCAUACAUCCUUGGGAUCAAACUUAUAAGGGAUCGCAAGAAAAGGAUGUUGGCUUUAUCUCAGGAGCCCUACAUAGAUGACGUAUUAGCUCGUUUUAACAUGCAGGACUCCAAGAAGGGUAAUUUACCCUUCAGACAUGGAGUUACUCUAUCAAAGAGGCAGUGUCCUUCGACACCUAAGGAGAUAGAGAACAUGAAGGCAGUUCCUUAUGCUUCGGCAUGUGGGAGCCUAAUGUAUGCAAUGUUAUGUACGAGGCCUGAUAUCUGUUUUGCCGUGGGCAUGGUUAGCAGAUACCAGUUGAACCCAGGACAAGAACAUUGGAGUGCUGUAAAAGCAAUACUCAAGUACCUGCGAAGGGCUAAGGAGUAUAUGCUGGUUUACAAGUCCUCUGAUUUAUUGCCUCCGGGAUAUACCGAUUCGGAUUUCCAGACGGAUAAGGAUAAGAGAAAGUCCACCUCGGGAUGUGUUUUUACUUUGGGAGGUGGAGCCGUAAUAUGGAGGAGUGUGAAGCAGAAAUGCAUCGCGGACUCAACCAUGGAAGCCGAAUAUGUGGCAGCCUCGGAGGCAGCCAAAGAGGCUAUAUGGUUCCGAAACUUCCUGCUGGAUUUGGGUGUGGUUCCUAAUUUGCCACAGCAAAUCACGAUUUAUUGUGAUAACACUGGUGCUGUGGCGAAUACCAAGGAACCGCGGGCCCAUAAGGCAGCGAAACACAUAGAGCAGAGGAGACUGUGAAUGGCUUAACUUUGCAGAGGAAAAAUGUUCUCUACAUUCGACCUAAAAUAUACGUCUGUCCAUGAUUCAUCUCGUAUCAAGAUUUCAUGUGCCAACUUAAUUUAUGAAAUAAUAGCUGUAAGAUGAUCCUGCAGCUUUUCUGUGUAAUAAGUGGAACUUAAUUAUCAAUAACAGAGCUUCCCCACUUGGAUGCUGAAUUAGGAAGUUCAAGCUAUUGUUUCUCGGCUAAUGUCAAUGAAUACAAUGCAUUAUUUAUAUCCAUUUCCCAAAAGGAAAUAUUAUAUCGAGAACCCAAAAGGAAAUAUUAUAUCGAGAACAAAUUUUCAUAUCCAGAGCUGAAAAAGUAUGAAAAGACGAAAUUAUUCCUUACAUUUUUUUUUUCUUUUGUUGUAAUUGUGUAUGCACGAGGUCAGUUUUGUCUUUUCAUAUUUGUUUGCUCUCGAUAUAAAAACUUUGCUCUCGGUAUAGUAUUUCCCUUCCCGAAAUUAGUUAUUUUAUCAUUUUAUUAUCCUUGUUUAUCCAAUUCAAAUUUAAUACAAGUUUCAAUGUUACUACCUGUUAGGGUUAUACUAAAAUAUUCGUUUGAAGUAUAUAACAAUUAUUUGAGAAUCUUGAAUGCAUGUUUUCACAUUGUCUGUAUAUUAUAUAUUGUAGACAAUCUAGUAUCAAAUGGGAUAGCAGAAGAUUAGAUUGUCAGACUCCUUAUAUAAUAUAAUAAAGGUUCACAGUCGAGGUGGUGUUAGACAAACCACUGGAACGGCUGAAGUAUUAUUUGGAAAUAGUUUAUCUUGACUAUUGAAUAAUACUUAUAUACUUUGUGUAUAUUGAACGGGAUCAAAAUAGUAGAAUAAUUGUUUCUUUAAUUCUGACAAUAAAGAACUAAGAUUCUAUGAUGUUAUUAAUGCUUAAGUUCUUAAUCCGGAUAUAGUGAUUGACACUUGUAUUUAAUGCACAUGCCUUGACUCAUAAAUUAAGUAAUUUAUUUUAAAUUACGAAUUUAUGUAUUGGGCAAUGACAUUAUAUACAGAGUGUGAUAUUGACUAUAGAAGGAAACCGUGUCCGAAAAAUAUAUUCGGGUGAUGAUGUCCUCUUGAAAGCUCAUAAAGAUAAUUAUGCUUUAGUCCUGCAGGCAGAUUUGUUCUUGCAUAAUUAUAAGGUUGAGUGGAUGAUCAAGGAUAAAAGAUAUUGAUUAAAUUAAUUGUCAGAAAUUAAUUUAAUUAAUGGACAUGCGAUAUCUUAAACAUGGGGAAUUUAUAAGCAAUUAAUAUGGGAGCCGAAUUAAAUAAUUAAUUUACGGAAUUAGGAAAGGUAGUGCAAAUAUUAGUUCUUUAGUGGAUAGAAUUAAUAUUUAAUGACAUUGGGCCUGGCCCGGAAUGUCAUUGGAAGGCCUGACCUAAUGAUCCAUGAUCCCUGCUGUAGCCUAUAUAUAUUCUCGUUCUCUUAAAGCUGAAAGACACACCUAAACGAAUUAAUCCUAGAGUCAGAGAGAGGCAGACGUUUUUCUCAAGGAGACAGCUAGGGUUUUGGGUUUUCGGAGCUUUAAGGAGAGGCACACCUUGGGAGAUCGAAGGCCACACUUCGUCCAAGGAGAAUCAAGGAAUACAGUAGAAGACGUGGAUUUGAAUCGCUUGCGCCGUAGCGAUGAAGGUUAAUAUUCCGUUCGAACUUUUAAUUAGUAUCAUAAAACGCAGGACCAAGGUCCGAUUGUUCCUACACUACCUCCAUCUCAAUAUAUAAAUCCCUUUUAAAAAAAACACACAUAUUAAGAAAAGAGGUUUUUUUUUUUUUGGAAACGCAACACUUUUAUUAAAACCUACCUCCAACAAGAUGUAGGAGUAGCAGAACAACAUACAAGCAGAGCCCUAAGCGACAGAGACCAAGACUAAUAGAUAGAACCUAACAAAAAGAUCUGGAAAGCGACCCCAGCAACUGGACUAAACUAAUUUAUUCAGCUAAAUUCGAAACAUAUAACUACAAAAUGCAGCUAGAUCCUAAAAGAUUGCAGAGAACUUUCAGUCAAUUUCCUCCAAUGGAGGAUCUCCUGCGAAGAGGAAACCAGUUGCUGCUCCAGGCUGAAACAUUUUUUCAUGAUCAUUAAUAGGCUCAUCAAAGACAAAAGGUGGAACAUUUUCCUGAAUCUGCACACCUCCAUUUGUUGUGCCUGGAUUUGCAGUAGGAACUCCACCAUUUGCCAUCAUCUGCUCAGCUGGAACCGCUUCUGGAGCACCAUUCUCUGCAUGCGCUUCACCAUGCACAUGUUCUUGACCAAGGAAAAGACAUUUAACUUAACCUGCUAUGCCUACAACCGCAUUAAAGUUGACUAGAUCUGGAGCAUCUUCUGGCACACGGACAUCUAUGAAGUUAGGGUGAUCCACACCCGGCCCCAUGUCCCAGUCGAUAAGCUCCUCCAGAGGCCCAACCAUACGAUUGAGGGUGUAGAGUCGAUCACGAACCUCUCUUCCCAUAUGAGCAACAAACCUAGCCACAUGAUUCCUGGCUGGAAAGACAUACGCCAACACGCAUACCCAGCAACGAGCCCUUAAGAGGAUGGAGAUUUGAGACACCAGGUCAAAGAGUGGAGCAGGUGCACCAUGAGUGUUGAAACCACGCACUAUUUGAUAAGCCUGCACAUUUGUCUGUCUCGAUGAUUACUGACUAAUUAGAUGUGAUUUUAUCUUAUAUAUCAUUAAUUAGUGUAUUGAAAAGUAAGAAUAGAGUUGAACAUUGAGAAAUGAAAAUGGAGUUGAGUUUCAAAAAAAUUUCAAUAAAUAUAGAGUUAAAUUUGUGUUGAAGGAAGAGAGGGACAUCAGACAUGUAAUAUGAGACAAAUUAUUUUCUUAAAAGGGACUUAUAAAUUGAGACGUGGGAGUAAUAUAUAUAUAUAUAUAUAUAUAUAUAUANNNNNNNNNNNNNNNNNNNNAUAUAUAUAUUAGCCCACACAAUAUUCAUGAUUUACAAUACUCUCUCCGUUUCAAUUUACAUGUCCACUUUUAACAAUUUUUUUUUUCAAAUUAGUUGUCCACUUUAACUUUCAAUGCAAAAUCAUAUUUUCAAAGUCAAUUUUACUUGACAUAUCCCUUAUUUAUGUAUACUAGAUCAACCAUGUUCCACAUAUUAUAGUUAUUCAAUGCAAUUAAUUUGUGAACAUUUAUUUUACUUAAACUGUGUGAUCUGAUUUGAAACGGAUGGAGUAUAUAUUAUGUUGAAUUUUAACAAAAUGAAUGAAAACUUAUUAAGUAGUAUUUUUGUAUAACCAAUGCAUGAUAACGAUAAUAAUAUAUCACAUUCAAUAUUUUUUUAAUAUGUGUAAUUUUUAUACAAUGAACUAUUAAAACGAAAGGAUGGGAGUAAUUGUUACCGUGGGAUCGGACUCUUGGUCAGUACCAGCCAAUAUCAGAGCAUCAUGAUCAAAAUAUUAUAAAAUACUAAUGUUAAACCCAAAUAUAGGAAAUCAAAAGUUAGUUGACUUCAUUGGUAUAAGGUAUUUUCUAAAUUGCUGCCUUAUAUAUAUUAAUUAAUAUUAAUGAGUAAAGAUAGAAAAUGAUCGACAUAAAAUGUAAUAUAUAUUAAUAUAUUAUACUUCUUCUGAUUUUUAUUAUUUGACGUUUUGACUUUUGACAAACAUUUUUAGCUGAGUUGACCAGAUAGUAAAAAUUCUUAUUUUGAUUGAUUUUUUUUUUUUGAAUUAAAAUUCUGAUUAGAUAUUCAUAUCCAAAAAAGAAAAUUGCAAAAAUAAUAUUUUUAACUACUCGGUCAAAGCACUUAAAAAUAUGUGCCCAAAGUCAAAGCGUUAAAUAUUAAAAAGGAAGUAAGAAGUUUCUAAAAAUCGAGUUUGUAAAAAUACUUAUAAAUAUAUACAAACAAGAAUUUUUUUUACGAGAAUGUCUAAAAGUGAUUUAGUUAUAAUGUAGAAUAUCUGUUAAAAUAUGUUAUAAAAUAGAAAGACUCGUAAAUUCGUUAAGAUACCGAUUGAUCGGUCAAAAUUUUAAUAUAUCGACUUUAGUAGUAUAACAGGGAUGAUAUCAUAUUAUUGUACAAUAUAGUUUGUGUAAUACUCCAGUUUCAAAUCGAGAACAAUAAAUACAUUAGUUCAAGUUAUAAGUAUAAGUACUAACUAGCAUAAUAACAUGUGCAAAGCAUGGGUCAUAUUCUACCGGUUCCGUGUUGGUUGUGAUUCAUAAUAUUAUCGCUAUAUUUUGAAAGUUUUAAAUGAAUAUUGUUCCAUCCCAAAUUAUAAUAGAGAUGAGUUAAAUAUGAUACUCACUAGAAUACUAAAUUCUUUCCAAUUCAGCCUUUCAUAGACGUUGUAACUCUAGCAUGCAAGAAGCGCAUAAUAUAUUCCUUUGUGCUUCACAGGUUAACUAGCAUACCACAAGGCACAGUAAAAUGGACAACGGCUGACUUCAAAAUAAAUAGGAGCGCCACAAUUGAUUUCUUAGUUAUAGCCUUGCGCAUGUCCUAGUGAAUUAACUAUGUCCAUAAUUUCUGCCAGAGACAAUUUGCAUGUUCAGCUAAGGCUCUGUGGAUCAGGUUCCAGAUAGAACCACUUAAACUUAGAACCUUAAAACCAUAUUAAUAGUCAUUAAAUGAAAGUAAUUUGAAUGUGUGAAAUUAAACAUAUGAAUGUGUUUUAAUAUAUAUAGUACAUAUGUAAAUAUACAUGUCUUCAAUCAAUGCACAUUCUUAAUUUAUAUUUGAUCAUUUUAACAAUAAAAAUAUAUUUAAUAUUUAAUUCAUAUAUCUCAGUAGUGUGAUGCAACAGAACUCCAAAAUACGAAGAGCUUGAGUGCGUAUGUUAUUAUUAUUUAUAUGUAUUACAGCAGAUGUUCAUGUUUUGUAAUAUUAUAUAAGCUAGAUAUGUACUGCAUCAGAAUCCCCUGUUAUGUAAUAUUAUAUGAGCUAGACGUGUACUGCAGCAGAAUCUCGUUUUUUAUAAUAUUAUUUUAGCUAGAUUUGUACUCCAACAGAAACUCGUUUUUUUGUAAUAUUACAUGUACUCCAACAGAAUCUCGUGUUUUGUAAUAUUAUAUUAUUAGAAUUGAUUGAGAAUCACAUGUUGUAGGUUUGACUUCCAUUUAUAAAAAAAAAGCAUAUAUAUUAACUGAUUAUUACAAUGAGUAGGUAGUAGUUAAUGAUUAUUAUGAUUUGUAAUAAUGAUUUACAUAUAAGACAAGGUAUCUUAAAUACCAUUAAGUUGUAAUUUUUAUUUAUAUAGUUAGGAAGAUUAUGAGUACCAUUGAAUUCAUCUAAUGGAUGUGUGUGCUCUAAAGUUCUAAUUUUAAUAUUGGUUUCAAUUUGAACCUCACCCAAGGCGAGUUAAGUUCUAUGGAGACAACUUUUUUUUGAGACCGUGGAGACCGUUUCUGUUCAGCAAGUAAAAUAUGCAUAAAAACAGUGCAAAACAUAAUUUUGCAAAUAAUGUUGUACAAAGAUCAAUAUAUCAUUUAAAAUUUUGAUUAUCAUGUACGUUUUGCAUGUAGGAUAUUAUAAAAUAUUUUAUCCUGCGUAAGCAGAACAUUUGUUCAAUUUGCAGAACAUACACAUUCUACUUAUUAAACAUAGAUGUUCUAUAAUAAUUUUAAUGAAUUGGUGAUAUUUGUAGAAUUUACUUCACAAAAUAAUAUAUUCUACAGUAUUUUGAUUUGCAAAAUUAUGAGUUUUGCAAUGUUUCUAUACAAUAUUUUACUUGCAGAACAUAAGUGGUCUCCACGGUCUCCAAAAAAAGUGGUCUCCAUAGAAUUUUAAUUUUGCCAAUUCAUACAACCGAAAUUUUGAGUAUAUAUACGGGUGGGUUCUGGUACAAACUUACAAACUUUAUGCGUUCAACACAUAUAUAAUUUGAGUUAAACAUUUUUUUAACAUAUUUUGUUGAACAUCGAUUAAAAUUGUGUUGGAGAAGUAUAUAAACUAAUUUUUCAAUGUAAGAACUAAGUUAAACGUGUUAUAUAACUAAUAUUUAUGUUUCUAGCAAUGUAAGAACUAAGUCAAACCUGUUAUAUAACUAAUAUUUAUGUUUCUAUACCCUACACAAACCCCAGAGGUAUAGUUUAAGCAUUUUUAUAAAUAUAUUUAACACAAUGAUAAUUAGUGUUCUACACCCGAUGUUGAACCCCAGUUAUAAAUGUAUUGAAUGUACGAUUUAUUUAUGCGUUAUUUUUGAAAAUUGUGAUGUUUUUUCAAGAAUUUUCAACAGGGAUACUUUCUAUAACUAAGGAUUAACAUGAUGGAAGAAUAAAAAAAGUUUAUAAGUUUGUAACUUAAUUUUUUUUUUUUUUGAUCCUAUCCCUAUAUAUAUAUUAAUUAUAAAAACAUAUAUUUAGAUAUAUAUAAUAUAGGGUCAUGUUCAAGAGAGAACCAUUAGAGAGAGAACCAUGGAACCCUUACCUUAUUUCUAGUAUUAGGUAGGGUUAUGCAGCAGAAUUUAAGUAUUAGUUAGGGUUCUGCAGCAGAACUUCACAUGCAAAAAAAUAUCAAUAUCUAUGUAUUAUAUUUUAAAAUUAUUUUUGAACACAAACAACGAUGAAAAAAUAUGAAAAAACAUGUAUUUAGAUUUAGAUCUGAAAAAUCUAUUUAAAAUUUAGGGUUCUGCAACGGAACCUUAGUGGUUCUAUGGUUCUAUUUUAAGGACUGUUUCUCUCUUGAGCGCGACCCAUAUAUAUAUAUGUACAUAUAUUUAAACAUAUUUUUAUAUAUCUCCUGAUUCCUUUUUCGUCUAUUACGCACCUUAUUUCUUCCAAUGUCAUCACUCGUCCUUCUUCUUUUAAGACUCUCUAUUGACAUUGCCUUAUCUUCUCUGUUAACUCUGGUUGUGUUGAAAUCUCGAAUAGGCUUUUAAUGACCUCUCCGAUUAUCUUGAUAUUAAUUACCAACUUUUCAAAUUCUUGUAUUAGUUCCUCGGAAAUGGUUAUCAUUUUAAGUCUUUCCUUCCUACUAAGGGAAUCAACUACCAUAUUGGAUUUACCUGGGUGACAAAGAAUUUCAUAGUUAUAAUCCUUAGUUAACUCCAACCACCUCCUCUAUCUCAUGUUCAGCUCUUUUUUGAGUGAAGAUAUACUUAAGACUCUUGUGAUCCGUGUUAGGUCUGGAUACGAUUGUAGAAUGAGGGUUGAAUACAAUCAUCCAGAAUUCGCGCGGGAAUAAUAUGAUUUAAAUCGAUCUUGUAAAUUGGAUUAAUAUUAAUUAAUGAAACAAGGUUCAAGUUAAAUGGUAUGUUAAACUUGAAAGUCGUUAAUUACACAAUUGAAGGGGUUCAGUUUUAAUGUCCACUAAAUAUUCUAGAAUAAAUUUGACAGAAAGUAUUCUAGUUUAGGGAUUAAAACACUCGAAUGAUUGCAGCACAGAAUUUUUGCGAAUAUAACAUUGUGCAAGUUAAGCAACUUGAUCAAGUUUACAAUUUUUGUGAACACUACAAAUGAAAAACCAAAGGCCAUAUUUAAAGGCAAUGGUAAAUGAACUACUAAGAAAAUUAAUCAAAUGAUAAGACAACAUUUGUUAAGAAAAAUAUGCAUGUGCUAAGACAAAACAACAAGUGCUAAGACAUUGGUACACUCGGCAACAUAAAAAAAUUCGGGAAGACAAUUUAUAAAAUUGUCUUGCCGUGUGCACAGACCUGCUAAGGCAACAAACUAUUCGGGAAGACAAUUUAUAAAAUUGUCUUGCUGAAUUACACAUGAAACUGCAAAGAUAAGCCAUUGAGAAUUCGGUAAGACAAUGUUAGACAUUAUCUUCCCGUGUCCAAAAGAUGGCCAAGAGUAGUAGUAGCUCGGGAAGACAACCGAGUUUUAUAAAUAUAACAAAUAAAAAUUUCUUUUAUAAAUAAUUAGUAAACUAUUAUUCACUAAUUGAAUAAUAGUUUACUAAUUGAAUAAAUUCAUGAAUUAAAUUACUUGGAAAGUGAAUUAAUUUAAUAAAUAAAUUACACAACCAAUAUAAUUAGUUAGAGUAGUGAAAUAAGAUGUCUGAGGAGGACAAGCUCUACUACAGGAAUUACCUAGUGGCUCCUACCUCCAAGACUUGUACUAAGCUCAUGAACUGACUUGCAAAGGCAAGGAAACUUGAUCAUGUUCCCCUGAGUGUAACUCCAUUUAUGCUUGAUCAGUUUAAUGCUCAACUUCAACCAUAUAGCUACAAGUGGCACCACCUCCUCAACCACUGCAGCAACUACAACCUGGAGAACCACUUCCACCACAUCAACCUCAACAACAACAACCUCAACAACAACAAGAACUGCAACAAGAAGUGCAACAACAACAACCUCAAAUUCAACCAAUUCUACUUAUCCAAGACUACCAAUCAUCAAGGCAAUCCUCACACCAAUAUCCAUACUAAUCCCCUCACCAUUCACCAUAUCAGUCACCACAUCAAUCACCUCUACAUCACCCUUCACCACCGCAGGAAGGAUCACAACUCUUCUUCCCUGUACAACAAUCAUCCAUUUUCCCAUCACAAUCUAAACCUACACCUUCAAAUAUCCAAACACAUUUCAUCCCCCAAACACAAUCAACCCCCCAGCCACUACUAGCUGAUUCUGACAUCAACAUUGAGCUACAGAAAAUUCAAGACGACUUACAGGUAGCUGAGGUACUUUCUAACUUCUCAACUAAUUUUACUGUUGAUAUAGCAGAUUAUGAUUGUAAACUUGAUUAUGUGUGCCAGCCUGCCAGCAAUGAAUCUGAAAACACCCAGGUUCAUAAUCAAGGUCAUGAUUUCAUUUCAACCUCUGGUUCUUCGUCAAACACUUCCACCAACACUACUACACAUGUUGUUAAGAAGGUAGCCUGGAAACAGAGUGGGUGUUAUGAUUCAUGAACCCGCAGCUCUGUCUCUACAUAAGAAGCAAAGGGUGGAUGAACCAGAGACAACUGCAGCCGCAUCCAUUUUCUUCCAAAAGGAUUUGGAUACUGAAAUGGUAAAUAUACAGUCUCUAGAUUCAUUCUCUCAACAGCAUGCGUUUAUUGAAAUUUUUUGUCCUACCGCGGUACCCUGUAUAGAGUCAAGCACAUCACUAGCACUCACGCUAAUAAACACUCAACCUGAUACAUAUGAUACUACACUUAAUGAGUGCACAGAUUUUCAAAACAUGUUAAAUGAAAACUUUUCUGAUCCCUCUUUCUUUUUGGAUCAGUAUCUACUUGGCAACCUGCAAGUACAUCUGCCUUCAUAGGUAUCGGAAAGACAAUUUGUUCCUUCACUACCUUUAGUUCCAUCUCAAGGAGCUUUAGCAGUAUAUACAGGUACUGGUGACGGUGUGAUAAACACGAGUGAAGAAAGGCAAAAACACUGAGCGAAACACAUGCACGAGAGGAUAGAGAUAAUUCUUUGAAUGUUCGUGAGGUGAGUUCACACACCGACACAAAUCUGUUGCAGGAACAAAUGGCCAAUCUGAAAGAUGAAUAUGAAAGGCUUGCUGCUGAGAAUGCUAAGUUGAAGAAUGGAGAGCUAGUCACUCUACAGGAACAGGUUUCUGAUUAUCCCUCUACCUCACUGAGAGAGGAAAUGAAAGCACAUGUCAAGGGUAUUCACUCUCGGAUUGACAAGGAUCAUGAGCUCUAUAUGUCAAAGCUUGAUAACUUGGAGCACUCAAUGGCCCAAGUUAUUGACUUUUUGAAGAUUUCAAAGUCUAUAGCUCAGUCAACUACAAAGGAUCUGUUAUUUUACACUAUCUAUGAGAAAUAUUGUAGAAAGGGGGGGUUGAAUACAAUCUUUUACAAACUAAAAGAUUCAAGAAGAAGAACACUUAAAACAAUAAAUCAUAAAAAUACCAAGUAUUAAAAAUACGGGUGGAUUGAAUGAUCCACCCAUGAGAUUUUAUAUUGAAGAAUCUGUGGAUUGAUCACAAUUCUCACAGCUGCAGGUUCAUCACUUGAACAGUUUCUAACUCUCAGAUUUUCUCUCAAGUAUUCGAACAAGUUCAACUGAUGCUACUAACUUGGUUAUAUACUCCAAGUUUUACAAAGCUUUUAACUAGAAUACAAAUUGUGCAAUCUAAUCUAAACUAUGCUGCACAUCUUUGUCUUAUGCAAGCUUUCUGUAAUGUCUUCAUCUUUGACUAUCAUCUUGAUUUAAUCCAGAUUGCAUUGCAUGAGAUAAGAAUGUUUCUGGUUCUUCUUUGUUGUCCUAAUCAGGCUUCCAUGCCUAUUUUGGUGUAAUUCGAUCCAUGUGACUUGUCAGAAUUAAGCUCUAGUCACUUUCAACUGCUAUUUACUUCAUCAGUCGAAAGUGGCUUCAUCAGUUGAACGAAUUACAGACUUCAUCAGUUGAGUCCCGUUCCAGUCUCAUCAGUUGAAUACUUUAGCUUCAUCAGUUGAAUACUUUGUCUUCAUCAGUUGAAUGCUUGGUUUUCAUCAGUUGAAACACAGUGCAGUCUUCAUCAGUUGAAUUGUUACAACUCAUCAGUUGAAUAUCCUUCACUUAGAAAAAAUUACAUGGGCUUGGAUAUUUACAAUUAGCCAUCCUAUUCUAUCCAUCCGUUGAUAAUUCUCAAGGACAAGAAAUAUAACAAUUACAACUGAAUUUUGAUAAAGGCUCUAAAUAAAACAUGUUGCAGAGUGUUUAUGUUAUCAUCAAAAUUAUUGAUUCUCAACAAUCUCCCCCAAUUUAUGACUGGAGAAGAUGCAGACAUAAAUUCUACACUUGAUGAUAACAAAACACAAAUAAAACAAAGUACAAAAUUUAAAUGCAAGAGAUAGAAAGUUUACAGAUGAUUUUGCUUCUCUAGACUGAGCAGUUUACUUGUUCCUAGAAGAUCUUCUUCUUCUGGACUUAAUCUUUUCUUCAAGAAUAUCAAUCUGUUUCUGAAAGAUCCUAUAAACCAUUCUUCAUCACUAUCUUGUCUGUUGAGCUUAGAUUGAAGAGUCUUCAGACUGUUCAUGCUAGCUAUUUUGAGUUGAUCUUUAGGUCUGAAAAAUCUCCUAACACCUCGGCUGUCCCCGAACUCCAUAAUUGGGGUUGGCUCAUGGUGAAUUUUCUUUCCAAUGUAGGGGAUUUUCAGCCUUCUUUGUAAGCUAGCAUCUGAACUCCAUUCUUUCCUGAUUUCCAGAUUUCUCUUUAACACCAUUUGUUUAGCUGGUGGUGUAAAGCCUCCCGUUCUCUUCAUUGCAGCAUAGAUCUUUGUAAGAGAACUAAAUCCUUCAGAAUUUAGAACUCUAUGAAGAGGCCAGGUGACAUCACCCUUGCUUUUGUAUGAGAAAACCAGUCUUUCAAGAAGCUUGGAAGUUGGCUCUAUUCCCCUUACUUCAUGAAGAUCAUUCAAAUCCAGCUCCAGUUCAGAAAUUUCUUCAAUAUUUGCUAUGACAAGAUAGUCAUCUUCAUUCUCAGGUUUCUUAGGAGUUUUUGGAGGGUUAGCCAGUUUCUUUGCCAUUGUUUUCCCUUUCUUCUUUGGCUUUGAAGUUUCUUGAAAAAAGAAGGCUAGAAUUGGAAUAUUUUCAAAGUCAAUUGGCUUCUCCUUAGGUAUAAUUGGCUGUUCAUGAUAGUUGGUGUCUGGAUGUACCACUGUGGUUAUCUUGAUUGGAGAAGAAGGUUUUCAUGAUGGCACAGGCUUUUCUAGCUCUUCUUCUCUUCUUGGCAGCCUCAGGCAUCCUUGACUUGGCUUUGACUCUUUUCUUCUUUGGAGGAUUUUCAGGAACAAUCCUAAUUUCAUUUUGAAGUUCAGCCUCCAACUCCUCUUCCAGCUCAAUUGCAUACUUUUCAUCAACUUCUAUAUCUUGAUUCAUAGAAAGUUGUGAUUCAUAUUCUUUCCUUUCACAUUCUCUGGCCACCUCUUCUGCUUUUGCAAAUGAGUAAUGUGGAUGGCCAGUUCCAAUGAACAGCUUUUGGCCUUCUCUGUAGAUGAUGGAAAAAUGAGCUUUUAAAGCCUCAUCUGUAGAAUCUUUGUAGCUCUUGAUUUCUUGGCCCAGAAGCUUGUAUUCAUUUUUGUCAGGCCUGGCUAGAGGAAAAUAAAUUGAUCUUGAAUUUUUUUCAGGCCUUGAAUAACCACAAUUGGAAGGCGACAGAAUGACUUUGAAUUCAUUCAAGAUUGAUGGCUCACCCUUCUCCUACUUUGAUGGAAUAAGAAGUUGGAACUGUUGUGGCUGUAGAUUGUGAAGUUGAAGAGGAUUUCUUUCCCAACAUUUGGUCCAACCUCUCCUCAAUUGAGUCCAGAGCUGCAAUUCUCUUGUUUUCUUUCUCAGUGUAGAAAGGUGGUGGAAUUCUUCUUACCAACUUUGUAGGAGAAGGCAAGGGCUCUUUCUCCCUCUUUUUGUUAGCAACAAGUGUAGGAGGUCUAGGAAUAGAAAUGCCAGAUGCUAUAAGAAGAUGUUGGAGAAGAUCAGUCUGCACUCUCUGGUGUUGAAGCAUCUCAUGCAUUCUGGAAUCAAGAACUUUGACUUUGCUUUCCAGAACCUCCAUUUGCUGUUCUAGCUUGGCCUGUUUCUUCUCAGAAUUAGUCACUGCAGAUAUGACUUUGGUGGGUAGCCUCUCAUCAAUUUUUGAGGAUAAGUCAAUUUUUACAGUAGAGAAGAGAGUGUUAAGGUGCUCCACUUCUUUCUGAAAAUGAAGAGAUUGAUAUUUGUGCAGCCUGAGAUUGUCUAGGGCCUGACUGUCAAAAGUGGCAGAGAUGGAGGAAGAUGAGCUGCCAGCCUGAGAAUUGAGAAUUGAUGCAGCUUGCCUUUUCAAUUCCAUACUGACAACUGUGGCAUUGGCUGACUGCAUGGAGAGCCAAGGAGGAAGAGAAGUAGAUGGCUCUGCAGGCUCUUCAUUAAGUGAAUUUCCAAGAGCUCCAUUGAGGUCCUCAUCACUUUCAUCCUCAUAUUGAAAAUCAUCACCAGCAUUGACAGGCAGAGCUACAAGUGCCUCCUUUGCUCUGAGCAUAGAUGAAGUGGUGUGAAUGAGAUUUAGACUCCUCUCAUGUUACAUAUUUGAUGAUGUCACAGGUAUCUAACUUGUUUAGUGUGCAGAAGCAAAUAUCAGAGUUUAGCUGGAAAUCAGAGUUUAACGACUGCCAGCUGGAUCAGAGUUUAUCGAUGAUCAGAGUUUGCAGGCGGCUGAUUUUCAGGAGCAGAUCUAGCUAAAUAAGGAAGAUAAAGAUUAAGGAAGAUUGUGCAAAUCAGGACAACAGAAGGAUAGCUACUGAUUAGAUUAUUUUAGGAAGCAGAUAAUUAUGAAUCAAUCAGUAGAUAUCAUGUAACUGUGUAUAUAAACACAGAUUAGGGUUUACUCUAUAUGAGUUAGAAUAUCGAGAAUAUUAUUCUUGUAACCCAGCAGCUCUUAGUGAUAAGUUAUAAAUCACUAAGAGAGUUUUUGUAACCUACUGAGUUUUGUGAAUAAGAGUUUACUUUGUUGAAUCUCUUGUUUGAGUAUUUUGUUAUUGAUUGUGUUCACUAUAUUAAUUAAUAUAGUGAGUUAAUUCGGCCUAACAAGUGGUAUCAGAGCCAGGUUUGUUGAUAUACCUACAGUGAGAUCUUAAUCACACAAUCAUGUCUGAAAAAUCACAAACUUCAAAGUAGAUAUGAGUCACUUAGGGUUCCGGUCCUCAGGGCAUCUGAAUAUCCUAUCUGGAAGGUUAGGAUGGUUAUGUUUCUGGAAUCCACAGAUCCAGAGUACCUGGAAAGGAUUUAUGAUAGUCCACACAUGCCAACAAAGCUCUCUGUUGCAGUUGGAGAUGAACCCCAGAAGAUGAUCCCCAAAGAAAAGAAAGACUAUACUCCUGAGGACAUCUCAUCAAUCAGUAAGGAUGCAAAAGUAAAACACUUGUUGCAUAGUGCUCUUGACAAUGCUAUGUCAAAUAGAGUUAUUGGAUGCAAUACUGCAAAAGAAAUAUGGGAUGCUUUGGAAGUCAGAUGUCAAGGAACCAAAAGCCAUACAAAAGAACAGAAGAACCAUACUUACUCAAGAGUAUGAACACUUUGAUUCAAAAUCUGGUGAAUCAUUAACUGAUCUUUAUGACGGGUUUGUCAAGCUGCUGAAUGACUUGUCUCUUGUGGACAAAGAAUAUGAUUUGGAAGAUUCAAAUCUCAAAUUUCUGCUUGCUCUUCCUGAAAAGUGGGAUUUGAAAGUAACCACUAUAAGAGACAAUCAUGAUCUUGAAGAGAUGUCUCUGGAUGAAAUCUUUGGAAGGUUGAAAACUCAUGAACUUGAGAUGGAGCAAAGGAGCAAACGACAUGGUGGGAAACCCAAACCAGUUGCUCUAAAAGUUCAAGAAGAAUCAACUGUGAAAAGCAAAGGAAAAGCUCAUGUCAAAAAGUCUGAUACUGAGUCAUCAAACUCUAAUGUUGACUCAGACUCUGAUAUCCCUUCAGACUCUGAUGACAGUGAUACUGAGAUGAUGCGGCUGGCAGCAUUAAUGGUAAAAAGCUUCAAGAAGAUGGCUUACAAGAACUUCAACAAAGGGAAGAAGUUCUCAAGGAAAGACAGAAACUCUGAUAAGAAGGUCUUCAAAAGGAAUGAAGGCAAAGAAGAAAAAAUCUGGAAAAAGNNNNNNNNNNNNNNNNNNNNNNNNNNNNNNNNNNNNNNNNNNNNNNNNNNNNNNNNNNNNNNNNNNNNNNNNNNNNNNNNNNNNNNNNNNNNNNNNNNNNNNNNNNNNNNNNNNNNNNNNNNNNNNNNNNNNNNNNNNNNNNNNNNNNNNNNNNNNNNNNNNNNNNNNNNNNNNNNNNNNNNNNNNNNNNNNNNNNNNNNNNNNNNNNNNNNNNNNNNNNNNNNNNNNNNNNNNNNNNNNNNNNNUGAAGAAAAGAUUGAUUCUCCUGAUUUAAACUCUGUUAAAAGUCUGAUAGCAUAAACUCUGAUUUAAACUCUGAUAAAUCUUCUGCUGCUAGUGUUAACAAACUUAACAAGAACAAAGGAUCCAAAGCAAGUUUGGUACCUUAAAACUAAUCAUUAGUUAUCGUAUGUGUAUUGCAGGGCAACAGGAAAACAUCCGUAGUUCUGGACAGUGAUGCUCUGGACAUAAUGACAAGAAAUAAAGCCCUGCUAUCAGACUUUGUGGAGAAGGCUGGUCCAAACGUUUCUUAUGGAGAUGGCAACAUAGGGAAAACUUUGGGAUAUGGCAAUAUCAAUCUUGGAAAUGUCAUCAUUCAAUCUGUAGCUCUGGUCUCAGGACUUAAGCACAAUCUGCUCAGCAUAAGUCAAAUCUGUGACAGAGGGUAUCAUGUUGAUUUCUUUGAAGAACACUGUGAAGUGGUUAGCAAAAGCACUGGGAAAGUUGUUCUGAAAGGAUAUAGACAUGGAAACAUCUAUGAAGCCAAGCUCUCUUUAAACUCUGAAAGCUCUGCAAUCUGUCUACUUGGCAGAGCUAGUAUUGAAGAAAGCUGGAACUGGCACAAGAAACUAUCUCACCUGAACUUCAACAAUAUAAAUGAGUUAGUGAAGAAAGAUCUUGUGAGAGGACUUCCCAAAUCAGUUUUUACUCCAGAUGGACUCUGUGACUCCUGUCAGAAGGCAAAACAGAGGAAAUCUUCAUUCAAAAGUAAAACUGAGUCCUCAAUUCUUGAGCCAUAUCAUCUGCUUCAUGUUGAUCUUUUUGGACCAGUAAAUAUAAUGUCCAUUGCAAAGAAAAGAUAUACUCUGGUCAUUGUUGAUGAAUUUACCAGAUAUACUUGGGUAUAUUUUCUACACAGCAAGGAUGAGACAUCAUCUCUUUUAAUUGAGCAUGUCAGACAACUGGACAAAAUUUCUAAAGAUGCAGUCAAGAUCAUCAGGAGUGAUAAUGGCACUGAGUUCAAGAAUUCUAAGAUGGAAGAGUUCUGUAAAGCAAAUGGAAUUAAACAGGAAUUUUCAGCACCUGGAACACCUCAGCAAAAUGGUGUUGUAGAAAGAAAGAACAGAACUCUGAUUGAAGCUGCUAGAACCAUGUUGGAGGAAGCAAAAUUGCCAACUUACUUCUGGGCUGAAGCUGUGCAAACUGCUUGUUUCACACAGAAUGCAACUCUGAUAAAUAAGCAUGGGAAAACUCCAUUUGAGAUGGUCAAAGGCAGAAAACCAAAUCUCAAAUACUUCCACAUAUUUGGGUGUAAAUGCUUUGUUCUGAAAAAUCAUCCUGAACAGUUGACCAAAUUUGAUUUAAAAGCUGAUGAAGGAAUCUUUGUUGGCUAUCCUCUGUCAACAAAAGCCUUCAGAGUUUACAAUCUGAGAACAAGGGUAGUCAUGGAAUCCAUUCAUGUAUCCUUUGAUGAUAAGAAAAUUACUGGAAUGGAAGAUUUUGCUGACCAUGAGCAACUGAGAUUUGAAGAUGAAGAUGCAUUCUCUGACUCCAUAAACUCUGACUCUGAGAUCAUAUCAGAGUAUGUCACUCCAACUCACCAACCUCAAGCACAUGUUGAGGGGGAGCACUUUCACAAUGAAAAUCUGGAUGAAAAUGUUGAAGACUCAGCAGAAAACACAAACUCUGAUACUGACUCCUCAAACUCUGAUCAUUCUACAUCAGAGAAUCAUGAGAACACAUCUUCAGGGGGAGCAUCAGAAACUCAGAAUACUCAUGGAGAUAGCAUGAAUAAUGGGGGAGAGGCAUCAGAAACUCAGAAUCAGAAUCAGAAUGACACUGGAAACAGCAUGGAUUAUGGGGGAGGAUCUAGUUCCAGAAGUCAACUGCCACAUGAAAGGAAAUGGACAAAGUCUCACACACCAGAUCUGAUAAUUGGAGAUCCAGAUGUUGGAGUACAAACCAGAACUACAACAGCAAAUGAAUGCUUAUUUCACUCAUUUUUAUCUCAGACAGAACCAAAGAAAGUGGAAGAGGCUCUUAAGGAUGCUGAUUGGGUAACAGCAAUGCAGGAGGAGUUAAAUGAAUUUGAGAGAAAUAAAGUCUGGACACUAGUACCAAGACCAAAGAACAGAUCAAUAGUUGGUACCAAAUGGGUGUUCAGAAACAAGACAGACAGUGAUGGAAUAAUCACCAGAAAUAAAGCCAGACUGGUAGCCAAGGGAUAUUCUCAACAAGAAGGAAUUGACUAUGAUGAGACCUUUGCCCCAGUUGCCAGAUUAGAAGCAAUCAGAAUUUUCUUGGCCUAUGCAGCACACAAGAAAUUCAAGGUUUUUCAAAUGGAUGUGAAAAGUGCCUUUCUAAAUGGAGAGCUGGAGGAAGAAGUAUAUGUUGAACAACCUCCAGGUUUUGUGGACACAAAAUUUCCAGAUCAUGUCUACAGACUGGAUAAGGCACUGUAUGGACUAAAGCAAGCACCAAGAGCAUGGUAUGAAACUCUGGCUCAAUUCCUCUUGGACAGUGGUUUCAACAGAGGUACAAUAGACAAAACUCUGUUUUAUCUCAACCAUGGUAAUGACCUGCUUUUAGUUCAAGUUUAUGUAGAUGAUAUCAUUUUUGGAUCUACUAAUCCUAAACUCUGUGAAAGAUUCUCAAAGCUUAUGCAGUCUAGAUAUCAGAUGAGCAUGAUGGGAGAGAUGAGCUAUUUUCUGGGGCUGCAAGUUAAGCAGACUGAUGAGGGAAUUUUCAUUAAUCAGUCUAAGUACUCCAGAAACCUGCUAAUGAAAUUUGGUAUGCAGGAUAGUUCAGCUACCACUACUCCCAUGGCAACAGCCACUAAGUUAGAUAAAGAUACUGGAUCACCAGUAGAAAUUACUAACUACAGAGGUAUGAUAGGAUCACUUCUAUAUGUAACUGCUAGUAGACCUGAUAUCAUGUUUGCUACCUGUCUCUGUGCAAGAUUUCAAGCAGAUCCAAGAGAACCACAUCUGAUAGCAGUCAAAAGGAUUUUCAAAUACCUCAAGGGUACAGUUGAGAUGGGACUCUGGUAUCCCAAAGAAUCAGACUUUACACUAAUUGGUUACUCUGAUGCAGAUUUUGCAGGGUGCAAAAUAGACAGGAAAAGCACACGUGGAAGUUGUCAAUUUCUUGGAGGAAGACUGGUGUCUUGGUUCAGUAAGAAACAGAAAUCAAUUUCCACAUCUACUGCAGAUGCAGAGUAUAUUGCUGCAGGAAGCUGCUGUGCUCAGAUCUUAUGGAUGAAAAAUCAACUGCUAGACUAUGGGUUAUCUCUUACACAAAUUCCUAUUUAUUGUGAUAACCAAAGUGUUAUUGCCAUGACAGGAAAUCCAGUACAGCAUUCCAUGACCAAACAUAUCAGCAUAUGAUAUCAUUUCAUCAGAGAACAUGUGAUGGAAGGGACAGUAGAACUUCACUUUGUCCCAACAGAUCAGCAGUUAGCAGAUAUCUUCACCAAACCUUUGGCUGAAGCAACAUUCACCAGACUUGUAAACGAAUUAGGGAUGAUCUCUGGUCCUCUCUAAACUCUGUUACAUUCCUUCAUAAGAUAUCUGUUAUUAAUCUCUUUUAUAAACUUGAUCUAUAACUGCAUCUGUUAUUCUCUGAUAUAAACUCUGAUGAUUAUGCACUGAUAUGACAAACUCUGAUAUUUAUACUCUGACCUGACAAACUCUGAUGACAUGAAAUUUUUACUGAUAAAUGACUUUCCUGUGAAGAAUAUGGUGCAAAUACUUGAAUUAAGUCAUAAACUUCUCUAAAGUCUGAUAUUUGUGAUAUUACAUAUGUGAAAAUCUAUGUCACACACAACAUGAUUUAAAGCUGUUACCUAGACUGCCUCACUUCUUAAAUAUUAGACAUGUACUCAGUGAAGAAUUUGUUUUACUCCCCUUAUAAGCUAAGAGUAAAUAAGUCUCAGAUAGGGAUCAACAAAAUUUGUUUCUUCUCAGAAAAGUAAAGAAAAGAAAAGAAAACAAAAGAAAAGAAAGAAGAGGUUAUCUCAUGUACUCCUUUGAGAUCUUAGAAACUCUGUGAAAGGAAAGAUCCAAGUGCACUGCUGGUAUUAAGCAAAAUGCAUCAGAAAAAUCUUAUUUUUCUUGGAGACCUUUCGCAUUCUCAGAUUACUGGAGAAAUACACUGAGAAAUAAAAAUCUGAUGAAGGUUAUGACUCACUUGCCAUGGGAAGUUUCCUUUCAAAAGAUAAGUAUCUUAGAAAAGGGAACAAAACUUAUACUCUGAUCCAUAUUGUGAGAAACUCGGCUUAUGAAGUGGUUAAAACAUUUUCAGUUAAUCUGAUUCUUUCUAAUGUUUCUUAAGAAGUUUGUCAAUCUCUGUGACAACAGAUGAAUCAUAUCAACACACAACUUUCACUCCGCAUUUGUGAUUAACAUAUCUUCUGACUUCGAGUGAUUUUUGAUUAAAUUCAAAUAAUCAUUCAGACUUUCAAUGUCUAUCACUCAUCAGUACGAAAUUUUAUGAACAAUCUCUGAUUUGUCUCAUAGACUGCCAUUUAUUUAAACUCUGGUCAAAUGGUCAAACAUCUGAUCAAAGUCGGAGUUUAAAAUAAAUGAUUUUUUGGUCAGGUAAAUAUUAGAUUUAAUUGUCAAACGGUACAAAACCAUUUGAAUUCCUGAGUGGAGAAAAACACGGUGCAUGACUGUGUUUUCUCGGAAAUUGUUACACACUUGCAGAUACACACGCCAGUAAUAAUUACCGUCCCACUAUUCUUUUUUGUUACCGUUAGACACAUGACACGUGUCCUACUACUGCUUCCUCUCGGUGAAUCGUGCACACACAUAUAUAUAUCAGUUUUAAAAAGUUUUUUAACUUUUUAACUCAUGAUUUUUUUACCGUCUCUCUCUCUCACACUUUCCUCUUCAAUUUCUACUACGCAUUUCAUCAAACACCUUACCUGCAAUCUUUAAACUCUCAUUUUCUCUCAGAAUCAUGUCGACAACAGCAUUUGAGAUUGAUGGAGCAAAGUUUGUGACCAAUAACUAUGUUGCCAUCCUAGACAAUGAUGAAGCCCCCAAGGAGUUUCAUCUUAUUCAGGAUUUUUUGGCUCACAGUGAGCUAAUGUACGCUCUGACUCAGCCGGAGUCCAUUUAUCCUUCGCAAGUCCUCACCUUCUAGAGAACAGCCAAUUAUGAUGAUGGGGGUGAUCAAGGCUCACCAUCUCUGAAAUGUGACUAUGAGGGUCAGGAGUAUGUCGUUUCACCAGCAACAAUCAGGAACUCUUCAUCUUCCUGAAUAGAAGAAGUUUGAUUCUCCAGUCCCUACUCAAACUCUGAGGGACAUGACGAUCUUCUUUGGGUACACAGCCAGUACAGAGAAGAUGGGGGAGCUCAAGCGUCCAAACCUCUGCAAGGAAUGGAGCUUUUUCUAUGACUGCAUCACAAGGGCAUUUGGAAACAAGUGCAGUAACUUUGAUGCCAUUCCAAUAUUCAGCCAACAGAUUGGGUACUCUCUGAUUCAUAAUCUUAAACUUGAUCUUGCUACAUCUAUACUGCGAUUUAUUGGAGAUAGAAGAAAAGAUAAUAUGAACAUUGUGUAUUAUGCUAGAUUCUGUCAGCUUAUAUUCUCUUAUUGUUUUCCUGAUGUACCCAUCCCUGAGUCUGGUAAUGAAUUGCCAUUUAAAAUCACUAAACGUGCUUUUACUGAUCUCAUCAAAAAGGAUAGUAAGAAACCCAACCCUCCAGUCUUUGUUAUUCUUGUUAGAGUUCAGGACAAAUUGAGGGUUGCCAUGCAAGAGAAAUAUGGACCCUUAUUCUCUGAUGAGAAUUUACCACAUCCUCCCUCCUCUACUGCUCACACAGAUACUGUUCCAACCUCUGGUCCUUCCCAACAUGGGUCAGUUGUAAAAUCUGACCCAAUCUUACCCUCUGGUCCUUCCCAAAAAGGGCCAGUUGAAAAAUCUUCACCUAAAAGAGUUCUCAGGUCUUCAAAGUCCCCAACCAAACCAUCUCCUCCUCUCAGAAAAAGAAGAUUCUUACAGAAAAUAUUAUACUCUGACCCUGAUGAAGCACCUCCACCUCCUCAACCAGUUAAGAAACAGAGAAAGAAGAUCAAGCCCACUCAUAUAACUGACCUGACUGUUGAGCCACCUCAGUCAGAGGAUCCCAUACAGGCCUUGAUCCCAUUCUCUGAUCAACCUUCAAGUGCAGACCCAUUCAUGAUUGCACCUAUCUCUGCAGUUCCACUUGACACAAUGGCAGCUGACAUCCAAAUGUCAGAAUCAAUCUCUGAACAUAAUGAUCAACCAGCAGUGGCCAAAUCAGAUGAAGGGUUGAAGUUGAAUCAGGAAUCUCCGACUCAACAUGAAGACAUUACUGCAGCUGAUACUCAUGUGUCAGACAAAACUUCUGAUGUUCCAAGUCAAUCAGAGAUGCACAAAUAGAGCUUGUAUUGCAAAUGAUUCAAGACUCUCUGAUUCAACCUGAAUCAAAUGUUGCAGCUCCUGUUCAGGAGGUUCCUACAGCUGCAAAUUCUGAUGCAGCUACUGAAGCUCUGGCAUCUCACACUCUGAGCAUCUUUGUUGAUGAUAAUGAAGAUGAUGAUGCAACAGAGGUCACAUCAAUUCCUGUGCAGACUUCUGAUCUUCAAAUUUUUAUCUCUGAUCCAGUCAGAGAUACUACACGAGUCAGGGAUAAUUCUCCAGUUAAAGCACUGUCACCAGUCAGAGAAUCCUCUCCUCUUAGAGCUCCUACUCCAGUUCCAAACUCUCCACCUCCAUCUUCUAUGCCUGCAAAAAGGAGAGUCUGUAAUUUAACUUACUUUCAGAGGAUGUGCAGAGCUACACCUCCUUCUGUUGAAGACAAACUUGCCUCUAUUGAGGCCACUCAAACAUCAAUGCAGCAUACUCUGGCUGAUUUGAGCUCUUCUGUAGCUCAGCUGGUUCAAGUUCUCACCUAUGCUGAUGUCAAAAAGGGGGAGAAAAUAUCUAAAGACAAAUGCAAAUCUGACCACCAGCAAAUUACAAAGAAAAAGCCAGAUGGUGAUGAAGAAGGCAAUAAGGAGAUUGCUGAAAAGCAGUUAAAGCUGCUGCAAAUCAAGGAUAAGGAAAGGAGUUAUAAGGGUGCAAACUCUGAUAGACCCAUAGAUUCUCAACAAAAACACAAGUCUAUGGAGCUGACUGUUAUGUCUCAAGUUAAGAAAAUAAGUGAAGCAGUCAGAGUUUCUGAUGUUAUAUCUAAAGAAAUAGCUCUUGUGAACUCUGAGGUUGAGAAGAAGAAAGAAGAUCUGAUUCCUGAAUCAGAUAAGCUGAUUGAAGCUGGAGACCCUGAGUCUCAGAAGUUCUGCCAAACUCUGAAGUUCAGAGGCAGAGAAACCACCCUAUUCUACAAAUCUCCUUCUUUGCAAGCUAUUGAUGAAGCUGUAGCAAGGAAGAUAUUUGAAAAGGAAAAUCCAGGAGUGGAUAUAGAAGCCAUCAGACUUGAGGAAGAAAGACUAGCUGCUGAGAAGAUGAAGAUCAGCAAGACAAAGUCUGAUGAGCAAAAACAAAUUACUGAUCCCUCACAGAAACAGAAGAAUCCAAAGCAAAAAGGGAUAGUAAUUAAUGAGGUGAACUACACUGAUAUCAACAGACCAAGAACCAGGUCUCAAACUCAAUCUGAAUCUGAUUCAAAAGACAAAGGAAAGAAAACUGUUGAUGGAGUUCCUCCGAUUCCUCCUGUGAUCAAGAAAUCAAUUGUCAAGAUAGCAUCAGAGAAUCCCUCUCAGAGGAUGAUAAAGCUAAGCAGGAAUGCAAAUAUAAUCACUGAUGUCUCUGAUCAAACAGAAGAAGAAGAAGCUGGAUUGACCAGAAGAAGAAAGGGUGAAGACAAAUCAAUCUCUGAUAUAACUUUAACCUCUGACAAUGCUCAAGUUAAAGUUCCAGUAACAGAAGAAAAGACUAAGACUGAAGAUGCUAAAGUCUCUUGGCUGAAGAUAAAAUCUGAGAAAACUCAAGAUCAGAAAAAGAAGAGUCUCUUUGGAAGCCUUGGUACAAGUCUGUACAAGGAAAGCUCAAUGCUCACCAGGAUCAGAACUCAUGGAACCAGAGGAAAGGAAGCUUAUGAUACUACUGGUCUAGGUCACAGAAAGGAGAAGAUACAAACAAGUUCAGCAACCACCUUCAGAGAUCCUUAUCCUCUGACUGAGAAAGUGGGAGAAGCUGUCACUCAGAAGGACUUAGACAAAGUAGAAUCAGUGCAGAUUCUCAUGGAUACUCAUGAUGGCACAGGAGACAAAGAGAAGAUUGCUAUAUUUCUGGAGUCUGGCAGAGUCUACAGAGUCUCAGAAGCUGAUUUAUUGCUGAAAUCUCUGAGAGAGCUUGAACACUUUCACUAUAUGCUGGAAAUCAAGAAUGAAGCUACUCAGAGAUGGUCUGAUCUGAUGAAGAGGACUAUAAAUGAGAAAAGAAGAUUCUAUGGGAUAAAGUCUGAUGAAGAAUAUAUUCCAAGAAUAGCUCAAGAUGAUGGUUCUGAAAUUCUUAUGGAGAAGAAUAGUUCUGUAAUGGAGACUAUUGCAAAUACCAGAAUCUUGGGUUAUAACAAUGAUGCAGACAGACCAAGAGUGAUUCAGCUGGGAGAUGCAAUGCAAAGAAGCAAGGUGAAUGCCUUGAGAGCAGUUAUCUAUCAGACUGGGGUUGAAACUGAAGAACUCAGAAAUGUUAAAGCCCAGAUGAUACAGAUUUUAAAGCUGAAGGAAGAAAAUCUGAUCAACCAGUUUGUCAAAGAAAGUUUUGGAUAUAGGUUGAUUUGAUAGAUAGUUCUGCUGGUCCUGUAAGUUGUAAUUAGUUCUGUAAAUUAAUUAUUUCAUGCAUUUGUCCUUGAUAGUUUUUGACAUCAUCAGUACAUAUAUAUAUAACUUGUUCAUUCUGUUUAAUGUACAAGUUGGGGGAGAUUGUUACAUAUUUGAUGAUGUCACAGGUAUCUAACUUGUUUAGUGUGCAGAAGCAAAUAUCAGAGUUUAGCUGGAAAUCAGAGUUUAACGACUGCCAGCUGGAUCAGAGUUUAUCGAUGAUCAGAGUUUGCAGGCGGCUGAUUUUCAGGAGCAGAUCUGGCUAAAUAAGGAAGAUAAAGAUUAAGGAAGAUUGUGCAAAUCAGGACAACAGAAGGAUAGCUACUGAUUAGAUUAUUUUAGGAAGCAGAUAAUUAUGAAUCAAUCAGUAGAUAUCAUGUAACUGUGUAUAUAAACACAGAUUAGGGUUUACUCUAUAUGAGUUAGAAUAUCGAGAAUAUUAUUCUUGUAAUCCAGCAGCUCUUAGUGAAAAGUUAUAAAUCACUAAGAGAGUUUUUGUAACCUACUGAGUUUUGUGAAUAAGAGUUUACUUUGUUGAAUCUCUUGUUUGAGUAUUUUUUUAUUGAUUAUGUUCACUAUAUUAAUUAAUAUAGUGAGUUAAUUCGGCCUAACAUCUCAGCUGCUUGGUUGUCCAGACUUGCAAAUGCCUGAACAGAAAACAUUCCAUGAGUAAAAGUCUCAGGGUCAAGUGACACACUAUCCAAUAUGGAUCUGUAUUCAGCCUGAAAAUCUUGCUCACUUGACCCAUCAUUGACACCUGCAUUUCUCUCAAUUUCUCUCUGUUCUUGCAUCAAGGGCUCCCCUUGGCUCACCACACAACUCACCUCUCCCUCACUCGCCCAGUCUAAAGGGCCACUCAUUUCCUCUCCUUUUUCCUGGCUUGAAGAAAUAGCCAUACCCUCUACGCCCUCUCCUUUUGCCAGCACCCAAGGCUGCCUCUCCACACUUUGACUCACUUCACUCAAUCCUAGAAGUGCUUGUGCUAUGAUGUGAUCAACUACUGUAGAAGAUGGAAGAUCAAAUGAAGUACCAGUAGUUGUCAACUGAUGAGAGUCAUCAGUUGAAACAAUCAUUGAAGAGGCUUUUGAUAGGUCCAUUAUUUUGCACAUUUUAACUACCUAUUUAUUGCUUGUUAUCGUAUUUUUAUUAGUUAACUAUUUUGUUUUCAGGAAUUUUUAGAGAAAUCGAGAAUUCAAGAGAAAAAGGAACAAAAGGUGCAAGAAGGGAAAAAGAGGAAGAAAAAGAAAAGAAAAAGAAGAAGAAGAAAAAAAAAAAGAAAAUCAAGACACAAAGACCCUUCUACCCCUAAAACCCUAAUCUUGGCCUAUAUAAACAUCUCUUUCUCUCAUUAGCCACCAACAUAGUCUUUACCCUAGUUUUUACCUAGUUGUUAGUAGCCUCCUUUAUCAUUUUCAACAUCUAGAAUAGCAUGUUCUUUCAAGUUGUAAUCUCUCAAAUAUUGUAAACACUUUCAUUUAUAUAAGUACAAGUUUGGUUUCUUUAUCUCUUGCAUUCUUACCUUGUUGAAAUUUAUGGCUAUGACCAACUUUCCCUUCAACAAGUGGAUAAAGUGGCAUUUAUGCCAACCACUUGUGGGUUGAAAGAGCCUUUAUUAUUUGUUUUAAGCUUACAUUUUUAGUAUUUAGCUUGAGCCCCUUUUAAUUCUCAAUAUUAUUAGUGGGUUCAAUGAUUUAGUUGAUAUUUUGGUUUGUAGUUUGAUGGGGUUUUGUUAGAAACAAGGUAGAUAAGCUAGUUUCGAAGUUUUAUGUGAUUUGGAGUUAGUUUGAUAUAUUUUGGUGUUGUCCUUGUUCUUGAUUUUGGUAUUUUGGGGGGGUUUUUUGGUGGAAAUUUUAGUUGAUAAUUUUGAAAUGAGGUUAGUGGGUUUAUGNNNNNNNNNNNNNNNNNNNNNNNNNNNNNNNNNNNNNNNNNNNNNNNNNNNNNNNNNNNNNNNNNNNNNNNNNNNNNNNNNNNNNNNNNNNNNNNNNNNNNNNNNNNNNNNNNNNNNNNNNNNNNNNNNNNNNNNNNNNNNNNNNNNNNNNNNNNNNNNNNNNNNNNNNNNNNNNNNNNNNNNNNNNNNNNNNNNNNNNNNNNNNNNNNNNNNNNNNNNNNNNNNNNNNNNNNNNNNNNNNNNNNNNNNNNNNNNNNNNNNNNNNNNNNNNNNNNNNNNNNNNNNNNNNNNNNNNNNNNNNNNNNNNNNNNNNNNNNNNNNNNNNNNNNNNNNNNNNNNNNNNNNNNNNNNNNNNNNNNNNNNNNNNNNNNNNNNNNNNNNNNNNNNNNNNNNNNNNNNNNNNNNNNNNNNNNNNNNNNNNNNNNNNNNNNNNNNNNNNNNNNNNNNNNNNNNNNNNNNNNNNNNNNNNNNNNNNNNNNNNNNNNNNNNNNNNNNNNNNNNNNNNNNNNNNNNNNNNNNNNNNNNNNNNNNNNNNNNNNNNNNNNNNNNNNNNNNNNNNNNNNNNNNNNNNNNNNNNNNNNNNNNNNNNNNNNNNNNNNNNNNNNNNNNNNNNNNNNNNNNNNNNNNNNNNNNNNNNNNNNNNNNNNNNNNNNNNNNNNNNNNNNNNNNNNNNNNNNNNNNNNNNNNNNNNNNNNNNNNNNNNNNNNNNNNNNNNNNNNNNNNNNNNNNNNNNNNNNNNNNNNNNNNNNNNNNNNNNNNNNNNNNNNNNNNNNNNNNNNNNNNNNNNNNNNNNNNNNNNNNNNNNNNNNNNNNNNNNNNNNNNNNNNNNNNNNNNNNNNNNNNNNNNNNNNNNNNNNNNNNNNNNNNNNNNNNNNNNNNNNNNNNNNNNNNNNNNNNNNNNNNNNNNNNNNNNNNNNNNNNNNNNNNNNNNNNNNNNNNNNNNNNNNNNNNNNNNNNNNNNNNNNNNNNNNNNNNNNNNNNNNNNNNNNNNNNNNNNNNNNNNNNNNNNNNNNNNNNNNNNNNNNNNNNNNNNNNNNNNNNNNNNNNNNNNNNNNNNNNNNNNNNNNNNNNNNNNNNNNNNNNNNNNNNNNNNNNNNNNNNNNNNNNNNNNNNNNNNNNNNNNNNNNNNNNNNNNNNNNNNNNNNNNNNNNNNNNNNNNNNNNNNNNNNNNNNNNNNNNNNNNNNNNNNNNNNNNNNNNNNNNNNNNNNNNNNNNNNNNNNNNNNNNNNNNNNNNNNNNNNNNNNNNNNNNNNNNNNNNNNNNNNNNNNNNNNNNNNNNNNNNNNNNNNNNNNNNNNNNNNNNNNNNNNNNNNNNNNNNNNNNNNNNNNNNNNNNNNNNNNNNNNNNNNNNNNNNNNNNNNNNNNNNNNNNNNNNNNNNNNNNNNNNNNNNNNNNNNNNNNNNNNNNNNNNNNNNNNNNNNNNNNNNNNNNNNNNNNNNNNNNNNNNNNNNNNNNNNNNNNNNNNNNNNNNNNNNNNNNNNNNNNNNNNNNNNNNNNNNNNNNNNNNNNNNNNNNNNNNNNNNNNNNNNNNNNNNNNNNNNNNNNNNNNNNNNNNNNNNNNNNNNNNNNNNNNNNNNNNNNNNNNNNNNNNNNNNNNNNNNNNNNNNNNNNNNNNNNNNNNNNNNNNNNNNNNNNNNNNNNNNNNNNNNNNNNNNNNNNNNNNNNNNNNNNNNNNNNNNNNNNNNNNNNNNNNNNNNNNNNNNNNNNNNNNNNNNNNNNNNNNNNNNNNNNNNNNNNNNNNNNNNNNNNNNNNNNNNNNNNNNNNNNNNNNNNNNNNNNNNNNNNNNNNNNNNNNNNNNNNNNNNNNNNNNNNNNNNNNNNNNNNNNNNNNNNNNNNNNNNNNNNNNNNNNNNNNNNNNNNNNNNNNNNNNNNNNNNNNNNNNNNNNNNNNNNNNNNNNNNNNNNNNNNNNNNNNNNNNNNNNNNNNNNNNNNNNNNNNNNNNNNNNNNNNNNNNNNNNNNNNNNNNNNNNNNNNNNNNNNNNNNNNNNNNNNNNNNNNNNNNNNNNNNNNNNNNNNNNNNNNNNNNNNNNNNNNNNNNNNNNNNNNNNNNNNNNNNNNNNNNNNNNNNNNNNNNNNNNNNNNNNNNNNNNNNNNNNNNNNNNNNNNNNNNNNNNNNNNNNNNNNNNNNNNNNNNNNNNNNNNNNNNNNNNNNNNNNNNNNNNNNNNNNNNNNNNNNNNNNNNNNNNNNNNNNNNNNNNNNNNNNNNNNNNNNNNNNNNNNNNNNNNNNNNNNNNNNNNNNNNNNNNNNNNNNNNNNNNNNNNNNNNNNNNNNNNNNNNNNNNNNNNNNNNNNNNNNNNNNNNNNNNNNNNNNNNNNNNNNNNNNNNNNNNNNNNNNNNNNNNNNNNNNNNNNNNNNNNNNNNNNNNNNNNNNNNNNNNNNNNNNNNNNNNNNNNNNNNNNNNNNNNNNNNNNNNNNNNNNNNNNNNNNNNNNNNNNNNNNNNNNNNNNNNNNNNNNNNNNNNNNNNNNNNNNNNNNNNNNNNNNNNNNNNNNNNNNNNNNNNNNNNNNNNNNNNNNNNNNNUUCUGCAAUACUCUUUAGAUUUAAUGCAAUUUAUUAUUCUGGAGCAGUGUUCUGUACAAAGUAUUUUGUUAUCAUCAGGUGUACAAAGUAUUCGGAUCUUAAUAUAAAAAAUCAUCAGGUGUACAAAACAAUCCACCUGAAUUAUUUGAAAAACCUUGUUUUUUAAAUUUCUAUUUAGAUUUAAUUACUCUUGUACUUGGAUACUGUUACAUAUUUGAUGAUGUCACAGGUAUCUAACUUGUUUAGUGUGCAGAAGCAAAUAUCAGAGGUUAGCUGGAAAUCAGAGUUUAACAACUGCCAGCUGGAUCAGAGUUUAUCGAUGAUCAGAGUUUGCAGGCGGCUGAUUUUCAGGAGCAGAUCUGGCUGAAUAAGGAAGAUAAAGAUCAAGGAAGAUUGUGCAAUUACUCUUGUACUUGGAUACUGUUACAUAUUUGAUGAUGUCACAGGUAUCUAACUUGUUUAGUGUGCAGAAGCAAAUAUCAGAGUUUAGCUGGAAAUCAGAGUUUAACGACUGCCAGCUGGAUCAGAGUUUAUCGAUGAUCAGAGUUUGCAGGCGGCUGAUUUUCAGGAGCAGAUCUGGCUAAAUAAGGAAGAUAAAGAUCAAGGAAGAUUGUGCAAAUCAGGACAACAGAAGGAUAGCUACUGAUUAGAUUAUUUUAGGAAGCAGAUAAUUAUAAAUCAAUCAGUAGAUAUCAUGUAACUAUGUAUAUAAACACAGAUUAGGGUCUACUCUAAAAGAGUUAGGAAAUCGAGAACAUUAUUCUUGUAACCCAGCAGCUCUUAGUGAUACAAUAUAAAUCACUAAGAGAGUUUUUGUAACCUACUGAGUUUUGUGAAUAAGAGUUUACUUUGUUAAUUCUCUUAUUUGAGUAUUCUGCUAUUGAUUGUGUUCACUAUAUUGAUUUAUAUAUUGAGUUAAUUCGGCCUAACACUGCUGAAGGAUGAUUUUAUUGAUUUUUGUAACUUUUUUCGUGUUUGGUCUUUGACUAAAACAAGACCAGAGAUCUGUCACUUACUAGAAAAUCUAGACUGGACUAACAUGCACACAUUUGACAGAGAUCCUCUCUCUGCCACCGGCAUACGUUUUACCCGUAUUCUGUCGUCAUGCAAGCUAUGGGGCGUCAAACAUGCCUUUUGUUAUGAGGCAUGUAAGGCUUGCUCACUUGACCCAUCAUUGACACCUGCAUUUCUCUCAAUUUCUCUCUGUUCUUGCAUCAAGGGCUCCCCUUGGCUCACCACACAACUCACCUCUCCCUCACUCGCCCAGUCUAAAGGGCCACUCAUUUCCUCUCCUUUUUCCUGGCUUGAAGAAAUAGCCAUACCCUCUACGCCCUCUCCUUUUGCCAGCACCCAAGGCUGCCUCUCCACACUUUGACUCACUUCACUCAAUCCUAGAAGUGCUUGUGCUAUGAUGUGAUCAACUACUGUAGAAGAUGGAAGAUCAAAUGAAGUACCAGUAGUUGUCAACUGAUGAGAGUCAUCAGUUGAAACAAUCAUUGAAGAGGCUUUUGAUAGGUCCAUUAUUUUGCACAUUUUAACUACCUAUUUAUUGCUUGUUAUCGUAUUUUUAUUAGUUAACUAUUUUGUUUUCAGGAAUUUUUAGAGAAAUCGAGAAUUCAAGAGAAAAAGGAACAAAAGGUGCAAGAAGGGAAAAAGAGGAAGAAAAAGAAAAGAAAAAGAAGAAGAAGAAAAAAAAAAAGAAAAUCAAGACACAAAGACCCUUCUACCCCUAAAACCCUAAUCUUGGCCUAUAUAAACAUCUCUUUCUCUCAUUAGCCACCAACAUAGUCUUUACCCUAGUUUUUACCUAGUUGUUAGUAGCCUCCUUUAUCAUUUUCAACAUCUAGAAUAGCAUGUUCUUUCAAGUUGUAAUCUCUCAAAUAUUGUAAACACUUUCAUUUAUAUAAGUACAAGUUUGGUUUCUUUAUCUCUUGCAUUCUUACCUUGUUGAAAUUUAUGGCUAUGACCAACUUUCCCUUCAACAAGUGGAUAAAGUGGCAUUUAUGCCAACCAGUUGUGGGUUGAAAGAGCCUUUAUUAUUUGUUUUAAGCUUACAUUUUUAGUAUUUAGCUUGAGCCCCUUUUAAUUCUCAAUAUUAUUAGUGGGUUCAAUGAUUUAGUUGAUAUUUUGGUUUGUAGUUUGAUGGGGUUUUGUUAGGAACAUAGUAGAUAAGUUAGUUUUGAAGUUUUGUGUGAUUUGGAGUUAGUUUGGUAUGAGUUAGUAUUGUUCUUGUUCUUUGUUUUGGUAGUUUUGGGAGCUUUUUGGUGUAAAUUUUAGUUUGUGAUUUUGAAUUGAGGUUAGUGGGUUUAUGUUAAAAAUAUUAUGUUUAGGCUAGAUUUGAAAUUUGGUGUAGUUUGGAGUUUAUUUGGUUUAAUUUGAGUCUUGUUUUGUUCAAAAAUGGGUAGUUUAAGGGCUCUUUAGUGUAGAAUUUAUUGUUGAAUUUGGUUUAGAGUUUAGUGGGCUUUUAUUUGUUAUAUUUGGAAUGGCUUUAUUUUCCGGUCAAAUUAAUUUUCCGGCGAGAUUUAAGCUAUUCCGGGCACCUAUAGAAUCCGGCGAGGCUCCAUUGUAAGUGGUUUUGUUUGCGGUACCGGACAGUCAGUUAAUAAUAGUUUACGUGUUUGUUUUUCAGUUUUUGGCUUCUGGCUCGGCAGUGUGAACACGCGAGCUCCGUUUCUGUUUCUNNNNNNNNNNNNNNNNNNNNNNNNNNNNNNNNNNNNNNNNNNNNNNNNNNNNNNNNNNNNNNNNNNNNNNNNNNNNNNNNNNNNNNNNNNNNNNNNNNNNNNNNNNNNNNNNNNNNNNNNNNNNNNNNNNNNNNNNNNNNNNNNNNNNNNNNNNNNNNNNNNNNNNNNNNNNNNNNNNNNNNNNNNNNNNNNNNNNNNNNNNNNNNNNNNNNNNNNNNNNNNNNNNNNNNNNNNNNNNNNNNNNNNNNNNNNNNNNNNNNNNNNNNNNNNNNNNNNNNNNNNNNNNNNNNNNNNNNNNNNNNNNNNNNNNNNNNNNNNNNNNNNNNNNNNNNNNNNNNNNNNNNNNNNNNNNNNNNNNNNNNNNNNNNNNNNNNNNNNNNNNNNNNNNNNNNNNNNNNNNNNNNNNNNNNNNNNNNNNNNNNNNNNNNNNNNNNNNNNNNNNNNNNNNNNNNNNNNNNNNNNNNNNNNNNNNNNNNNNNNNNNNNNNNNNNNNNNNNNNNNNNNNNNNNNNNNNNNNNNNNNNNNNNNNNNNNNNNNNNNNNNNNNNNNNNNNNNNNNNNNNNNNNNNNNNNNNNNNNNNNNNNNNNNNNNNNNNNAAAUUAAAAAAUUUAAAAUCCAAAAAUAUUAGCUAGAGUUACAUAAUUGUAGCAUCAUGCAUUUUAACACUUAGGAGCACAUUAUCUAGAUUUUAAUUUUUGUUUUUAAAUUUUCGUACCUUAAAUUGUGGUGAUCGCUGGAGGACCCUAAGGUGCGUUAAUUUCUUCCUUUCUUUAGAGUAAAUCACGUAGUGUAGAAGCAUCCAUAUUUGUUUACCGCUUUUAUUAUCUCAUUGUGUGGUGCAUCAUUUUAAAUAAAUCUUAAGGGCAAAACCACUCAUAAGAUAAGGGAAGGGAUUUCAUUACUCUUUCCUUGGCCCACAACAAUUUAUUCUUCAUUUUGCAUUCCCUAGCCUUGUAAUAAAAUUGAAUUAGACGUUAGCCCCUAGGAUUUCACGCUCACUUAGGAAGGUACCUAAAAGACGAGGUAAUCUUUAACUAUUCCGACUCUUCGGUGUCUAAGGUAAGCGAAAGCUUACCUGGCCGAUUAAGAUUUGGUGUCUAAGCGCGGAGAUUGGCCUCUUGGCAAUGCCUGCUCCAAACUGGCCAAACCGGUCCGAAUAAUUUUGGAUUUAUCGAGUUUUUGGUGGUCCUUAACGUUAGGAGCAAGGUCUAGUUCAUUUCUAUUAGGGAACCCUAGAAUUAAGUUUUUUUUUUUUCACUUUUACACCCUUUCUUUUGUUUGUUUUAUUUUUUCGCACUUAUUUGCUACGUGUUUACUAUCUUGUUUAUGCGAACUACUUGGGUUAGGAACGAAACGUCUAGAUUAGUUAGACCUAUAAUCGAGAUUCCUUCUUCGUCUUCUUCCGAUUCCGAAACCCUAGAAGUUCCAGAACCGAUAGUAAAAAUGGCGUUGUCUCUUAAAGACCGUUGUUACCCGUCCCGUUCCGCACAACCAUCGUGCAUCACCCUUCCUCCUGUUAAUGGGAAUAAUUUCGAGAUUAAGGCACAUCACAUUAGUAUGUUGCCUAAGUUUUUAGGGAGUGAAGGUGAGGAUCCCUAUCUUUUUAUCCAAGAAUUUGAGGAGGUUUGCGGUUUGCAAAAACUCCAACAAUUGAGCGAAGACUCCAUUCGGCUUAGACUAAUCAACUUUGCUUUAAAAGAAAAUGCAAAAAAAUGGUUGUAUAGUCUUCCCGUCAAUUCUAUUUCCACUUGGGAGGGUUUUGUGGUAAUGUUUCUUAAAAAGUAUUUUCCAAACCAUAAAACGACUCGAAUUACAAAUGAAAUAAAUCAAUUCCAUCAAAGGGAAAAUGAGUCUUUUUGGAAAUUCUUUGAUCACUUCAAAAAUCUUUUAUCACAAUGCCCCCACCAUGGAAUAGAGAAAUGGAGACUUUGUAAGAUUGUGUACGAGGCCUUAGAUAGUCAAACAACCGCUUUGUUAGAGUCUAUGUGCCAAGGCAAAUUCAUGGAGAAAGAUGAGGACCAAGGGUGGGAAUUUUUCGAGGACUUAGCCGAGAAAACAAUGUUAUGGGAGUCUACUAGGGAACCUAAAAAGUCGAUCGAGGCGUCUAGCUCUAGGGGUUUGCACUCGAUAGGAAACAAUGUGGCAACCGAUGCCAAAUUAGCAACCCUUACUAAGAGACUCGAAGCUUUAGAGUCUCAUAGUGGCCCUUCAUCUAUGCCUAUGUUCCCGAACUAUAAUGCUCCCCAUCCCGAGAUCCAACAAUCUCAUGAUUUUGAGCAAGUGAACGCGAUGUUCCAACCUAAGCCUAGAAAUGAUCCUUUUGCACCAACGUACAACCCCGGGUGGAAGAAUCACCCGAAUUUCUCGUGGAACCAAGGGCAAAAUUUUCAAGCCCCACAACCUAAUUUUCCUAGGCCCAAUCCCAAUUAUUUUCCGAAUUAUCAAAACCCGAGUCAAGCUCCGUUAAAUCCUCCCGGGUUUAAUGAUUCGGAUAAGAGACUCAAUUCCCUAGAAAAGAGCAUCGAAGCCUUAGUGAAAUCGCAAACUAACUUGACUCAAUCCCAACAAAACUUCAUGCAAACUUUAACACAAGAAAGGCAACUUUUGCAUUCCAAUGUGCAAGCCGUCUCUAAGUUAGAGUCCCAAUUGAGUCAAUUAGCGAGCACGUUGUGUGAGCGAGAAAAGAACAAAUUCCCUAGUCAACCCGAGCCAAAUCCAAAGUUUCCUCUUAAUCAAAGACCCCCGGAUAAUGUGCAUGCGGUCAUUUCUCUUAGGUCGGGUAAGCAAGUAGAUACCCACGUUGGUAAGAACCUUGGUGAAAAAGGGGAUUCGACUUCUAAUCCAAGUCCACCCAUUACUACCAUUAAUCAUGACAAACCCGAGUGUUCAAAAGCCCGUGAGGAGUCGAGUGACCCAAACCCGGAACCCGAGUUACAAAGUGAAGUAGUCUAUAAACCGAGAGUCCCGUACCCGUAAAGACUUAUUUCACCUAAGCAAUCGGCUCAAAUGGUGAAGAUUUUGGAAGUUUUUAAGCAAGUCAAGGUCAACAUACCCCUUUUAGAUGCUAUUCAACAAAUUCCUUCAUAUGCUAAGUGUCUUAAGGAGUUAUGUACCCAUAAGAGAACAAACCAUGUCCCUAAGAAAGCUUUCCUUACAUCUCACAUUAGUUCGAUUCUCUCAAACCAAAUUCCCGUGAAAUACAAGGACCCCGGUUGUCCUACAAUUUCAUGUGUCAUAGGAGAAACUUUUGUGGAUAAGGCGUUACUUGAUUUAGGGGCUAGUGUUAAUCUCCUUCCAUAUUCUGUCUACCAAGCCUUAGGUUUAGGGGAGCUCCGACAAACCAAUGUCACACUUCAAUUAGCCGAUCGAUCCGUGAAAAUUCCUAAGGGAAUGAUCGAAGAUGUGCUAAUUAAAGUAGGUGAUUUCGUGUUUCCCGUAGAUUUUGUCGUCCUAGAGACCGAGCCGGUUAGGAACCCUAAGAAUCAAAUUCCCAUUAUCCUAGGACGACCGUUUUUAGCUACAUCCAACGCGUUGAUUAAUUGUAGGAACGGAUUAAUGAAGCUAACAUUUGGCAACAUGACAAUCGACCUCAACAUCUUUCAUGUGGGGAAACAAUCCGAUGAUUUCUAUGAUCAACCUAUGGAUGUUAAUCUAAUUGAUGAAAUAGUUGAUCAAGAUCUCAUGAAUCCUAAAGAUGCCCUUGAAUUUUGCUUAAAACAUUUUGUAGAGAAUUGGGAUGUUUCCGACUACACACAUGAGGUCAACCAAAUGUUAGAAUCCACCAUUCCGACAACGAGUCAAGAGCGUGAUGUUGAAUCCGAGCAUUUACCUUUACCUAAGAAAACCGUUGAGUCACAACCGCCGGAGUUAGAACUCAAACCUCUUCCUGACACUCUUAAGUAUGCUUUUCUAGGCCCUAACGAGUCCUACCCUGUCAUCAUUGCCUCUAAUUUGACUACGUCACAGGAGGAAGAACUUUUAGGAAUCCUUAGAAAGCAUAAGGGAGCGAUAGGGUGGAGCAUUUCGGACAUUAAAGGGAUUAGCCCGGCGAUUGUCCAACAUAGGAUUCAUUUGGUAGAAGAUGCAAAGCCCGUGAGAGAACCUCAAAGGAGGUUGAAUCCUCCCAUGAUGGAGGUAGUUAAGAAAGAGAUUCUUAAGUGCUUAGACAAUGGGAUCAUUUAUCCCAUUUCCGAUAGUAAGUGGGUGAGUCACGUUCAUGUUGUGCCUAAGAAGUCGGGCAUCACUUUAGUGACAAAUGAGAACAAUGAGCAAGUUCCAACACGUGUUCAAUCCGGUUGGAGAAUGUGCAUAGACUUUAGGAAGCUUAAUGCCGUCACUAGGAAAGAUCAUUUUCCUUUACCUUUUAUCGAUCAAAUGCUAGAGAGGUUAGCGGGUCAUGCUUUUUAUUGCUUCUUAGAUGGUUAUUCGGGAUAUUUUCAAAUCCCGAUUGCUCCCGAAGACCAAGAAAAGACCACUUUCACUUGCCCUUUUGGAAGCUUCGCGUAUAGACGUUUAGCUUUUGGCCUAACCACGGGCCCAUCCACGUUCCAAAGGUGCAUGACUAGCAUUUUCUCAGAAAUGAUAGGCGACUUUCUAGAAGUCUUCAUAGAUGACUUUUCCAUCUUUGGACCGUCUUUCCACCAAUGCCUUACCAAUCUAGACUUAGUUUUGAAAAGAUGUGAGGAAACGGAUUUAGUAUUAAAUUGGGAGAAAUGUCAUUUCAUGGUUAAGGAGGGAAUCGUUCUAGGGCAUAAAAUUUCUGAAAAAGGGAUCGAAGUAGACAAGGCUAAGGUCGACCUAAUAGCUAAUCUCCCUCCUCCCAAGUCCGUUAAGGAAAUUCGUUCUUUCCUUGGACAUGCGGGAUUUUAUCGUAGAUUCAUUCAGGAUUUUAGCAAAAAGGCCCGACCUUUGACCAACCUUCUAGCCAAGGAUGUCAAAUUCGAUUUCACAAGCGAGUGUUUUCAUUCCUUCGAAGAACUUAAGAGAGAAUUAACUUCGGCCCCGAUCAUGAAGUCUCCCGAUUGGAGUCAACCUUUUGAGCUUAUGUGUGACGCAUCCGAUUAUGCGAUAGGAGCGGUUUUAGGACAACGAAUAGAUAAGAGGCCUCAUGUCAUUUACUACGCUAGUAAGACCUUAAAUGAUGCCCAACUCAAUUACUCUACCACCGAGAAGGAGCUUCUAGCCGUAGUCUUUGCCUUAGAAAAAUUUCGCUCUUAUCUCAUCGGGUCCAAAAUCAUUGUUUACACCGACCAUGCCGCCCUUAGGUAUCUUUUCUCUAAAAAAGAUUCAAAAGCCCGCUUGAUUAGAUGGGUGUUGUUGCUCCAAGAGUUUGACUUAGAGAUUAGAGAUAAGAAAGGUUGUGAGAAUGUCGUUGCCGAUCAUCUCUCUCGAUUAGUGGUUGAAUCCACUAACGACUUGCCUUUAAGCGAGUCAUUUCCCGGAGAACACCUUCUCUCAAUUUCCACUCUCCCUUGGUUCGCCGACAUAGUCAAUUACUUAGCAACCGGUGACAUUCCCUUGACAUGGUCCAAAAAUGAUAAAGCCAAGUUCUUUUCUCAAGUGAAACAUUUCUUUUGGGACGACCCGUAUCUCUUUAAGCAUUGUCCCGACCAAAUCAUUAGGAGGUGUGUCCCAAAUAGUGAGUUUCAUAGCAUCCUCUCGUUUUGUCACGAUCAAGCAUGUGGAGGUCAUUUUAGUGCGAAGAAGACCGCCGCUAAAAUCCUCCAAUGCGGUUUUUAUUGGCCUAGUUUGUUUAAGGAUGCCGCCGAGUAUUGUUCCGCAUGUAGUAGGUGUCAACAUCUAGGAAGAAUCACUAGGAGGAACAUGAUGCCUAUGAGCCCAAUCCUUGUUCUAGAGCUCUUUGAUGUGUGGGGCAUAGAUUUCAUGGGCCCAUUUCCUAGUUCGUUUGGCCACCUUUACAUCCUUCUCGCGGUUGAUUACGUUUCCAAGAGGAUAGAAGCCAUCCCGACCCGGUCCAAUGACAACAAAGUUGUCCUUAGAUUCCUUAAAGAGAAUAUCUUUUCUCGAUUUGGAACACCUAGGGCUAUCAUUAGUGACCAAGGGACGCAUUUUAAGAAUCGUCAAUUCGAGUCUCUUCUUAAGAAGUACUCCAUCACUCAUAGGCUUGCUACCCCUUAUCAUCCUCAAACUAGUGGCCAAGUAGAGGUGUCAAACCGGCAAAUUAAGCAAAUCUUAGAAAAGACGGUCAACUCGAAUAGGAAGGAUUGGUCCACCAAGUUGAUAGAUGCCUUAUGGGCCUAUCGGACCGCCUUUAAGACCGUCUUAGGAAUGUCUCCUUAUAGACUCGUGUAUGGUAAAGCUUGCCAUUUGCCGGUUGAGUUAGAGCAUAGGGCCAUGUGGGCCAUUAGAGAAUUGAACUUCGACUUACCCACCGUCGGUAGUCAUCGGAAGUUACAAUUGACCGAGUUGGACGAACUUAGAAAUGAUGCCUACGAAAAUGCUAAAAUUUACAAAGAGAGAACCAAGGCCUUCCAUGAUAAAACCAUAUUGAGAAAAUCCUUUUCUCCCGGCCAAAAAGUUCUUCUCUACAAUUCUAGGCUUAAUUUGUUUCCCGGUAAGUUGCGUUCUAGAUGGGAUGGUCCUUAUGUUGUUCAAGUUGUUUUUCCUCAUGGUGCUAUUGAAAUUCAGGAUCCUAAAAAUUGUAAUGUUUUUAAGGUUAAUGGUCAACGUCUUAAACCAUUUUUAGAAUUGCCUGUUGAUUCGGAGGAAGAGGUCAUCCACCUUAUCGACCCUUGAUCAUGUAAGUCACUUCAGUAGUUAAUAAAAGUCCCUUCAUCUCCUAUUCAGGUAUUUUUUUCCUCUUUACUCUCUCAUUCUCUCUUUUGCAUACAUUGAGGACAAUGCAUGAUUUAGGUAUGGGGAGGGCUUUAGUGUAAUUCUGAGUAAGGUUGUCUUUUUGAAACUUGUAUCGACCGAUUUGUACUCGUAAUUCCAAGAUGGCACACACUUUGCACAAGACCUUUGAUGGAGAGAUUGUCUAGUGAUAUUAUUAGAUACCUGAGAGAGAACCCACAUGUUGAAACAAUGUCGAAUCGAACAUUUGCGAAUAAAAAAAAAGCGAAAAAAAAAAGAAAAAGAAAAAGAAAAAAAAAGGAAUAAACUACUUCAAUACCCAUUGUUCUUUAUAGAUAAAAUCUUUAGAUAAUGGGCAAAAGUAGAUUGGCUAGUCUCGUUUUGUGGCCUUUGUUACUCGAGCAAUUAAGUCCGUAGGGGGAUUUUAAAACCUAGUGCCCUAAGACCGUUUGGUUUGGGAGUCACUGACCUAAAGCUCGCUACAUGGGUAACAUUGUUUGCCUAAGAAAACGGACAAAAUAAAGUCAAUGCAAAAAAAAGAAAAAAAGCAAAAAAAAAAAAAGAAUAAGAGUUUGUGAAGUUUGGCUAGAUAUUUGUUUCGAUAGAGAUUGGGUCAGUUCAAAAUUGGUUGAAAAAGAGAAAGUGUUCUUAGACAAUUAGGAUCCAUCAAAGGCCUUAAAUUACUUACACUCCUUGGAUUUCUAGUAAAUCUUUGUGUCGAUGCAAGUAGAUUAGAGACAACUGUAUCUUGAUUAUUAGUAGAUGAGUCUUUAAGUCGUAUUUUCCUUAAAAACGCUUUUUGUUAACACCAACGAAAUUAGAGUAGAGUCGAGUAGACACUUGCUAGAAUGUCUCGCAGAUUUUAUGGGUAUAUCUUCUGUAAACCCUUAGGAGACAAAACUCCUCUUGUAGAGAUCGUCUACGAGUUUAACGGGUUGGUGAACCUAAAAUCACCCGUCACGCCUACGAAAAGGAGCCUAGGACUUGCAUUUAGUUUUCUUAGUUUAUUUUCUUUUCUUUUGAUUUUUACUCGAGGACGAGCAAAAGAUAGGUAUGGGGACGUUUGAUAGGUCCAUUAUUUUGCACAUUUUACCUACCUAUUUAUUGCUUGUUAUCGUAUUUUUAUUAGUUAACUAUUUUAUUUCAGGAAAUUGUAGAUAAAUAAAGAAAGAAGAGAAAAUGCAAGAAAAAGGGAGAAAAAGAAAAGAAAAGAAGAAAAUCAAAGAGAGUUGGCAAGCAAGGGGGCACAUGGAAGGCUAUGAUUUACCCAACACACAUCACACAUGGAUGGAUUAGAUUUAGCCACCCUACCCCUAAACCCUACAUUUCUAGCUAUAAAUCCCCCACCUCCUUUACUUGUAAAUAAUAAUCUUUUAACCUUACGUCUUUCUNNNNNNNNNNNNNNNNNNNNNNNNNNNNNNNNNNNNNNNNNNNNNNNNNNNNNNNNNNNNNNNNNNNNNNNNNNNNNNNNNNNNNNNNNNNNNNNNNNNNNNNNNNNNNNNNNNNNNNNNNNNNNNNNNNNNNNNNNNNNNNNNNNNNNNNNNNNNNNNNNNNNNNNNNNNNNNNNNNNNNNNNNNNNNNNNNNNNNNNNNNNNNNNNNNNNNNNNNNNNNNNNNNNNNNNNNNNNNNNNNNNNNNNNNNNNNNNNNNNNNNNNNNNNNNNNNNNNNNNNNNNNNNNNNNNNNNNNNNNNNNNNNNNNNNNNNNNNNNNNNNNUCCGGUCAAAUUAAUUUUCCGAGAUAAGUUAGUUUUGAAGUUUUGUGUGAUUUGGAGUUAGUUUGGUAUGAGUUAGUAUUGUUCUUGUUCUUGGUUUUGGUAGUUUUGGGAGCUUUUUGGUGUAAAUUUUAGUUUGUGAUUUUGAAUUGAGGUUAGUGGGUUUAUGUUAGAAAUAUUAUGUUUAGGCUAGAUUUGAAAUUUGGUGUAGUUUGGAGUUUAUUUGGUUUAAUUUGAGUCUUGUUUUGUUCAAAAAUGGGUAGUUUAAGGGCUCUUUAGUGUAGAAUUUAUUGUUGAAUUUGGUUUAGAGUUUAGUGGGCUUUUAUUUGUUAUAUUUGGAAUGGCUUUAUUUUCCGGUCAAAUUAAUUUUCCGGCGAGAUUUAAGCUAUUCCGGUGAUCCCAUAGAUUCCGGUAGUUUGUUUUCGGUGGAGUUGGCCACGGCGUGUUCGUCUGUAUAUUAACGUGUUUUCGUUUCUCUGCCACUGUCCUGUUCUUUCCGCGCUGCUAUUUCGUUUUUUUUUGUUUUUUUUGUUUUUUUGUUUUUGUUUUUUUACUUUUUCCUUUUUUUUUGUUUUAUUCAAAUAUUAUCUUGUUAUUUUAGUUUAAUGUGAUAUUGAAUAUAAUCAGAUUUAGAUUUUAAUAAUUUAUUUUAAUUAUUUGAUAAAAUAUAUUUCAGAUUUUAGAUUAAUAAAAUCAUCUCAAAAUCUUUUGGUCUAAUUUGAUUAAGUUAAAAAUUAAGUUUUCGCGAAAAUAAAUUUAGUCCUUGGAACGAAUCUUAUAUUACUAAAACGGGAUCGUGCACUUGCGAUUAAAAUCAUAUUUUGAGCACAUCAGCUUUCAACUGAUGAAGGCUGUUAAGCGCAUCAGUUGAAGGACAAACACUUUUCAACAGAUGAAGAAGAUCCAUUGAAGAUGAAGAAGAAAUAGGCAAGGAGGCUAUGACAGUUGAGUUUGUGGUGAUUCAUUGUGAGUGUAAAUCCACAGAACACAUUCUCAUAGAAGAAGAAGAAAUUUUAUGAGAAAGAUCCAACAAAUCAUCAAUUUGAUGAUGAUCAAUCUCAGAAAGGGGCUUCUCAAUGAAGUCCAAAGAUGUGAAUUAACUCCACAUCCACAGAAGAGGUAGGAGAUUGUGUUUGGGGUGUAGAAAUAGUGAGAUCAUGUAUGUGUGAGAUAGGUAGAGAAGUAGAAGGGGGCUGUGACUCCACAUUUACUGGAGUCACAUCAAUCAGACUUUGAGAAAAUGGAGGCAUAAAAUCAAUGAUUUUAGCCUGAGAAGUGUGUGCAGAGUGCUUAGAUUUGCUACUUUUCAACGGCUUUCUCCCAUAAGCUUUAACUGGUGACUGAGUGUCCCUCCCCCUCUUUGGCAGUGUCCCUGGAUGGGGACUUUUUUCAAUAGCAACAUCCUUUUGGGAGGAUGCUGCUAAGGAUGAGUUUGAUUCCUUGUUAAUCUCUACAGUCUUUUGGGAGACUGCAGAGUGGCUAGGCUGGUUCUCACUCAACUCUCCAACCUUAUCCUUAGGGCUUCUUUGAUGUUCACCCUGUCUCUCCCCCCUACUUCCACCAAUCACACUCCCCUUAGGUUUGUGUUUCUUAGUUUUUACAACAGGUGCCUUUUGGGAUGCACCUGAGGUUGGCUUUGCAGAUUUGGAUUUUGAAGGUUUUGCCACUUGGGUAGACUGUUGUUGGGCCUUCUCAACAGCCCUAAUGGCAGAAAGCAAAGCAGGAGAGGGUUGAGAAGGAGUAGUAGGGAAACCAAAUACCUUCUUCUCAUUACUUUUCUCCAUAAUAGGCAGGUAGACAACCUCCAAGUUGUUGAAUAGCUUCAUUUUGGCAAGAUCCUUGAAGACUCUUUUCUCCUGCACAAAGCUAGCAACCUUGGCUUCUUUGUUAGUGAUAACUAGCUUAUCAACAUGAUUAGCUAGCAUCAUAAGAAACCUAACAUAAUACAUAUAUUUGGGCCUAUCAGUCUUAUCACCUAACUUUCCCCCAAUUUCAUGGAUCAUCAAAGUGCCAAAGUUAUAGUAUUCAUUAGCCAGAAACAUGUAAAAAAUUUGCAAAAUUUACAAAAGCAUCACACAAGUAGCUCCAUUCUCUCCUAAGGCCUUUCCUAACUAUUUUACCUAGAGCAUCAGUAGGCAAAACAUAGUUCAUGGCAUACAACAUAUUAACUAAUUGAAUGUCAGAAGGCAAGGUACUAACAGUAUUUUCAGGAAUCUUAAAGCAUGCAUUCAUAACAUCACAGUUAAUAGUAUGUACAGUAUUUUUAAGAGAGAAAGAGAUAGUAUCAUCCUCACUGUUAAACUCAGCCGUAGUCCUGAUUUCAUCUACCACUUCAUGGUAGUUUGUUGAAGUGGAGAGCAUAGCAUGAGACAAUUGGCUUGCCAUGAUGAAAUCCAUCAUCUUGUGGAACUCCUUUUCUUCCACAGCCUCUUUAUCCAAAAAAGAUGCAAAGUUGUUCUUCUCAUUGAUAAAUCCAGUUGGUGAUGAGUAUUUCUUCAUUGGCGCCAUUGCAGUUACAGAAAAAGCUUGAAGAAAAUAAGAACUUCUUUUGCAGAGAGAGAGAGAGAGCUUUGUGAAUUCGAAAGAGUGAGAUGAAAAGAAAUGAAAAUAAACUUAAAAAGCUUAAAUACUUUCACAGAAAAUUGCUGUGAUUGGUCGAGAAAUAUAUUACCGUUGAGUAGUAAUAACUUUUAUUUCACUCUGUAAAAAUUACACACACGAUUGUGUGUAUAAAGUUAAGGAGAGAUAAAAGUUAUUUCAACGGCUCAGAUCUGAUAAUUGUUUCAAUGGAUGAGAUAGGCGCCUCUUUGGAAUUCUUAUUCAAUUGAUGAAGAUCAGUUGAAAGAAUACUCCAGUAUAGGAUAAUUCCACUAUCUCAUCAGUUGAAAUAUUACACAUUCUAUCCAGAAUCAUAACUAAAUUAAUUUUGGAAAUAUUAAAUUUAGCUAAAUUUUGGCUGCCAAAUUAGAGACAAAUUUACCAUAAAUUAGGAGAAAUUUAACAUACCUAAUUUACUUACCAACCUUGUGAAUGUGGAUUCAUCAAAAGGCUUUGUGAAAAUGUCUGCAAUUUAUUCUUCACUUGGAACAAAAUGCAUUUCAAUAGUACCAGCCAUCACAUGUUCUCUUAUGAAGUGGUAUUUGAUGUCAAUAUGCUUGGUUCUUGAAUGUUGUACUGGAUUCUCAGUUAUAGCAAUAGCACUGGUGUUGUCACAGAAUAUUGGGAUUUUUGAGAGAUUUAAACCAUAAUCAAGUAAUUGAUUUCUCAUCCACAAUAUUUGUGCAUAACAACUUCCAGCUGCAAUAUAUUCAGCCUCAGCUGUAGAGGUUGAAACAGAGUGUUGCUUUUUGCUAAACCAAGAAAUCAGUCUGUCUCCAAGAAAUUGACAUGUGCCUGUUGCACUUUUUGUAUCAAUUUUGCAUCCGCAUCUGAAUAUCCAAUUAGAUCAAAUCCAGAGUCUUUAGGGUACCAAAUACCAAGAUUUGGUGUUCCCUUAAGAUAUCUGAAUAUUCUUUUAAUAGCAAUUAGAUGUGAUUUUUUAGGAUCGGCUUGAAAUCUAGCACAGAGGCAUGUAGAAAACAUAAUAUCAGGUCUACUAGCUGUCAAGUAUAAAAGAGAACCAACCAUGCCUCUAUAAUUAGAGAUUUCCAAAGAUUUCUCAUUAGGACUUAACUCUAAUUUAGUGGCAGUUGGCAUAGGAGUUUUAGCUUCUUUGCAAUCCAUUAAAUCAAACUUUUAAAGUAAAUCAUAAAUGUACUUGGUUGAUUUAUGAAUAUACCUUCCUUUACUUGUUUAACUUGUAAACCAAGAAAGUAGGUGAGCUCUCCCAUCAUGCUCAUUUCAUACUGACUUUUCAUUAGAUUGGCAAACUUUUUGCAGAGUUUCUCAUCUGUAGACCCAAAAAUUAUAUCAUCUAUAUAAAUUUGAACUAAGAUAAAAGCACCAUUCACAUUUCUAUAAAAUAGUGUUUUAUCCACAGUUACCUUAAAGAAAUGAUUAUCUAACAAAAAUUGAGAUAGAGUGUCAUACCAGGCCCUUGGUGCUUGCUUUAAACCAUAAAGUGCUUUUAACAAAAAGUACACAUACUCAAGAAAAUCUGGAUCUUCAAAACCAGGAGGCUGACUUACAUACACCUCCUCUUCCAAUUCAUCAUUAAGAAAGGCACUUUUAACAUCCAUUUGAUAGACUUUAAAGUUUGCAUGAGCAGCAUAGGCCAAGAAAAUUCUUAUGGCUUCCAAUCUUGCGACUGGUGCAAAUGUUUCAUCAAAAUCAAUUCCUUCAGAUUGAGAGUAUCCUUUAGCCACAAGCCUUGCUUUGUUUCUGGUGGCAACUCCAUUCUCAUCCAUUUUGUUUCUGAAUACCAAUUUUGUGCCUACAAUUGUUCUGUUAUUAGGCUUGGGUACCAGUUUCCACACUUUGUUUCUCUCAAAUUGAUUUAAUUCUUCUUGGAUAGCAAGAACCCAAUCAGCAUCUUUGAGAGCAUCUUCUAUUACUUUAGGCUCAUCCUGUGAAAAAAUGCACUGUAUAAGCAUUCAUCUUGAGUAGCUCUUCUGGUCUGAACAGAUGCAUUUGCAUCACCAAUAAUUAAUUCAAAAGGAUGAUCCCUGGUCCAUUUUCUUUGAGGUGGAAGUGAUUUACUUGAUGAUGUAGCUUCAUUGUUGUAGUUCAGAUUGCCAUGUUGAAAAGAUCCCUCUAAAUUUGACAUCUCAUUAUUCCUAAAUUGAUUAGAAUUUUGAGAUAUUUUUUUUAACUGAUGAAUCCAGAGGAGUUUCAACUGAUGUUUUCAAAGUAGUUUCAAUUGAUGCUUCAGCUGAAUUUUCAAUGGCUGAUGUCUCAUACAUCAAAUGCUCAUCAGUUGGAAUAUUAAUUCCAGGAUUAAUUCCAGCAUUCUGAACAGAAUCAUCACAAUCAUCAUCACUAUCAUAUAGAUCACCUUCACCUUCAUUUUCAAAUAUGAGAUUGUCAUGAAAUCCUUCAUCUGACAGACCUUGAAUCUUUUUAUCAUCAAAGACUACAUGGAUUGAUUCCAUAACAAUGUUGGUUCUCCAGAUUUUACACUCUAAAUGACUUUCCAUUAGAGUAUCCAACAAAAAUAGCUUCAUCUGCUUUGGCUUCAAAUUUUCCAAGAUUUUCACCUUGAUUUCUUAGAACAUAGCACUUAUAUCCAAAUACAUGAAGAAAGCUAAUUGUUGGCUUCUUUCCUUUAAAAAGUUGAAAGGGAGUCAGACUGUGAGACUUGUUAUUAAGGAAAUAUUUUGAGUGAAGCAAGCAGUGUUCACACCCUCAGCCCAGAAAUAGGUUGGCAAUUGAGCUUCAUUAAUCAUGGUUCUUGCAGCUUCAAUAAGAGUUCUGUUUUUCCUCUCCACUACUCCAUUUUGUUGUGGAUCUCUUGGUGCAGAGAACUCAUGAAUAAUUCCCUUUUCUUCACAAAAUUCCUUCAUUACUGAAUUUUUGAAUUCAGUCCCAUUAUCACUUCUUAUUCUUUCAACUUUGACAUCUGGAUUGUUGUUUAACGUCUUGAUGUGAUUGAUAAUGAUUUUCCCAGCUUCAUCCUUAAAAUGUAGGAAGAAAGUCCAAGUAACUUUUGAAAAAUCAUCAACAAUCACUAGACAAUACUUCUUCUUUGAAAUUGACAUAAUGUUGACUGGUCCAAACAUAUCCAUAUGAAAAAGUUGAAGAGGCUUCACAAUUUUGAAAGAACUUCGCUUUUGAAAGAGCUUUUCUUUUACUUUCCUUGCUGACAUGCUCCACACAGACCAUCUUUGGAAAAUUCCAACUUUGGAAUUCCUCUAACCAAAUCCUUCUUUACCAACUCAUUCAUUAUCUUGAAAUAUAAGUGAGACAAUCUUUUGUGCCAUAGCCAACUGUCAUCUGAGCUUGCUUUGCUGAAAAAACAAGUGAUUGUUUCAGACUUGACAGAGUUGAAGUCAGCUACAUACACAUUUCCCAUUCUUUGUCCAAUUAGUACCACAUUGUUGUCAUCUCCUUUGGUGACAACACAGGCUGCAGGAGUGAAAUUUAUCUUAUAACCUUUGUCACAAAGUUAACUAAUGCUAAGCAAAUUAUGCUUAAGACCAGACACCAAUGCAACUUCAUCAAUGAUGACAUUUUCUUUUGCUACCAAGCCAUAUCCCAUAGUAUAUCCUUUGUUGUCAUCUCCAAAGGUAAUGCUAGGGCCAGCUUUCUCUACAAACUUUGUGAGCAGGGAAGAAUCACCAGUCAUGUGCCUGGAGCAUCCACUAUCUAAGUACCACAAAUUCUUCUUAUGGCUUCCCUGCACACAUAUUCCAAAACAGAUCAUGUUGAUUUUGGUACCCAAAUUGCUUUGGGUCCAGAUUUGUUAGUCUUAACAGCUUUCCCUUCAUUCUCAAUCUUUCCCUUGGAUUGAGAUGGUUCAAUCUUUGGUUUUGAUUGAGAAAUUAGGGUAUCAACAUUACUCUAAAAGAUAGGCAUUUGAGGCAUACACACAUUAUUGAAACCUUGCAAAUUUGAGUGAAAUUGAGGCAUGUUAAAGGCAUUGAAAUAUGGAUUGAACAUGUAUGGCAUUCUAGACUGAGAGUAUGGAUUGUGAGGCAAUAAACCAGGCAUCAUGUUCAUAGCAGAUAAAUUCAUGUUGGAAACGGAUGGCAUGGAAAUAGGCAAGGAUGAAUUAGGAGCAAUCACAAUUUUAUAAUUUGCAGACAAAUGAUUGACACUACCACAUUUAAUGCAAGUUUUCCUAGGAGCACUAGCAUUGGGAGUGUAAUUAAUGUGCUUAUUGACUCCAAUUUUACCAUUCCUAUUUCCCUUUUUCUUUUUAGUCUCUUCUGAUUUAAACUCACUGGCAUCCAAUUUCUUCUUAGUCUUAUUACUAGAGUUAUGAGUGUUGUUUACACUCUCACUUGUCUCAGAAGAAUUACUCUCACCUUUAACAAAAUUCUUUUUAAUAAGGCCAUAUUUCUUGUUUAAUUUCUUGAGAACUUUCUUGUUAAUUGAUGGACUUUUGUUCAACGGAUGACUUUCAUUAGUUGAAACUUUAUACUUCAACUGAUGAUCAUCAUCCGUAUUUUCAUCAGUUGAACUAGCAUCUGAGAUCUCAAGAACUUUCUUGUCUCUCUUCCACUCAUUCUCAACAAAAGUUUCUAUGCCUUGUAUGUUGAUAAUGUUUGUUGAAACAUCUCUUCCAGAUUUCCAUCUGGCAAUUAUCUCUUGUUCCUUAUCAAGCUGUUUUCUUAUGAUCUCUUCUCUUUUUAAAACAAACAAAAGAUCAACUUUGGCUGUCUAACAUUCAAUUUUCAGUUUCUCAAACUCAAUAAAUUGAGCUUCUAGAGCACUGUUUCUAUCACUAAGGAAGGUGUUAGCAUCUUAAAUCCUACUGUUUUCCUUAGUGAGAGACUUUAAAGAAACAUGCAAAUGAUAUAAUUCUAUAGACAUUUCAUUUAUAGUAGCAUUGCAUUCAUCUUUAGUUAACUCAACUAAGUUUAUAGUAAAUACCUGACUACUGCUUCCAGUGUUUUCCUCUUGAUUUGUGGAGUUGGCCAUUAGAGCAAGAUUGACAAACUCCUCUUCUUCAUCAGAAUCAUCCCCAGCUGCCCAAUCAUCCUUUGUAAUGAAUGUUCUUUCUUUUUGCUUGAGAAGUUCAUAAUAUUUCUUUUUGUAAUACAUGCUUUCACUGGACCUCUUCUCAACUUUAGGCUUUCUGCAUUCAUUUGCAAAGUGACCUGCAUUCCCACAGUUGAAGCACUUGAAUUUGGAUCUAUCCACCAUGCUUCUGUCAGACUUGUGAUUGCCUUUAAAUGAUUUUGCAGUAUUAAAAUUCUUUUUGAAUUUUAGUUUGGAGAAUCUUCUUGACAGGAAGGCCAAGUGCUCAUCAAUCCCAUCACUCUCUUCACCAGAAUCAGUUGCAUCUUUUGCCUUCCCUUUUCCUUUGCUUGAUUCUGAGCUCUCUCCUUUGACCAACUUCUCACUUUCUUCAGCUUGAGAUUUUCCCUUAUCUUUGACAGAGUCGUCAAGAGAUGCAAGUAAAGCCACAGAUGAAUAUCCUUUCUUUUGACUCUUUUCUAUCUCUUCAUCUCGUUCCAUUUCAUGCUCAUAAGUUUUCAAAGUUCCAUACAGUCUCUCAAGAGUAUAGUCCUUAAAUUCUUGAGUGUUUCUAAGAGAGACUGUCAUGGGUUUCCAUUCUUUAGGAAGAGCUCUUAAGAAUUUCAAAUUUGAAUCCUUAACUUGGUAUAUUCUUCCAAAAAGUUUCAGACCAUUUAACAGUUUUUGAAAUCUGUUAAAUGUGUCACUCAAGCUUUCACCAGCCUUGAAAUGGAAUGACUUAUAUUGUUGAAUCAACAACUGCAUUUUGUUUUCUCUUACUUGCUCAUUUCCUUCACAGAUGGUCCUGAUGGUGUCCCAAACUUCUUUGGCACUUGUGCAGCUGAUAACACUAUCAAUCAUUUCUUGAUCCAGACCAUUAAACAGAAGGUUCAUGGUUUUCUUUUCCUUGUGCACUUCUUCAGUGUCUUCUUGAGAAUAUUUAUAGAUAGGUUUGGGAACCAUUUUGCCUACCAUGUCUUCACCAUCAGCUCCAAUACUGGUACAUACCUUCAUGGGAACAUGUGGUCCUUUCUCAAUGCAGUUUACAUAGCUUUCAUCUAUUGACAACAGAUGCAAAUGCAUUCUCACUUUCCAGUGAAAAUAGUUGUCUUUGUCGAGAACAGGAGUCUUCACUCCAGCAUCCUUCUUUCCCAUCUUUCUCUAGCAGUGUUGAUCUUUUUCCCUAUUUGUUGGGAACCUCGCUCUGAUACCAAUUGUUAUAUUACACUAACUAUGAGACAGAUUGUAGAAGGGGGGGUUGAAUACAAUCUUUUACAAAUUAAAAGAUUCAAGAACAAGAACACUUAAAAUAAUAAAUCAGAAAAACACCAAGUAUUAAAAAUACGAGUGGAUUGAAUGAUCCACCCGUGAGAUUUUAUAUUGAAGAAUCUAUGGAUUGAUUACAAUUCUCACAGCUGCAGGUUCAUCACUUGAAAAGUUUCGAACUCUCAGAUUUUCUCUCAAGUAUUCGAACAAGUUCAGCUGAUGCCACUAAUUUGGUUAUAUACUCCAAGUUUUACAAAGCUUUUAACUAGAAUACAAAUUAUGCACCCUAAUCUAAACUAUGCUACACAUCUUUGUCUUAUGCAAGCUUUCUGUGAUGUCUUCAUCUUUGACCAUCAUCUUGAUUUGAUCCAGAUUGCAUUGCAUGAGAUAAGAAUGUUUCUGGUUCUUAUUUAUUGUCCUAAAUCAGACUUCCAUGUCUAUUUUGGUGAAAUUCGAUCCAUGUGACUUGUCAAAAUUAAGCUCUAGUCACUUUCAACUGCUAUUUGCUUCAUCAGUCGAAAGUGGCUUCAUUAGUUGAACGAAUUACAGACUUCAUCAGUUGAGUCCUGUUCCAGUCUCACCAGUUGAAUGCUUGGUUUUCAUCAGUUGAAACAUAGUGCAGUCUUCAUCAGUUGAAUUGUUACAACUCAUCAGUUGAAUAUCCUUCACUUAGACAAAAUUACAUGGCAUUGGAUAUUUACAAUUAGCCAUCCUAUUCUAUCCAUCCGUUGAUAAUUCUCAAGGACAAGAAAUAUAACAAUUACAACUGAAUUUUGAUAAAGGCUCUAAAUAAAACAUGUUACAGAGUGUUUAUGUUAUCAUCAAAAUUAUUGAUUCCUAACAGGAUCCCUCAACUAAGGGGGAGAAAGAUCAGGAUAUGGACAAAGAUGGAAAAGAUAGAGAUGGAGAAGGCAAAGAAAAAGAAAGUUCAAAAGACACCUAUGAAGUAGCUAAUAUGGAACAAGAAAAGUCUAAAGGCAGGAUGCCUGAUUCUGAUGAUAUCUUCACCAAUCAAGAUUAUGAGAACAUUCCUGAAGAUAUUGCUGAUGAUGAUGCAUUUGAUGCUGCCUACUUCCAAGCUGAAGAUGAAGGUCUUUUUGAUGAAAGUUUCUUAUUCACUGAAGAAGAGCCUGCUGACCCUGAGCACUUGGAAAUGGUACGAAAGUUUAAAGCUGAACAUGAAGCUAGAAAGGCAAAGCUUCAAGAAUUGCAGAAAUUGGUUGAUGAUAAGAAGAUAACUAAUGAGCAUAUCAAAUUGGAGAAACAGAAACUUUGGGAUGCUGCUUGUAAGCAGAACAAUGAGGAUAUUGCUCGGAAAGUUGGUGAAAGCUGGGACAUUGCAAAGAGGAUCUUCUUUGGACAUCAAAGGGAACCUUUUGAAGAUAGAAAGUUCAAGUCAUUUCUAUAUGAUCUAAGAGAGGUAAACCCUGAUGUGGAUAUGUUUAUGCGUGCUCUUGCUAUUGAGUUAGAAUAUAUAACUGUUGGUGUCAAGAAUCUCCUCGAUCUUUGGGAGAUUAUCAUUUCUACUCAAAGGAACGGGACAUUCAGAGUUUCGGUUGAUUCUUUCAAGUUUUUAUCUCAUACUGAAAUCUGGGUAGCUCGAAACAAGAUCCGACGCAGUUUGAAUUUGAAUGAACUCCUCCGUGACAGACUUAUAGAUUAUGCUAUUCAUAAUAGCCCUCAAGUCAUCAGGAACCCAUACUGUGUAAAGUACAUUCAUGCAAACAAGUUUGGAACCUUCUACUUGAAUCAUCGAUAUCUUGCUAAAUAUGGUGUCAAUCAGAUGGUUCUUGUAUCUACUCUUCUGAGAACUAAGGGCUUCACUUCAAAAGCCAAAGCUGAUGCUGAUGCUGAGAUUGUCGCUUACUGUACAAGGAAGAACAUCUAUCAAUACUUUAGGAAGAUGAAGUAUGUCAAGCAAAAUCAACCAUCAGACUUUAGAGAAGACCCCGUGGAUACAGAAGUUCAGUUCCAACUGUCCUUGGCUCGAGAGAGAAAUAAACGUGGUGAAUACACCAUAUCUGAAGAGCCUACUCAGAAUGAGCCUUCGACUCCUAUUAUUCACUGUUCUGAUACUGAAGAAGGAGAAGUCACUCACUCUGAGUGAAAUAGAUUGACUAGGAUAUUUGUAAGAUAUGUUCAUAGAACAUCCUUUUGUAAUCUAUUAAUUAUUCUGGUCUAUGUUUAAUUUAAUACCAAAAACAUUUUUGCUAUUUACAUUUGUAUGUUUAAUCAUUUGUCUUAUCUAUUAGUUGAGUUAUCCUCUAGGAAAUUUGCAUGUUUUGUUAACAAACAAAUAGGGGGAGAUUGAAAGGCAUAUGUUUAGCCUAUUUGUAUUUAAAGAGGUACAACUCAACUCAGAUAAGAAAGCUCAGUAAAUUAAAAGUAAUAGGAAUCCGUACGAAGAACAUCAAAUGAUUUAUCGGAACUUUAUGUCAGAAGAAUUCCAGGAUGCUGGUGCACACCACUGAAAGAAGUUCAUUAAUAUGUUCAAGCCUCAGUGCACAAAUAAUCUUUUGUGGCACAUCCAGGAGUUCAGAAGGUAUAGAUUUUCUGUACUUUAUUUAUUCAGAAGAUUCCAAUUUAUGAAGAAGAACUUACAAGAUGAAGACUCGUCGAACGAGCCACAUCUUAAUUAUUUUAAUGACGAAGAAUAUUUUAUUAAACUAGAUACAGAUGAACUAGACAGUAUAUUUUUGUGUCAGCUACUCGGAUUAAAUAUUCAACGUCAAACAAAGGUGGUCGUUCAAUCGAUUGACAACUCAAGACGAAGAUAUUAAAGUUUCAAAGAAGACAGAAGCUCUGUUAAAGAAGGAAAGUGAUUAAAUAUUAAAUAGAUUAUAUAUAUUCACUUCUCAAGUAAUUAUAUUAGUUGUGUAUUUUAUUUGGUAAAUUGAUUCACUCUUGAAUUAAUUUAACUAAUGAAUAUAUUCAAUUAAUUUAAUUUAGUGGAUUAUAUUCCAUUUAUUAUUUACUAUACAAAUCACUUUAAUUUAAUUAAGAAAUGCUUUGUCUAGUUACUUUAAAGAACUCCAAGACUUUGAAAAGCUUUGUCCUACCUUGUUUCUUAAACAAUUGGUCAAGACAACUCUUUGCUUUGCAAAGCUAAUACACUCCAAUACCAAGUCAUGCAUGCCAUUUCCAUGCUUUAUUCAAAUGGUACAAAGACAAGGACCUUCCUUGUCAUUCGAAUGAAACUAUUGCCAUGCCUUGUCUCCAAUUGUCCUACCUUGCUUUGUUUUGUCUUUCCCUUCUUUACUUUGUCAUAACUAGCACUAAAGUUGUCAUACCUUGCUUUAUGUUGUCUUACUCUUUUUUGUUUUGUCAUGGCAAGCUACUAGAUUGUCAUACCUUGCUUAGCUUUGUCAUGUCUUGCUUUUAGUUGUCUUAUCUUUAGUUGUCUUGUUAGUUCAAUGGUUUUGCCUAUAUAUAUGGUCACCAUUCUUUAUUUGAAAGUGUUCACUCACUUUGAUUCAAAGCAUUGUUAAGCUUUCAAGUUGUUUGUAACUUGCUAUUGUUAUAUCCACAGUUUUUUGUGCUUUGAUCACUUGGUUGUUUUAACCAGUAAUCUAGAAUAUACCUUGUCGAAUUUAUUCUAUGAAAAUUAGUGGACAUUAAAACUGAACCAAUUUAAUUAUAUAACGACUUCAAACAUUGUUAUAUUAAUUAAUUAAAAUCUUAUUAACAAGUUAUAUCCGAAUCAGAUUUAUUCCGCGAUUAUUUUGUGAAGAUUGUAUUCAACCCCCCUUCUACAAUCGCUUCCGAACCUAACACCGGCCAUGAUGCUAUUAAAAGAACAUGCUUAUAAUCAAACCUUUAAAGUCCUAACAAAAAAACACUUGGCCUAAAUUACCUUUGUCCUAAAUUUAUAAUUCAAUACUAGGAAGUAGUUUUUAGCUGCUUACUUCAAUUUCAAGUGUUAUAUGUUGUUUAAAUUCUGUUUCGGAGAAAAAGUCUCACCAGCUCCACAGUAGUGUUAUAUGACAGCACAACCAACUUAUUACCAUUAGUCACUAUGGUGUUAUUAGGAGGAGUGAUAGUGUAAUUAAAUUUAGGAGGAGUGCUAGUGUAAUUAAAUGGCAUGAGGAGAGUGACAAGAAAAUCAGUAGUGUAUGCACCAUUCGAUUUUUCGAAGAAGUAUGCUUCGAGCAAUGCAGUUGUAGGCAGAACUAAAGAGAUGAUUUGAAAAAUCAUAAGAUAUAUAUUAUAAUUUUAUGAAAUUUAUCAGUUUAUGAAGUUUAAAAUAAUUAGAUUUUUAGGCAUAUUUUAAAAUUCUAAUCAAAUACCAAUAGAUUUUAUAGAGUAAUUUAAAAUACUAAUUAAAUAUUGCAAGAAUUUCUUGAUACAUUUUUUAAAAUGUGAGCAUAACACAUUAAUUUGGAUUUUACGAAUGGAAAUAUUCUUUAAAAUCUCAGUUGAAUAUACCCUGUAGUUAAAUUACUAUCAUGAUUUAUUUUAUUACUUUGUGAUGAGAUGAAAAAUUGAGCGAUUUUUACCAAAUAGAUCUAAAUGAAUUAUAAUAUGGAAACAAAUAUAUUGAAACCUUUUAGAAUUUUUAUGAAUAUAUUUAAAAAUUAUUAUAGUCUUAGAAAUCAGAUUUGUUCGUUUAGAUUCUGACCUUAUGGACAGGAUUGUGAAUUAGCUAGACUUCGAAACUUGCUGGUAAAAUUGGCAAAAAAAGAUGUUCCAGUGAUUGGAGGAAGAGUAGGCAAAGGAAGGUUUGUGAUAUUAGAAUAGUCAUUUUCAUAUUGGAGGACUCCAACUACUGUAUAGUUGUCGAAUGUUCCUUGGCCAGUAAAAUAUGGUCUGGCUGUCAUAAAGAGAGUAGUGGCGUUGUGAGAAAAAGGAAUUGUUUUCAGAAGUACAUUAGUCGUUUUCCCUGGCGUGAUGAAGAGGAUAUUAGUCUGGAAUGGCUUGAUGUAAAUUGCAUCAGCUUCAACUAUUGUUAAGGUGUGAUCAGCUAUACUGUAAAAGAGAUUGUAAUUGAGUGCAAAGUUGAUAAUGUGAAGAAGAUAUGUUUUCCUAGGCUUCACCUUCAGCUUAUAUGUUUCUGUAUUCACCAAUAAAAAUCAAGUAGACCAUCAUAUAACCGCGAGCAGGAAACUACUUAUAUAUUAUGCAAAGUAGUAGUGAUUCUUUUCGCCCUUAAUUAACUUUGAGAGGUAAAUAAAAGUAAAUAUACAGUUAGUAGAACAAUUGUACAAUGGUCCAGGGAAGCCAUUGAUGGUGUAUGCAUCACACACAUUAGGUCCGCCUUAGGUUUGAAGGGUUUGGCUGAUAACUGCCUCUGGAUCAGCAUUCCACCAUUUUCCCGUAUUCUAAAUGCAUAACUCAUUAGCUCUACGUAAUAUAAUUUAUUUCACUAAAUAAAUAUGGUUCUGUUCUUGAGCAGAAAGGCUAAAAUAAACUAUAUGUUGUUUUUGACUUGAGCUUUGACAAACAGUAGAUCCUGAGAGGAUCCUCAUUUUUGCGAUCCUUGAGUCCAAGGAGAUUUUAAUUUGUAAAGGUUAUGAUACAAAUCUUUCGCAUAAUAGCCUGUCUGGUCCUCUUCCUAAAGACCUUAGCCAUUUUAUGUUGGGUGUCUAGACUUUUUUUACAUUUAUUACAAUUCUGGUUUUCUAGUGAUUAGUUGUCCAACUCGGUUAGUAUAAGAUCUCUCAUCUGUUAAAAUUCAAGCUCGGUUCAUUUACAGUCAUAUUUAUUUUGAUUACUUAAAGGAUUGCAUUGCUUUCUCUAAUGGAUCAGAGGUUUCAGAUAUUUUUACUGGUGUUUUCCAUUCAAAUUUUCAGUAUAGUAUCGCAGGAUGGUGAGUUCACUUGAUCUUUAUGUUCUCAAUAGUUCUUAUGCCUUCUCUUGUAGUUAUGCAUGUUGAAUAAAACAAUACGAAUAUUAGAACUUACUAUUUUUGUUAAUUUUGAUAGAAAAGUGUUAUUGUUUCUAUAUCAGAUUUUGUUCUACAAUCUCUGCGGAAUCAGCGGAAGAACACACCGCCAAACUGGGUAGGCUCUGAUCCGUGUCCCAGGCCCAGCAAUUGGGACGGGAUUGAGUACCUCGGUCCUCGUGUCAUAGCCAUGUAAGAUAAUUUGUGUUUGAUAAUACCUGAAAAUUAAGUUUGUUUCAAAAUCUUGCAUUAAUUUUAGCUGAUAACAUUCUGUUUCAAAACAUUAUCAACCAUAAACUAGACUGGUCAGCUGCCUUCCGAUCUCGUAAACUUGUGACAGUUGCAGAUUGUGUAGGUUUUUCUUAUCUAUGUUUUUCUUCAUUAAACCACGUUUUUAUGCAUGCUUAAUGAAUUUGAAAUAAUGACAAUACUUAGUUAUUUGCCUCAAGUCCGCAAAUUUUUAGUAUUUUUGGAAUAAAAGAUAAAUUACUUUAUCCUAAAUCCUUAUAUGUCAAACUUUGUAUUUAUCCAUCACUGAGACCAAGGCACUAAGGCAGCCAAAUAUAUUGUAAUUAUCGCCGCCCCAAGGUUAUAUUUGAGUGAUGGACAUAAAGUUAAAGACAUGGUCUUGCAUACUGCAUUAAUUUUCACUAUUUGGAUUUGGUACUCUCUAAUUCAAGAAUAUAUUUUAUAUCCUCUCCUAGAAGUACCAAUAUAGUUUAUCAUGAAAUUAUGCAAUGUGUCUGGAUUUAUAUUUCGCCAUCCUGUUGAUAUAUUAUAUGUCUGCUGAACACCUAGUAAUAGUUUUUGGGUUUGCCAUCAUUAAACAUUUAAUAUCUUACAAUUUGUUUCGAACCUUUAUUUCAGAACAUAUCUAUACUGUUAAUUCACACACACACACACACGCGCAUAAAAUAGAGCUAUGAUGAGAAAGAAAUAUAAAGAUAAGUUGCAUUUCCCAUUAUGCGAUCCUAAUUUACUUAUGAAAUUUUUCAAAAGGCAUUCCAGGUACUCUAUCAUAUUUGUAUGGUACUUAAGGAGUUGAUUAUGGCUUCAUCAUUGUAAUUCUUAUUUAAAUUCUUCUCGUUUUUAUAGUAUGUUAGGUCCUUUUUUCUGUAAAUAGUCAUCGGCCUAUCAUUAAAAAUUUAAAGUACAAUAAUUGAUGAUACACAUGGAUCAUGCCUAGAAUUUACUCCCUAAUAUUGUUGCAGUCAAAAGGAUAUGAAGUUACUAUAAUGUCAAUUUUUCACUUGCCAAUAUUUUUUUCCUCCAUACAGUCACUAAGCUUGCUAAAUCUUAUUCUAAGGUUCAAUUCCAUUUUAUAAAAUGUUAAGUACAGGGCAAUUAUUAUUUUUGAAUUCCCAAGCAAAUAGAAAUAUCAUAAUAUUGGUUAUAUUUAUAAUUGCUCCUGAUAUAUUGGAUUCAGUAUUUCCAAUUUUAUUAGUCAGUGUGAAGCAAAAAGUAAUUAUACCUCUACUCGUAUAUAACCUUUUAUCUGGAUGUUUUAACAAACCCCUUCGGGUGAACUUUUUAUUGUCGCAAGUGGUUUUUGCAGAAGAUUGGUCAUGAAAGUACUUAUUUUUUACUUUCUAAUACCUUCCGUUUUUAACCUUCUGUUAUUUAUAUUCUUGUGUACAACUGCCUUCUAAUAAUUAAAAUAUGUUGUACUUCUAGGACUGAACAUAUGUUAUUGGCAUAUGAAGAUAAAUCAGCCUAUGCAUUAUGUGUUUUCUCACUUGCUCUUAGACCAAACGAACCGGUAUGCAUUUGGAUAAACACUUUUUAUUGUGUUCAAAGACUCUUUUUCAUGUUUAUAUAUGCGGGACUGACUAAUGCCUUGACAUUUUAGGCUGAAAUGCCCAAAGAAGAAAAUCAUAAGAUUUCUCAUCGCGCUAGGGCUCUUGCAUUGGACAAAGAUCAAAUUGCUGAAACUAGAUACAAUUUUAAGACCGAGACAUCUUCAUAAUAAGUAAAGUACUUGUGUUUUAUUAGUAUGAUAAAUCCUCUAAACAUGAUUAAUGGCUGGAAACUUCCAUUAUAUUUAUUGUACAAUGCCAAGCAAUGCAAAUGACUUGGAGUCUAUUGCUUUUGGAAAAUACCGGUAGUGCUGAUUGAGAUUAUGUUCCCAUUUAAAUUGCUUGCAGCAACAACAGGGAGGAAGGUGUGUACGUAUUUCUAAAACGGCUCAAUUUGAAGGAUUUAGGGACGGCCCAAUUUGAAGGAUUCAAGGACCUGGUAUUGGCCUUUGUUCAUUUAUUGAUAAUAAUACUUGAGUUGUGCAAGUAAGUAUUGUAAGCCAGUCAUCUUCAUAAUUUAAUAUUAACUAUGUUAAUUAAGCAAACAUUACUCGGCAUAUUAUAAUUCCUGAAGACAACAUAAAAAUAAAAAUUACUUUUUUCUAUUAUCAUAAAAAUAAGAAAAAAAUAUCAUUUAACGAAUUAGUAUAAACAAAAUAUCCAUAUUUCUAUAUAAUGUCAUAAUACCUACCAUCAUAUUUAUACAAUUCAUUUAUAUAUCUUAAAAACAUGUAAAAAGAUGUAUCGCUAAAAAUAUUUUAUUUUAAUUUCUGUAACGAAGAAAAUUUCUCCAAAACUAUAAUUUCUUCUUAACUGAUAAAUAAAAUAUCAACAUUUCUGAAUAAGAAAAAAAAACAUUUUAACAAAUUUGUAUGAAUAAAAUAUAUAAUUUUGUAUUUAAUAUGAUUAUUCCUUAUAAUAUGAUAUUUAUCAAUCAAAUCAAAUCUAAACAUACACUUUCAUCAAUCAUUUAAAACAUAAGCAUUAAAAAAACUCAAUUAUUUUAUGUGACUAAUAAUUUUAUAAUAAUAGAAAAUUUAUUUAAAUAAUUUAAUAAUACUAAAGAAUUAUGAAAAAUAAAAACGCCCGUGCUUCGCACGAGUUUUAGGCUAGUAUACUAUUAAAGCUGUAUCAUUAAAAGUUUGGUUUAUCGAUCGAUACUUGGGCCAGAUUUUGAACCUACUAUAUAAACAAUUAUCCUUUUUAACCAAAAUUUUUAUCAUUUUUAUAUUGUCUCAUUAAAAAAACUCAAUUUUCUAUAUACAACAAAGCAACUACCUUUUUUAACUAAAACACAAUAUCUUUUUCAUAUUUCUAACUAAAAAACCGAUUUUCUAAAAAUAACACAUGCAAAAUUCAUAUAAAAAGAGAUAAUAUUAUUAUAUGUAAAGGAAAAUAGAUUUUUUUUUUGUCACGCAACUUAUUGUGAUUUUAAAAACAUAACACUCAACUAAAUUUUUUUUACUUUUACUCACUAAUGUUAGGUUUGGAUUGUUUUUUUAAUCACUAACUUAGGUCCGGAUUUGAUUACUAGCAUUAUUGAUAGGCAUUGGAAUAAUUAAAUAGUUAUUGUUAUGGCCCGACCCAAGAAGGCCCGAGUAGUUAUCUACGAAUUUAGAUCAUGUAAUACGACUAACUCUCACAGAUAAACAUCCGAGAAUCCGAGAUAAACAUCAACACCCGAAGAUAAGAGUUCUAUCUUAUCUUUUGCUCCGAAGCAUACUUCGAUAAGAAGUCUGGUACAUGGAAUCAUACUUCCACCUGACUUUUGACUCUGAAGUGCCUCUAUGAAGGGCUCUACCCCUCCAAAAUAGAACUAUGUUUUGGACUUGAUUCUUUUCCAAGUAGAAGAUACGUAGGCAUCUCGCACCGAGACCAGUCCAAAGCACGAAUCGCUCACACCCCUCAUUUUUAGAUCCUCAACAUUCGGCGCCGUCUGUGGGAAGAAGACAACAACCAUGACGAACCCAAGAAUACGUUUAGAAGUACAUGUUCCACUCAGCCAGACGACCACCGGAGUCCCGACAGGAACGGUCCCCAUCACCGCCUCUAUCCCACUCGGGACUACCGCUACUCAAACCACCGCUCCCCUGAUCUUUGGCACGCUGCCCCCAAUAACUCGGGUGAUUGCAACCGUUACCAACACCGGCACCCAUUACUCAACUGUCAUGACCACUACUCGUGGAGGUACGGGUAAUGAUGAUGUACACAUAACUGAUUACGACUCCUCCGACUCGGAGCAGGAACAUGACACCCCUCCUCGAAGGAGAAGGGAUACCGACAUACUCGAAACCACUGACGCCGCUCUAGGCAAGACAAUAAUGAGCCUCAGGGGCCGACGAACCAAACUUAUGAGGAAAGGAUCCGCGCCUACGAAGAAGAAAUUGCACGAUUGAAGAGAGACCAGGCAAGGCUUCCGCCCCCAGAACCAAGGGAUGAGAACUCUCAUCGAUUAAGCAUGAAUCAGAUCCAAUUGUUGCCAGCAGGCGAUCCCGAUAACCCUGUUCCGCCCUUUACCGAAGAGAUUAUAGGUGAAAGAAUCUCCAGAAAAUUCAAGCUCCCAACCAUUAAAGCCUAUGAUGGCAUGGGUGAUCCCGCUAAUCACGUCCGGACCUUUAUGAACGCUUUAUUGCUCCAACCAGUCACGGAGGCAAUCAAGUGCCGUGCUUUUCCUCAGACCUUGAGCGGGAUGGCGCAACACCGGUAUAGUCGCUUACCCUCAAAUUCUAUUUCUUGUUUUGCUGACUUGAGUAGGGCCUUCAUAGGACAAUUUGUUGGAAGCAAAACAAAUGCUAAAAGCUCCGCCUCGUUAAUGAAUUUACACCAGGGUAACAACGAAUCACUCCGAGAGUACAUGAAUCGUUUUACCAAAGAAGCCUUGAAGGUCUCAGACCUAGAUCAGAAGGUAGCUAUGAUUGCACUCCAACAAGGUAUUACCGAUGACAACUUCCGUCGAUCUUUAGCCAAGAGGGCCCUUGAUAAUAUGAAUGAUUUACAAGAGAGAGCCGGGAAGUAUAUUAAGGCGGAGGAAAUCCUGAAAAAAUCCCAAACCAAUGGGGGACCGAGUACUAACUUCAAGAAGCACGGGAGUGACACCGAGUAUAACGUCGAGAAUAAAUACUCCAAGAAGAACGACGGUGAAAAGUCUCCGACUAAAAAGAAAUUAGGGCCGAGGUUCAGUUAGUAUGCUAGGUUUAAUGCCCCGAGGAGUCAAAUCCUGAUGGAGAUUGAGAAGCAUGAAAGUGUUAGAUGGCCGAAGCCUAUAAGAACCGACCCGGAGAAACGGAACAAAGAUUUAUAUUGUCAAUUCCAUAAAGACACCGGACAUAAGACCGAUGAUUGCCGGCAGUUUAAGGAUGAAAUUGAGUUCUUGAUCCGAAGAGGCACGUUGACCAAAUUUAUCAAAUAUGGAGACAGGAAUCAUCGGGACAAUGACAAUCGUGGAAGAGACAACGAUGACAAAAGAACCCAGACUCGAGGGCCUGUGAUUAAUGUAAUCUCCGGAGGACCUACAGCUGCCGGUACUUCCAGUAAUUCGAGGAAGGCUUAUGCAAGAGAAGUAAUGAGUAUAGUUGGAGAACCCCCGAAGCGGGCAAAAAUUGAUUAUGCUAUGGCAUUCGAUAACGUUGACCUUGAGAAGGUGAAGUUCCCCCAUGAUGAUCCUUUAGUAAUUACAUCAACGAUUAAAAACUCGUCUGUAAAAAGAGUACUCGUUGACAGUGGAGCCUCGGUGAAUAUAUUGUUCUAUGAUGCAUAUGAGAAAAUGGGGUAUGCUAAUUCUCAAAUAACACCCUCAGAUAUGCCUAUAUAUGGUUUCAAUAACGCGGAAACAAAGAUUGAAGGCAUGAUCCAACUCCCGGUGACCAUGGGCACCGAGCCUAGACAGGCCACAUGCAUGUUGAACUACCUGGUAUUUAAAGCCUCAUCAACCUAUAAUGCCAUCUUUGGGAGGACUAGGAUACAUGCUUUUAAAGCAAUCCCAUCCACUUACCACUUGAAGAUCAAGUUCCCAACUAGGAAUGGAGUGGGGGAAGAAGUAGGAGAUCAAAAGAUGGCCCGAAGCUGUUAUGUCGGAGCGUUGAAAUCCGGAGGAGCUGGGGGGGCAAGUGUUACCCAUAGAAGACCUUGAUGUCCGAGAAGAAGACGAAAGGAGAGGCAAGCCUGCCUAGGAUUUGGUUCUAAUCCCAUUGUAUACUGAGGAACCUGAAAAGGUCACAUAUGUUAGAGCAUUACCCCCGGAAGAAUUGAAGCAAGAACUUCUGAAAUUCUUGAGGAACAAUCGUGAUGUUUUUGCUUGGACAGCAGCCGAUAUGCCAGGUAACGAUCCCUUAUUUAUGACCCAUAAGUUGAAUGUGAACCCUUAGAGGAAACCUAUUAAAUAGAAGAAAAGGAAAUUCGCCCCUGAAAGGCAGGAAGCCAUUAAACAUGAGGUUGAUAAGUUGUUGGAAGCAAGUUUUAUUGAGGAAAUUCAAUUCCCAGAAUGGUUAGCCAACCCGGUCAUGGUCAAGAAAGCUAGUGGAGGAUGUGUGUGGACUUCACUGACCUAAAUGAUGCUUACGCAAAGGAUUGUUUCCAUCUUCCAAGAAUAGAUACACUAAUAGAUGCCACUGCUGGUCAUGAGAUGCUAAGCUUCAUGGAUGGCUUCAGUGGAUAUAAUCAGAUCCGGAUGGACAAGGACGACGUACCCAAGGUAUCAUUCAUUACUGACUUUAGUGUGUUCUGUUAUUUGGUUAUGGCGUUUGGACUUAAGAAUGCGGGAGCCACGUACCAAUGUUUGGCAAAUAAGAUGUUCAAACAUCUGAUAGGUAAGACUAUGGAAGUGUAUCUAGAUGAUAUGUUGGUGAAAAGCUUGAGUAAAGCGAAUCACUUAGAACAUUUGAAAGUGGCUUUUGAAGUCCUGAGGACACAUAAGAUGCUGCUAAAUCCAUCCAAGUGUGCCUUUGGGGUUGGCUCUGGAAAAUUCCUGCGUCUGAUGGUCUCUAAGAGUGGUAUUGAGGCCAACCCCGAUAAGAUAAAAGCUAUCCUAGAUAUGGAACCACCCAAAAGCGUAAGGAUGUUUAGAAAUUGAUAGGAAGAAUUGCAGUCUUGGGAAGGUUCGUGUCUAAGUCGGGAGAUAAGUGCUUGCCUUUCUUCAAAGCAUUGAAGAAGCUGGUUAAGAACUUCGAAUGGACGGAUGAGAUCCAAGUGGCCUUUGAAGAAUUGAAAAAGUACAUGACGGAGCCACCUCUCUUAUCAAAGCCUGUAGACGGUGAGGUCUUGUAUGUAUACUUGGCUGUUUCGGAACAAGCACUGAGUGCUGUGUUAGUUCGAGAAGAGUUAAAAGUUCGGAAACCAGUGUAUUAUGUGAGCAAGGUUCUACACANGAAUAUCACAGAAUGAUGGAGUUCAUCAAAUCUAGUCAGCUGUCUCAUGCCAUGCUCUCAACUCCAACUAUCUACCAUGAAGUUGUGGAAGAGAUUUGGACAACAGCCGAAUUUAAUAGUGAGGAUGACAAUAUCUCCUUUACUNAGGAUUGUUUCCAUCUUCCAAGAAUAGAUACACUAAUAGAUGCCACUGCUGGUCAUGAGAUGCUAAGCUUCAUGGAUGGCUUCAGUGGAUAUAAUCAGAUCCGGAUGGACAAGGACGACGUACCCAAGGUAUCAUUCAUUACUGACUUUAGUGUGUUCUGUUAUUUGGUUAUGGCGUUUGGACUUAAGAAUGCGGGAGCCACGUACCAAUGUUUGGCAAAUAAGAUGUUCAAACAUCUGAUAGGUAAGACUAUGGAAGUGUAUCUAGAUGAUAUGUUGGUGAAAAGCUUGAGUAAAGCGAAUCACUUAGAACAUUUGAAAGUGGCUUUUGAAGUCCUGAGGACACAUAAGAUGCUGCUAAAUCCAUCCAAGUGUGCCUUUGGGGUUGGCUCUGGAAAAUUCCUGCGUCUGAUGGUCUCUAAGAGUGGUAUUGAGGCCAACCCCGAUAAGAUAAAAGCUAUCCUAGAUAUGGAACCACCCAAAAGCGUAAGGAUGUUUAGAAAUUGAUAGGAAGAAUUGCAGUCUUGGGAAGGUUCGUGUCUAAGUCGGGAGAUAAGUGCUUGCCUUUCUUCAAAGCAUUGAAGAAGCUGGUUAAGAACUUCGAAUGGACGGAUGAGAUCCAAGUGGCCUUUGAAGAAUUGAAAAAGUACAUGACGGAGCCACCUCUCUUAUCAAAGCCUGUAGACGGUGAGGUCUUGUAUGUAUACUUGGCUGUUUCGGAACAAGCACUGAGUGCUGUGUUAGUUCGAGAAGAGUUAAAAGUUCGGAAACCAGUGUAUUAUGUGAGCAAGGUUCUACACAGAGCGGAGCUCAAUUACUCGGUGAUCGAAAAGUUUGCUUUGGCCAUGAUUACAGCCUCGAGAAAAUUAGGACCUUACUUUCAGUCUCAUAAAAUAGAAGUCUUGACAGACCAAACUCUUCGUAAUGUUAUACAUAGCCCGAAGGCUAGUGGAAGGUUCAUCAAGUGGGCAAUUGAGCUCGGGGAGUUUGAUAUUCGAUACAAGCCACGAACGGCGAUUAAGGCUAAAGCUUCAGUUGACUUCCUUGUUGAAUGUACCAUUAGCAACCAGGAAGUCGCGGGGCAGGUGGACAAGGUAGAAGAACCUACUAAGGAAGAGAAACCUAAAGAAUAUUGGCUACUAUUUUUUGCCGGGGCUUUAAAAACAAAAGGUAGUGGUGCAGGACUUGUGCUCCAAAGCCCUGAUGGCUUUACUGUGGAAUAUGCUAUUAAGCUGGACUUCCCGACCACCAACAACGAAGCUGAGUAUGAAGCGUUGAUAGCUGGACUUGGUUUGGCUAGAACCUUGAGGGUGAAAAACUUGAAGGUCUGUGGUGACUAGAAACUUGUUAAAAUAUCUAAGGAUUGUGAAGACUCAAAUAGCACUAUUCAAAAAAUGUAUAAUAGAGUAUGUGCCAAGGGAAGAGAACACUAAGGAUGAUGCCUUGUCACAAUUUGCAUCCUUUGACGAUGAGAUUUGCUCAAGGAACGUUUAUUAUCAGGUUAUGAGAACCCCAAGCAUCGAAGCAAAGUUAGUUGCUCCAAUUGACACAGGGGCCACCUGGAUGGAUGAGAUUAAGUUGUAUCUGGAAAACGGUCACCUGCCGCCAAAUGCCGAUGAAGCACGAAAAUUACAGGUAAGGGCCCUUAAGUAUGUUCUCAUUGAGGGAAUCAUAUACUGGAAAUCGUUUGUUAUCCCUUACUUGAGAUGUUUAAGGCCGGAUGAGGCUCGAGAAGCCCUUAGAGAAGUUCAUGAGGUUGUAUGUGGUCAACACCUCGGAGGAAGGGCAUUGGCUCAUAAGGUCACUCGCCUUGGGUUUUAUUGGCCAGAUAUGCUGAAACAUGCUCAAGACUAUGUGAAAAAUGUGAUCGCUGCCAAAGGUUUGCACCAAUAGUACGACAAACCACCAGAGAUGUUGACAUCCAUUAAUACCCCUAUCUUUUUCGCAAUGUGGGGGAUGGACAUCCUUGGACCGUUUCCACUCGCUAGUGCGCAAAGAAAGUUCCUGUUGGUAGCAAUUGACUACUUUACCAAGAGGAUUGAGGCCAAACCACUGGCCAAGAUAACCAUCAAGCAAGUUGCUCAGUUUGUGUGGGAGAACAUUAACUUCAGGUAUGGGAUACCUCGAAUCAUGGUAACAGACAAUGGGACUCAAUUCAAUAAUGCUGAAUUCAAAAGUUAUUGUGAAGAUUACUUUAUCGAGCUACGCUUUACCUCCGUUGCCCAUCCUCAAGCUAAUGGACAGGCUGAAGUGGCUAAUAGGAUAAUCCUCGAUGGACUGAAAAAGAGAGUUGAAAAAGCCCAAGGGUCAUGGAUCGACGAGUUACUCCCAAUACUUUAGGCGUAUCAAACAACUUGUAAGGUUUCACCUGGAGCAACCCCAUUCCAGUUAGCUUACGGAGCCAAGGCAGUAGUGCCACUUGAAAUCACGCACACUUCCACUAGGGUCUAGCAGUAUGAGCCAGAAGCCAAUGAAGAGGGUAUGAGACUUGCCCUUGAUAUGAUCGAUGAAAUCCGUGAUGAAGCUCAUGCUAAGAUUGUGAAAAACCAGAAGCGAGCUUCUUACUAAUACAACCUACAGGUUAAUGAGCGAUACUUUCGAGAAGGAGAUCUGGUACUUAGAAGAUUGAAGCUUCUGGGGUAGGCCCCAAAGGCAAGAUGGCUCCAAAUUAGGAAGGCCCCUAUCAAGUUAAGACCGUUACAGGCCAUGGCUCAUACAAGCUCCAGAACCUCGAAGGAAUUGAAGUUCCCCGGAGUUGGCAUGCGACCAACUUAAAAAUAUAUUAUAUUAGAUAUCUAUUCUAUGAUAGUAGAAGUUAGUAGGUAUCACCAAAAUAAGGUCAUGUCGACCACUGCCAUGUAAUUGAUUUCAAAAAUAGUUUAUCUCUUUUACUAUGAUAUUAAUGAAAGUCCCGAAGAUUCUUCACCUUGAUCUUUUCAAGUGUUAUUUACUUAUGUUUUCUCUUGAAGAAUAAUCCAUGAAAUCCUGAAUAUGGAUGAAUACGAGUAAAAGCUUGAAGCUAAGAAAAAAUAUAAAGUGAAAGCUAGUUUAAAGGCAUGGCGAGGAAAGUCAACAAACCCUGAAGGGUUGACCCAAUCGUUAGAAAAUGAUUUGAAAAUCCUAAUUUAUGGACUUAUAAGCAAAAGCUCGAAGCCGAAAUCCUGGGUUAAGGAUAUAAAUGCACGAUACGCAGAAUAAAAAGAAAGUAGUUUAAAGCUAAGCCAGAGAGAAAAUAAAACAAAAGUUAACUUAAAUAAAUAAGUUAAUAGAGUUAACCCCGAAGGGUGCGAAUAAGAGAAUUUAAAUAAAAUACAAAUUCAAGCCACGUAGGGCCAAGAAACGCCUAAUCUAUAGGAGCCCAUCAUCAAAGGUGUCCUCUUUUUGGUCUUUACCCUGGGAUUGGACUGCUUCCUUGCCAUCCCGGGCUUCUUGAUCUUGGGCCCCCAUCUCUUCAUCUCGGGCCUCCACCCCGAGAUCCUCCUUAUCUUUGUCAGGGUCCUCGAUCACAAGGUUCUCAGACAAAUUUUCCCCGUCUUGGGUAUAAGACGGGAACGAAUCCGUCAAAUCCUCGACGGCCAUCGGAGAAGGAGUAUCCUUCCCGAUGAGCGGAGGAACUGGGAAUCGUUCCAGACUAACACCUUCAACCUGGGUGCUGAGCUCCUCGAUAAUUCUCUCCCAACAAGACUUGAAGGUCUCGGGGAAACUCAGGUCGUACUCGGCCGCCAGAAGCUCGUCGAACUCCGAGGACGCUUUAAAAUCUACAAUCCCCUCCCGGCAAAACCUCUCUAGCUCCGCCUCCAAACUGCAGACUUUUUCCUGCUCCGCCACGAGCUCCGCUUCCACCUUCCUGAACCGCUCAAAGUUGGCGGCUAAGGACUCGAAGUAACGAUCACGGUCACGUUCUGCGAUCGUCUUCUCCGCCCUUACCGUCUUCAAGUUGUGGACAGCGGCUUGCAGGUAGGUGUUCAUCUGCAAGGUGAAACGAAAUCAUUAAGAAAAAUUCUAAGUAAAAAGAAGAGGCGUAAAAGAUAUUAAGAUAAAGUUUUGGGCCUUACGGUAGCUAUCGCUUGGGCCCCCAGCAGUUCGAUCUGUAGAUCAUCCGAGGACUCCACCACCUGGGCUUUGUCCCGAGAGGUGACUACGUUUCUGGACCACUCAGCCGCGGCCCUAGAGUCACCUACUACGGUAUCCUUGUUGAGGAGACCCCACUGAACCAUGUAAGGGUUUUGGUCCUCCUCGACGGGCGUGGGGCGUGGGCUGAGGUAGGUCGGGAUCUUUUUCACCACUUCCGUGGCCCCAUCCUUCCUGGAUCGCUUAACACGGGGAACCUCCGUGGCCACGACUUUGGACGCGGCCUUUUCCCUUUUCUUGAAAAUGGUCCCCAACCUUUCUUGGGCUGCAAAAGCAAAAUAACAAACCAGUUAAAACUUGUAAGACAAAUAAACAAGUAAAAGGCCCAGAAAAUAAGGGGGGAAAGUGGAUUACCCUCUGGGCCAAAAUCACUCAGCCCAUGCUCUUGGAGCGAGGCCUCGGAAAUAAGUAUGGAGCUAUGGUGAAGGCAGUCUCCAGUCAAAAUCUUGAUGGCCGCCUCCUCCUUUAUCCCCAAUUUUAGGGACCUAACGGCCCCAUCUUCGGCUCUACUAAAGUCCGAAUAAAAGUAGUCGUCCCAGUUUCCGUCGUCCAAAUAAAGAUAAAACCAUUGUUUUUUCCAAUGGGGUAGGGAAUCUGGGGCCGAGUCCGAUACAAAUAUACUUCGGGCCAAAGACCUGUACUGGAUCUUCACCCAACCCUCAUCGUUGGGUGCAAUUACAAACUUAAAAAGAUAUCUAAAAACUGCCACACUGGGAUCAAGAUUGUGUCUCCUACACUGGACCAUAAAACAGUAAAUAAACCUCCAGCCAUUGGGCUGGAGUUGGGUUGGACAAAUGCGGGCCUCGGCCAAAAGUCGAAACACGAAGGGGGGAGGAGGUAACCUAAACCCAGAAUAAAAUGUUUCCUUAUAAAUUCUAAUAGCCCCAGGCUUUGGGUAACAGGCCCUAUCAUUUGGGCCUGGGGCCACGGCUCUAUAAGGCCCGUUGAUGUAAAAAAGAUAGGCUAUGGCAUCAACGUCCUUCUGAUCAUAUUUAGAAGGGAAAUUAUAAGCAUCAAGAUGAAGUAAAUUUGGAAAGGCCUGGCCAAAUUCACUUAACAAAUCUCUAAGACAUUGAUCUCUAAGACUACGCUAGCAUGAACGAGGAAUUUUUUACCUCGACUAGCGCGAGAACGAGCCGCGAUUGGCUGAGAGAGCUGGGAUUGUUGCGAAGAUGAGGAAUCCGUCAUUGAUCUUCAAGGGAUGAAGGUAGAAAACCCAGAAACUGAUGAAUGAAGAUGAAGAUUGAUCGGAAACCUGGGAAAAUCUUGAAGAUUGUCCGGAAACUAGACAAAAUCUAGAAGAUCGGCCAGAAUUCUGGGAAAUCUUUGAAGAUUGCCGGAAACACCGCCUCAAAUAACGCCUAAAAAAUGAAAGUGUUUGGAAGUGUUUGAGAGAAUUUGGGGUUCUUAAACUAGGAAACUUUUGUGUGAAAUGAGAAAUGAAGUGUCAAGUCACACAUUAUAUUGAAAACUCAUAACCGGUUCAUUUGCCGGUAAACCCUAGGGUUCACAGCCUAUAGCCAGCACUACGCCAUAAGUGCACAUAGGCAACGGUGUUUCCAUAUAAAACUAAGUCUAUUUCAACACAGCAUUGAACGCGUUGCACUACAUUUAAACUACAGUUGCUUAUUAUAAACACUGUUGCGCAAAGUGCAACACUAGCAGUAGUAGUGUUGCAUUAGCAAUUUAAAAUAAAUAUUUAUUGCUGAAAUGGCCUCUCUGGGGUCCAGAAAUGAUGAGGUGGCAUACUCAUGUGGCAGAGGGGGUUCCCACAAUGCUGACGUGGCAGGUGGGCCCCACAUUGCUGAUGUGGCAUGUGGGUCCCACGUGUGGGCCCCACCUUGCUGACGCGGCAUGAUGAUGUGGCAGGUGGGCCCCACCUGUGGGCCCACCAUGCUGACGUGGCAUGUGGGCCCCACGUCGCUGACGUGGCAGGUGGGUUCGCCAUGUGGGUCGCACCUUGCUGACGUGUCAGGUGGUGUUGCGUUUGGUUCUUGGUGUUGCAUUUGGUAUUAAGUUGUGUCACCUUUACCGUUAAAGUUAUUUCUAAAAUAAUUUGUCUUACCAUAACGAUUAUCAAUAUUUUUAAUUAUUUUUGUAGAUGAUACGACCGUACGGAUGUUAAAAUCUAUUGAUUUUAGUGAAGUGAAUUUUUUUUUGAAUUUUUUAUGAUGUGUGUGAUGUGAUUUUACAAUAGUCAAACAGUGGUCAACACAGGUUCUUGUUAACUAGUUUUGUCAAGAACUAUGAUUAUAAUUUUUAGUAAUUCUUUUUCAGGGAUCCGACCGUACGGAUGUUAAAAUCUAUUGAUUUGAGUGUUGUGAUUUUUUUUGAAUUUUUUAUGAUGUGUGUGAUGUGACUUUAUAAUAGUCAAACAGUGGUCAACACAGCUUCCUGUUAAGUAGCUUUGUGAAGAACUAUGAUUAUAAUUUUUUUAUAAUUCUUUUUCAACGAUCCAACCGUACGGAUGUUAAAAUCUAUUGAUUUUAGUGUUGUGAUUUUUUUUUGAAUAUUUUAUGAUGUGUGUGAUGUGAUUUUAUAAUAGUCAAACAGUGGUCAAAACAGGUUCCUGUUAACUAGCUUUGUCAAGAACUAUUGUUAUAAUUUUUUAUAAUUCUUUUCCAAUGAUCCGACCGUGCGGAUGUUAAAAUCUAUUGAUUUUAGUGUUGUGAUUUUUUUUUUUGAAUUUUUUAUGAUGUGGAUGAUGUGAUUUUAUAAUAGUCAAACAUUGGUCAACACAGGUUCCAGUUUAUUAGCUUUGUCAAGAACUAUGUUUCUAAUAUAAUAUAUAUAUUAGAGUUGCCAAGGCAAAUAAGACAGGGGUGGGACGUAGGACUCGUGCACAAGCAAAAGCACAAGAGCCUGCUGACAUUGAAAGAGAUNAUAUUGAUUUUCUAUAUUAACUAUAAAUAAUAAAAAGUAUAUAAAUUAAUUAAAACAUUAUGAAUUUCGAAAAGAGCUUACAGGUCCCGAGGUCAAAAAAUUGGGCGGCGAAUUUCCCUCCCAACGAAAACUCCCUCAGUAUACUUUCUCUAAAAAAUUCACAAACUCAAACUCCGGCUUCUCUCCAAAACUCAAAUUUUCUCUUUAGAUUUGAUAACUCCGACUUCGAUUAGUAACUAUCGGCGACAGUUAGUAGCUCCAGGCUUCGACUGGAAAUUGUGGGACUAAAAACUCGAGGGCUUUGACUGGUAAUACUCGUUUCCAAGCUUUGAUUUUAUUUUGAUUUCAAUCUCACACUUGUACUGAACUUGCAGGUAAUUUUGGGCUUCAAUUUAGGGUUUAUUGUUGCUUUUGAAGGUAAUUACAAAGAUGUAGGAGAGCUCAGUAAUUUUUUAGGAACAAUAGCUAGGGAUAAUGUGUCGCUCACUUACGUGAAUUGGCACGUUGUUCCCGACCAAUUGAAGCAAAAAUUAUGGGAAUAUACUUUGGUGAUUUCUAUUCUCUAUGAAUAUAGAUUACAUCACUUUCUAAAUUUAUGCAUUCAAUUUAAUAAAACAUAAUUGAUCACGUUAUGUUUGAUAUUUUACAGGCCAGGUUUGAUAUUCAUGAAGAUGGAAGGAAAUGGGUUUAUACUACACUUAGUGUUGCUUGGAAGUUACACAAGGCUCGUGUGAAGAAGGCUUAUUACACUAAAAAUGACAAUGUUGAGGAAAGAUUGGAGAAUAGACCAGAUCGGGUUCCAUUGGAGGAUUUUAAAAUGCUGUUGAAGUAUUGGGGGGAUGCAAAAGUUCAGGUAGUAACUAGAAAAACCUCAUUAGUUUUUUUAACCUCAUCAGUAAAUAUUAUUCAUGCAAAUAUUUGUUUUUUCACCAAGUAAACUGUUUCCAUCAAGAUGACAAGAAAAAGGCCACUAAAUUAUACUAGAAAAGGUGUAUUUAUUGUGAUACGAAACUACAACAUUAGUUUCUUAUUAGACUCAUUGUGUUAUUAUUAUUAUUUUACAGAAAAUUGGUAGAGAUAAUGCAGAGAGUCGUAAAUCAUUGCUUGAGACGCACACAUUGGGUCGUAAACCUGUGGCCCUUGUAAUUGAAAAACUGGUAAGUGUAUUUCCUUGUGCAAGUUUAUUUUGUAAUACAAUGAUGAUUUACACAAUGAUUGUUUUGCAUCAUAAGUAGAUUAAUAUACUUUUUCUUGUUCGAUUGUUCUUCUUUACCUUUUUGCUAUAUACAAAACUAAGUGUAGAGAUAAAAUACCUGAGAAUUUAUAGCUCUGCAAUUUUUAUUGGUCAAGUUUGCGAAUGGAAAUUUUUUAUAAAUUUGUAUAUAUGCAGUAUUGAAUUAUUAUUUUUUCUUUUUUUAUAAGUUUUUAAAGGUCUUGUUUGUGAACUUGUACCUGUAUUUCAAGUCACAGUUUCUGUAUUGUACUCUAUUUUUAUUUAAUGUUUUCAAUUCAUGUUUUAAAACCUGCACAAUCUUAUUUUUUUAAUGGAUUAUGAUAUGUUUUUUUUGUUGGUAAAUUAUUACUAAUGCCAUUUUGUCGACUUAUGUACAAGCUGGGUUUGCUUUACGUAAGUGACAUAUUUAAUAUUUAUCCCCUAAAUGACAGAAAAAGGAUGAUCCAAAUCUUGAGCAUCCAAGCGACGCUCAAAUAAAUUCACUUACUCGUAAGCGGGAUAAAGGACGGGAGUACAAGUCAGAUACUGACAAAAUGAAGAAGAAACUUGUAAGUAUAUUUUAUCGUAUAGAAGGAGUUUAUAUUUAUUAAUGUCAUAUUUUAAAUACUGAAGUAUCCAUUUCUUCCAGGAAAAAAUUGAGAAGUUGAUAGAACAGGGAAAGGAGGAUGAAGCAAAUGCAAUCGCUUCUAAUGGAAAGGAUCAUGGACCAAACUAGCUGGUUGGAAGGGCAGGUACUAAGUCUGAUUCGGCCUCAACUUCCAAAGUUUCUACUGAACAGCAAGUUCAAGAACUAGCGGCAAAAGUAAGGAAUAUUGAGAGUGAAUUAGAAGCCAACUUCAACAAAAGAAUGCAGGAGAACAUGGCUUGGAUGCUGAAAAUACUAGGAGCAGCCAACCCCGAUAUGACAUUCAAUAUUGAGGAGGUAUGUGCCACGGUUUCCAGUGAGUUUGAGGAAAAUGGUACUCCAACCACUCAAGACAGCGCAACUUCUUAGGGACUUUAUUGCUACCUAUUAUAUCGUACUCUUAUUCUUUUCAAGCAAGCUGUUAUGUAUUUGAACUUAGAAUGGGUUGUGCCCUCUUUAAUGUAGUUAGCUAUGUCUAAAACUUGUUGGUUGCUUGUUUUGAAUAUUUUAGAACUUCUAGUGUUGGGACUUUUUGGAUACCUUUUUGGCAGGGAUUAUGUAAAAACAGGAAGGUUAUGUCCAAAAUUUCUAUUCUCUACUGUUGCAUUUGACUUUAUAUGGUGUUGCAUAUUGCAUAUAAAUGUACUGGUACAAAAUUAUUAGGGGUUGUAUUUUAUAAAUUUUGGUGCUGCACGAGACUAAAAAUGGUGUUGCAAACAAAAACUUUGGCGUUGUAAUUAAAAAGUUGGUGUUGCAAAAGAGUAAAAUUAGUGUUGCAUAUCCGCUAAAACUGGUGUAACAUAUUAAGAAAUUAGUGUUGCAAUCAACAGUGGGCCCACUGCUGACGUGGCAAUGUGGGGCCCACAUUAUGACCCGGCAUAUGUGGGGUCCAGUGCUGAUAUGGCGUAGUGGGUCCCACUGCUGACCUGGCAGACAUGGGGUCCACUGCUGACGUGGUAGUGUUGGGACCACUAUGACCUGGCAACCUGACGUGUCACUUGCCAUGUGGACUGUAUGGUGAUGUGGUUUAAUGCCUCAUGCAACACUGAGUGUCAUUGCGUUUAUAUCUGUUUACCGUUACGUAAUAUGCAUAUUGCAAUGCUUUUUGGUGUUGCACAAAGUGUUGCCUUAGGACUCUACGGCCACGCUCACAUUGGCAACGCUGGACUGGUGUUGCGUAUUUCCUUAUGCAACACCAUUUAGGCUUUAUGCAACUUUACGGAGGAGUUUCCUAUAUGGACUUAUGGCGUAGUGCAGUAAAAUUGGCUUUGGGCCGGUCAAAAGGCCUCGUAACAAGCGCGAAGCCCAUGAAUUUGAAAAAAUCGAAUCUCUCUAGAAGGAUCGAAAGAAUUUUGAGGGACACUUCAAAAUUAAAGGAAAAAUACAAGUUAUAUAGGCCUGACAAGUUAUAGACCAAGGCCCACAACCUAUAACAAUCGCGGGCUUCUAAGCGUGCCAUGUUAAUUGCCUCCAUGGCGUUGUUACCCACGCCUAGGGCACGAUUGACAAUUGAAGGAAAAAUUAUUUUUAUACAAAUAAAUAAAUUCCAGAGAAUGGGAAGUUAAGAAAAAGGUUUAACAACGCGAGGAGGCAUAUUGUGUAACCGUGUUACAAAUCAUGUCUCCUUGGCGCUGCUACGCACGCCAAGGGAGUAUGACACAAUAGAAGCUUUGUGAAGGCCAAAGGUUUAACCAUGCCCAGGAGGCAUGUCCUGUGGACGUGUCACAAAUCAUGUCUCUUUGGUGUCUCUACGCACGCCAAGGGACACUACACUGAAGAAGCCUAAGAGAUGGCCUAAUGAUCUUCCACACCCCGGAAGCAUAUCCUGUGAGCGUAGGAUAUAUCAUGUCUCCUUGGCGUGGCUAGGCACGUCAAGAGAGCAUUACACAAGUAAGGCUCAAAGAAGCACUCACGCCCAAGAAGCAUGUCUUGUGGGCGUGGGAGGAAUCAUGCCUCCUUGGCGUUGCUAAGCAUGCCAAGGACACAUGGCCAAGUUAACACUUAAUAAAAGAGAAUGGUCGAACCACGCCUAGGAGACAUCGCUCCUACGCGUUGCACCAAGUGUGUUUCCUUGGCGUUGCUAGCCACGCUAAGGGAACAUCAACUUACUGGCCUUAAGGUGGCAACCACGCCCAGGAAGCAUCAUGGCUCCUGGGCGUGCCUCCAAGCAUGCCUCUUUGGCGUGGCAAAGCACACCAAGGGAGCAUUGACCAACUCAGCCAUGACAGGCUUGACCUAACCACGCCCAAGAGACAUGUCUCCUAGGCGUGGUAAUUUGCAUGCUUCCUUCGCGUUGCUACGCACGCCAAGGAAGCCCCUCCUUGUUGAAGGGUGAUUUUUCUAAUUAAGGAAUUAUUUAAUUGUUUAAAAAUGAUAUCAAAAUUCCAAAAAAAAUAUUCUAAAGGCUCGAAAAUUCUAGAAAAUUGGAAUUAAAUCACAGAAAUUCCGAUAAAAUAGAAUAAGCCUAGGAAAAAUACGGGAAUACCCGAGAAUACUAUCUUGACGAGAAAUUCGACAAAAUACACGAUGUACGAUAUGAAAGUCAUGGGAAAUAUUCGAUAAAGCUCGAACAGCCGUAUGGAAACCUCUAUAAACUUUCGAUAAAUUACCACGAAAUUUGUCGAAAGUUGGGGGGCAAAUGAUAGGCAUUGGAAUAAUUAAAUAGUUAUUGUUAUGGCCCGACCCAAGAAGGCCCGAGUAGUUAUCUAGUUACCAGAAAUCUAGCAUCGGCCCACUAGAAGCCCGAAUCUCACAUAUGGAUUACUUGGAGAAACUUAAUUGGGUUGGGGCCCAAUUAAGGGUCCAGCUACAAAUUUAAAUCCUGUAAUACGACUAACUCUCACGGAUAAACGUCCGAGAAUCCGAGAUAAACAUCAACACCCGAAGAUAAGAGUUCUAUCUUAUCUCUUGCUCAGAAGCAUACUUCGAUAAGAAGUCUGGUAUAUGGAAUCGUACUUCCACCCGACUUCUGAUUAUGAAGUGCCUAUAUGAAGGGCUCUACCCCUCCAAAAUAGAACUACGUUUUGGACUUGAUUCCUCUCCAAGCAGAAGAUACGUAGGCAUCUCGCACCGAGACCAGUCCAAAGCACGAAUCACUCAUACCCCCUCUUUUUUAGAUCCACAACAAUUAUGAUAAUUUUUUGUAGCACCAUUAAUACAUAGUGAUAGUAUGUAAUUUUUUGAUGAUGUGACGUGUGUUUAUAUAUUUAUAUAGUGAUAAUAACAUAAAAUGAGCCGAUAAAAAAAUUAAUAUCAGGAAAAACCAUAAUUAAAAUUCUAGAAUUUAUUCAUCAAUAUGAAAUCACAAUACAUCCUCCUAAUAAGAUAAAAUCUAAUUGAGUGAUACGAUACAUCAUUUUUCACUAUUAAAGUUUCAGUCGACCAGCCUAAUAUCUCUCGUAAAUUUAUCUUCAUAAAUUUAACAGCUUUAUCUUAUUACAAUUUUCAAGAUAAAGAUAAUUAAAUAGAGAGGAAAAGUUAAUCUUUGAUAAUUUCCCUCUAUAAUGCAUCAUUUUAUGUUAUUAGUCGGUCUGUCCCUCUCAUUUGUUUACAAUUUUCAAUACUACUUAGCACGUGCUUUAAAACUCUUAUAAAACAUAGUUUCAUAGCUUAAUUUUGAGAUUUUCUUUUUCUGUAUAAAAAUUCAAACACUAAAUUUUUAUUUGGAAGAGAAAAAUAGCAUAACUUAUGAAACUACAUCUUUUAGAAGCCGUAAAAUGGGUGUUAAACUUUCAUCAACCAAGGCAAACGACCUUGGGCACAUAAAAAUUAAAUACUACACAUAAAGAUAUAAAAAAAUAUAAAAUCAUCAAAAUAUUACAGACUAUCACUAUAUUUUAAUACUGCUACAAAAAAAUAAUAUACCACUAAUAAUGUGUUUGAAUCCUACUGAGAAAUCCACGCAACUUAUAAAUCGUAGAAGAAACGAGAAGAUCCUCGAGCAUGACAUGCAGCCCACAAAAAUAGACCCUUUCCAUCGUUUACACUAUAUGCAAUGUGAAUGUGAAAUCUAAGACAACUUGCAUAUAAAAUAAUAGUUUGAAUUUUAUAUGUAUAUAAAUUAAUAGUUUAAAUGCUAUGUCCGUAAUAAUAAAGACAGAAUAGCUUUUACAUUGAAGUUAUAAAAUAAGGUAAGUUACAUGUAAUAUAAUAGUUUGAAUCUUAUUUCCACAUAAAAUAAUAGUUAAAAUGCUAUGUAAUUAAGAGCAUGUUUGUGAUCUAGCUUAUAAUCUGGGUUUUAAAUCAUUUCUGACUUUAACCAAAAAAAUGUUUGUUUGUGUAAUAAAUCAUAAGUCCGCUUAAAGUUAAGAAUAAGUCAGAAAGCAAAAGUUAGUUCAUGGUACGUUUUUCAGUGACUAAAUUUUUUCAAAUUUUCAUUUUGAUAAACAAUUAUUCUUAAAGUCACAAGUUACCCACAAAUCACUUUAAUUAUUAUUAUUAUAUUUUUAAUAACCAAUUAAUCAUUAGUAAGUUAAAAUUACUCACACAGAUAUUUUAAACUCCCAACUUAUCACAUAAGUUACGUCAAGUUAUAUUACGUCAUAAAUGAUAAACUCAGCCCUGAUCCUGAUUCUGUUUUAUAUCCGGGAGGAGCAAAAUUAGGAAGAGGUAUGAAGAUAGGUGUCUCUCAUAAAAUAUAUAUUUUUUAUUAUUCUAAAUUUUAUAAAAUUAUAAAAAUAUUUCUAAAAAAUCUAAAAAUAUAUAUGUAUUUUUUGAAAUUUUUUUGGUACCUCCCAAAAUUUUGAAUCCUAGACCCGCCUCCUGUGAGCGAGGUAGAAAUAUUUAUACAAUAAUUUAAUAGAUUAUCAUUAAUUUGUAUUACAUAGCUUCUUGGAUCUAAAUUUGUAGUGUGUGUGUUUAUAUAUAUAUAUAUAUAUAUAUAUAUAUAAUAUAAAAAGGAUAAUACCUUAAUUAAUUCCAGUUUUAGGAAUAUGUAAUAAGUACACAUAAAUGAUUAGUGUCUUUUUCGUAUCUAUUUAUUUAUAUUUUUUUAGUUUCUGAUAAGUGUUUUAAAAUAUAAAUAAAACAUAACUUCAUGGUUUUUUUAUGAAAAUAUGUAUAAGUAUUAACUUUUAUUUAAAAAAAAAUGUAAACAAUCCGACCGAAGAGCAGCUAGAAAUUUCUACCAACCAUAUGGGACAAAUAAAGAAGUCUAACGGUUAGAGCAAGUCAAUGAAGAGAUGUUUUUUAUGGUAUCUUAAAUUAUAAUUUACGAUAUUUGAUAAAAGAGGUUGUUCCAACAAUAUUCUAUUGAUGUCUUUUAUAUGACAACCUGUUCAAACCCUAUUUUUGAGCCACUCUCCCCCUAUCCUGUCUUAUAUUUUAAAAUAAUUCUGAUGAACACUCUUUUUCUCUCUCUACUUUAUAUUAUGUUUUAGUGAUGAAAAUGAAUCUUUGAUAAUAAACUACUAAACAUAAGCAUAUUGUUGGAAUUUAAGUUAGUAAAAUAUGUCCAAAAUUAUUAAGACAUGAUAUCUUAUAUUAUAUCUAGGUUUGAACGAGGACACUGUUAGACUCUCUGCCCACGUAUAGUUAACACAAUUCAUGAAUAUAAAGAAGUUGAACGUGUGAACUUCCAUGGCUCCUUCCAAUUUCUAACCACCCGGAACACAAUCUUUGCAAAACUAACCACCUAAAUUUUCAAUUCACAAAACUAAUCAUCCUAAUUGUUAACAUCUCGGGCGGACAUAAUAAGAAAUAUUCGCCCCUGCCAGGGGCGAACAGCAUUGUUGGGCAAGGUUGUGUGCGUCCCUUCCGAGGGCGAACACAGUGUGGUGAACAGCCACACGUGGCCCCCGGUCGGGGCGAACACAACAUAUAUUUUUUUUUAAACUAAAAAAAAUGAGUUUAUUUUAUUUAUUAAAAUAUCUAAAAAAUUAAAAAUUGUGAUUAUUUUAUUUAGUAAAAAAUCAUAAACACAAUAAAGUGAUUGUGUUAUUUCGUAAAUAUUCAAUUAUGAUUAUUUUAUUGAUGACAAAUGUCCUGAUUUGAACUGAUAAUUUAGUAUGUUAGAUUGGCAAUAUGUAACAAUUUUUUUCAAGUAAGGGUGUGUAGCAUUGGAUACGUAUGGUCACAUCUUAAUAAAUUGCAGUUACUGUUCUUCUGUGCAUGCAUUACAAGUUGAUUAGAUUUUUCUUGAAGGGUGUGUACGUAUGGUCACAUCCUAUGCAUUAUUACACUUAUGAAGCAUCAAUUAUUCAACUAGCCAGCUUGUUUUUUGCAGCAAGAUAUAGUGGAAGGGUGUGCAGGAUUUGCUGCAACCCCUUUUAUCAAAGGAGCAAUUAUAACUCCUACUGUUCAUGCACAGUAUAUUUCUCUUUAUAUGUUGCAGCUCCCCAUGCAUAUUGAAUUACAGCUAAACACAGCAACCAUCAUAGCAAAGCCAAUUUGAAACUCUUCAACAAAUACAGAAGCACACAAACACUCAAAAACACACACACCAGAAAAAUGGCAGCCUACGUAAACGUGAACAUCUUCUGGGGUGGUGAAAUCGUCAAACAAGAUAACGAUGUUAUCUAUACGGCUGAUCCAAAAGAGAUGAGGUUUAUCAAAUUCGGCACUACAUUGGAAGAGUUACAUGAUAUCGUGUAUGAGGUUAUGAACAUAAGUAGACAUCACUGGAAUUUGAAACUCAGUUUCAAAUAUCCUAGACUUGCUGUCGGUAACCUCGUAACAUGAUAUUUUGUAAAGUCUAUUAGGUCGGACGACGAUUUGAGGAGGAUGCUAAGCAUCCCCGGCCGAUUUCUGUAUGGGAUGGGAGACGUAUGGAUGUAUGUUGAAGCUGCGAGUGUUGCUCAGCAAAGCCAACCCUAUGAAGCUCCAUGGACCCAACAAUCUGGACAGAUGCAUACAUUUCUUGAUAGCCAGCAAUAUGAUGAGAACUAUGCAGGAAACUAUGGGGGGGUUACGGUGGCGACUAUGGAGGAAGCGAGUUGGGGGGUAUGGCCGGAUGGUCAAAUAGCGUAUUCCAAAGAGGCUACAACUACGGGACUGUAGGGCAGUUUUUCAGGGGCUCUAGUAAUACUGGGCAUUUUGACGUUGAAGAAGUUGUUGAGGAGGACACACAAUUGUUGCCUCCUCAUACGGCAGACAGAAGUGCAGCUCUGAAUCUUACACUUCACGGGGAUGAAGAAGAUGAAGAAAAUGCCACAGAAAGAGCAUUAACUACAAGUGACGAUUCGGAUUGGAAUCUGUCACAUGAUGAGGUUGAGGAGGAAUCUGAAAACUUUUCAGAAGCCGACUCGGAUGAGGUCCGAGAAGGGAAUAUCUCGUUGCAGACGCACGAUAUGUCUGUUUAUGUACAUAGGGCUGCAUGGUUUGGAUCCCAGCAGUACGAGACUGAGAUAGUGUCCAAUGUGGACACUAUCAUGUCACACAGGUUCAAUCCAUCCGUUGACGAGUUAGGCGUCGGAGUCAUGUUUCGUAACAAGAGGUUCUAAUCUCGGCGGUUAAGGAGGCACAUAUUAAAAUGAAUCGGAACUUUGUUGUGCAAAAAAUCACCACGCAAUUGUAAGUGGAAGUUAAGGGCGGCGAAGAAAAAGCAGCACAGUAUGUUUGAAAUCACGGAAUGUCCUGAAAGACAUGUAUGCAAGUAUAUUAAUAGGAGAAUUAGAAUGGGCAAAGAUUGGGUGCCGAAGGAGCAGGAGGUUGAAAUCGAGUCGAAAAAAUUUCCUGAAGUUAGCAAACUCUAUUCUCGACGACAUCGUGAGAUGGGUAUCCCAUUUUCUGAUGAUCGCUGGGAUCAAUAUGCAGAUGAAAUCGAUAAAGAAUGCGACGCAUUGCAAGCUAAAUUUGAGGCACAUGAGGAAGCUGAAUUUUGGGAAGUGUGGGGAGAUGUGCCCAAUAUAAAUUAUAAUUGCCGUCAAAUACAAAAGCCUACCCCGGUGGCCGCUGAUGAUGAUGAAGAUGAAGAUGAUGGUGGAGAUGAUGAUGAUGGUGGUGGAGAUGAUGAUGAUGACUAUUAUGUCGACAUCACUCAGGAUUGAGAACACAUUAAUUAAAUCGAGCUUAUGUCAUGUUCUCAUUUUAAUCAAAUGUAAUUUUAUUUGCAGUUUUUAAUUUUGCAAAUCGGAAUGAUAUAAUCAAUAUCUAUUUAUAUUAAUUAAUCUUUAUUUUUAGUUAAUUCAAUCAAUUAACCUAAACAAAAAUAUUCAUAUUACCAAAAAAACCACAUAUUAAUUAAUAUUAUAUGCCUUACUUUAUAAUAUAUGAAUAUUUUUUCUAUUAUUUCGAUCCAUAUAAAUUCAUAAUUUCUUCUCCGUUAUUAUUACAAUAAUAAUUAAAUUUACAAUUAAUACUCAAUUCAAUAUUUACGAAAUAACACAUUUAAUUUAUAGUGUUUCUGAUUUUUUAUAAAUAAAUUAAUCACACUUUUUAGUUUUUUGAUUUUUUUAUAAAUCAAAUAAAUGCAGUGAAGGAGCAGUUACUGUGUCAACAAACAAUAUUUUUGUUUUUUCAAAACCUAUUAUAUGUACGUCGGGGGUGGCGAACUAGCUCUGUCCGCCCGAGGUGUGUGUUAUUUAGAAUGGUUAGUUUUGUAAAACGAACAAAAAAGUGGUUAGUUUUAUAAAAAUUGUGUUGAAGGUAGUUAAAAAUUUGAAGGAGCCGUACUUCCACACCAGCUCUCUUUUCAGGUUUCAUAUGUCGAAAAUUAGUUUAUAACUUCUUUAUAAAUAUGAUUCAAAUAAGUUAGAUUUUGAUUUAUAAAACUCGGCCACAAAGGCACAAUAAUAUUGGUUUUUACCUCGACCACAACAUGCAGCCCACAAAAGUAGAUUUUUUUCGAUUGAUAAUAUUUAAAUGAUGGUCGGGAGCGAAAAAUGUGGAUUUCUGUAUGAUCACACUAAAUGUAAUGUGAAUGUGAAAUUUACAUAUAAAAUAAUAGUUUGAAUUUUAUAUGUAUAUAAAAUAAUGGUUAGUAAAAAAGACAUAGUAGCUUUUUAUAUUGAAGUUACAAAAACGAGUUUGUUUGCUCUGACCCACGUACAGAACUACAGAUGUUUUUUGAUAUGAAGAAGAAAAACAUGGUUCGUUUGUGUGAGUUUAAAAUAAGUGCUUGUUGAUUAAAGUAAAAAAGUGAAAGAGAAGUUAUAAAUAAGUUAAUAUUUAUAAGUGAUUAAAAUGUUUGGAAAAUAAACAGAAACUCUCAAGAAAAAACUAACAUUUGUAACUUCUAAAAAGUUUUUCUACUUUUUUACAUAGACGAGUUCAAAGAAAAGUAGAAGCCAAUUUUUUAUUUUAAAAGUACUUCUUUAACUAUAUACAGUAAUAUUAUCAUUAAUUGUCAUUAAUUUGUACUACUAAACAGCUUCCACGGUUUAAGUUUGUAUUUAUAGAUAUUUUUCUAUAUAAAUUUAUAUAUAUACAAAUAAUAAAAAGGACAAUUUUUUGAUUAAUUUAAAUUUUAAAAACAAUAAGUAUCCAUAAACGAUUAGCUCUUUUUCAUGUCAUCCAUUUAUAUAUAAUUAUUCUAAUGUCUGACGCGUUUUAACGUUUUAGAAUGUAUAGUAUAAAUUUUUUUUAUAUAUACUAAAUUUUUAUUUAAAAAUAAAAAAUAUUAAAAAUAUAUAAAAUUAUAGGCUUAAUGGCCAUGUCAACAAUUGGACGGCAGAGCAGCUAGAAAUUUCUACCAACCAUAUGGGACAAAUAAAGUAGCAUUCGGAGUGUCACUUAAACAUGUACAGCUAACACAAUUCAUGCAUAUAAAGAAGUCUGAAUGUGUAUAGUUCCACACCAGCUCUCUUUUGAGGUUUUACACAUGGAUCUACUAGUUAUAGUUCUUGUUAUUGCCUUUCCCCUGGCUUUCUUAUAUUUAUCUCUAAAACACAUAAAGAAAGAUGAUCUUCCAUCACCACCAGGUCCACCAGGCCUUCCUUUGAUCGGGAACAUGCACCAGUUAUACAAAUCUCCUUCGCAUCACGAGGAUUUCUAUCAACUUUCCAAGGAAUACGGGUCUCUCGUGACUCUACACUUAGGCUCAGUCCCGGCCCUAGUUGUAUCAUCCUCGAAAAUGGCGAAACAAGUGCUGAAAACUCAAGAUGUCAUCUAUAGUAGCAGGCCUGCGAUGACUGGCCAGCAAAAGAUGUCAUAUAAUGGACUGGAAAUGGCGUUUUCGCCUUACAGUGAGCACUGGAGGGAUGUCAGAAAGUUUUGUACACUGGAAUUAUUUACGCAGAAAAGAGCUCAGAUGUCUGUUCGGCCUGUUAGGGAACAAGAGGUUUAUCGGAUGAUUGAUGGACUGGCAGAGGCGGCUUCAGCUUCGAAAGAGGUCGAUGUGCACCGAUGUUUUUCGGAUUUUGGGAGUUCGGUCAUCACUAGAGUUGCGUUUGGAAAGAGGUAUGAUGAAGGCGGGAAAUUCCAUCGGCUUUUGUCUGAUGUAGAAGCCUUGUAUGCCAACUUUUUUGUUUCGGAUUAUUUUCCGAUGUUUGGAUGGAUCGAUAGGCUCACUGGAAUGAUGGCUAGACUGGAUCGAACUUUCGUGGAGUUGGAUAUGUUCUACCAGGAACUUAUUGAUGAACACCAAAAACCUGACAGGCCCGCGUCUGCAACUGAGGAUGUCAUUGAUGUUUUGCUCAAAAACAAGAGCUCGGCUUCCUUUGCUCUAACGAUGAAUCAUGUCAAAGCGAUCCUUAUGGUAAUUACUUCCUCUGUCCCAAUAAUCUCUUUACGGUUUUAUUUUUGAAUGUUUCAUUCAAUUCUUUACAUUUCAAAACUUACAAAAAAUAGUCCACGAGUUCCACCACUUCCCGCGUUCCUUCUUUUUUCACGCUUUUUUUUACUUCGCUGUCUUCUUUUUAUAUCAAUAGGUUCCACAACUUUAUCAACUUUUAUUAUUCUUUUCACUGCUUUAUACAUAUUUGGUAAAGAAUUCACCGAGGACUGAGGGAGUUUUAUAUUAAUUUUUGGACUAUUCGCUAGUAUAUAUGUGCAAUAAUAUAUUGACGAAUAGUCACAUCCUUACAUGGAUGCAUGAUUAACUAAUAGCUGUCGUUAUGGAUGUUUGCAGGAUAUAAUAGUUGCAGGAACCGGGACAACCGCAACUGUGCUCACAUGGGCCAUGACAGCAUUAAUGCGUAACCCGAGAGCCAUGAAGAAAGUUCAAGAAGAACUAAGAACAGUAAUGGGAAAGAAAGGGAAGAUAGACGAAGAUGACCUCCAGAAUCUCCCCUACUUAAGAGCCGUUGUGAAGGAGACGAUGCGCUUAUACCCUCCCGGUCCCCUUCUACUUCCCCGCGAAACAAUGGAAAGCUCUGUCAUCGGCGAAGAUGAAGCUCAUAUGUACAAGAUCAAGCCCAAAACCCUGGUGUUUGUAAGCAUGUGGGCAAUAGGAAGAGACCCGGAGGAUUGGAAAGACCCCUUAGAGUUUAAACCCGAAAGGUUCUUGGAAAGGCCUGACAUCGAUUACAAAGGAC